RNAcentral lists this long non-coding RNA (121674 nucleotides) under Glycine max (soybean). RNAcentral's name for it is "long non-coding RNA (GMAX_LNC003531)". The record is from RNAcentral. Lineage: Eukaryota; Viridiplantae; Streptophyta; Magnoliopsida; Fabales; Fabaceae.
AUGCGGUGGCACCUUUAUAAUGUUAGUAUUUACAAAUUCAAGGCGAUGCAAAUUGGUGAGUUCAUGCAAAUUUGAGGGCAGCUCCUUCAAAGAUCUACAAUGAUUCAGCUUCAGUAUUUGCAACUUGUAGAGUGAACAUGUGGAUUCAGGUAGUUUUUUAAUGCGAGUAUGGGAAAGGUCUAACGAACGAAGAUGUUUAAAAUUGCAAACAGAGUCAGGCAGCUCUUCAAUGUUUGAACAGUGAGACAGAGAUAAGACGCGUAAGAACUUAAACUUGGAGAACAAUUCAUGUAUCGACAUCUUGCAAUUCCAACUACGGUCAUAAUAUUCAUUCAUUCCCCACCAUGUUGGCAUAAAUGUACGCAAUUUUUUAGUAUCACAUGAAGUUCCAAACUCAUCAAAAUAUCGUUCGGUAAUCAUUGAAACUGAAAAAUGACGGGUUGUUUUCUGUGUACAUUUUGCUUGAUCAACUCUCAACCUGAAAUAGAUGUCCCCACAAACAUAUUUUGCCAAAUCAUUUAGAAGGUCAUGCAUGACAAAUCCUUCUCUUUUUUUUUGCUCAGCAAAGACAAAUCCUUCUUUAUAUAUGCUUGAUUGUUGAAAGAAGGACCUUGAUAGUAGAUCAUUGAAGUACUGUUGGCCAACUUCCUCUGGACUCGUACUGCAUUGAUGGCAGUUUAGGAAAUUUUCAGCCAUCCACAACUGAAUUAAACACUCCUUGUCAAACUCAUAAUCCUUGGGGAAUAAAGCACAGUAAGCAAAGCAUGUCUUGAGAUGGGGAGGAAGGUGGUGAUAGCUCAAUGCUAAAGCAGGAACAAUACUGUCCUUUAAUUCCCAUAUUUCACUUUGGAAUACGCUUUCCCAUUCCCAGGCAAAUGGUUUGUUGUGUAAUAGACUUCCCAUUGACUUCAAGGCCAGAGGAAGUCCUUUACAUUUUUUAACAAUCUUCUUACCAAUAUCUGUGCAUACUGGAUCUCGUGGAAGAUUAUCAUCUCUGAAUGCAUGUUUUGCGAACAAUUCCCAGCAAUAAUCUUCUUGUAAUUGCUCCAGCUUGUGUUGUUCUGACCCCAUGGUAGAAGCAACUUCCUCACUGCGUGUUGUGACAAGGAUCUUACUUCCCUGAGCUCCAUAAACAAGAGCAUUCUGCACAGCUUCCCAUUUAGGUCUGCUUUCGUUCCAAACGUCAUCCAAAACGAGGAGAAAUUUUUUAUCUGCCAAUUUUUCUUUUAGUCUUCUCUGAACUAUUUCUAGCUCUCUACCAUGAUCAGUCGAAUCAGUAAUCGUGUCAAGAAUUGCUCUUGAUACGUUGAAAACAUCAAAUUCCUCUGAAACACAGAUCCAAGCUUUGACAUCAAACUUACUCACUAUUCUUGGGUCAUUGUAUACAAGUUGGGCAAGCGUGGUCUUACCCAACCCGCCCAUGCCCACGAUAGAAAGUAUUGACAGCUUGUUAUCAGUGUUAGAAGUGAGCCAGUUAAUGAUAAUUUCUUUAUCAUCAUCUCUGCCACAAAUAUCACUUUCUACCACCAAAGAUGUUGAUUGUGGCACUUUACCACCAGAUCCUGAUCCAACUACAAGAUCACUAGGCUUUUUCAAACCUAGAUUAUCCAUCCGGCUUGCAAGAUCAUCUAGGUCAUCAAGGACAUUUUUCAUGCUGGAAUUAAUUUCCUUGUUAAAGGAAGUAACAGGGGAAGAUUUGAAGAAAUUGGGUACCUUGCAAGUACAGGUUUGAGAUUCAGAUUGAGGUUGAACUUGGAGUCUGGAGUGUUGUAUUUCAUCCAAGACAUCUUCAACGUCAAGCAUGGCAACUUUGAGCUUAAUAAGCCAGUCUCUCACUGGCAUAUUUCCAAACUGUUUUUGUUCAGCAUCAUCAAGCACAGCUUGGAUGGAGAGGAGCUUGUUUUCUAAGUCCUUCCGCAGCAUCUGGUCGAUCUUUGUUCCACGAAAGAAAUCCAGAACUUGAGGAGAAGCCAGCUUCUGAAAUAGAGCCCCGAGGAAAGAAGAAAGAACAGCACCACCAACGCAUUCUAAUGCCAUUGUAUGGUAGGAAAGGGAGCAGUGGAAUCGAUUAAUGGAAAUCUGUGUUCUCAAGUGCAGCUUAUGCCAAUCACUCAGUGGAAUGAAGUGGUCAUCAAAUCAAAGUAAAGAUCUUUUUGUUUCAAGGUCAGUCAACCAACAACUACUGAGUCUUGCCAACAACACAAACCUUAACAGCUGUAUUCUAUCAAUGAGUGAGUGGCUAUGAUUCUGCUGAGGGUAGCUCUUAUUCUCAUAACAACUUAUUCAUUAAUUGCCUUUUGUAUAUUUACUAGUGUAAAAUCUAAAGAAAUGUUUAUAUACUUUAUAAAGUGUGUAAUUUUUAAUUUAUAAUCUAAUGAAAAUCAUAUGGCCUAAUCAUAAAGUAUACCUUUUAAAGAAUAAUUAGUAUAAUUAGAAUUUAAUUUUCUUUUAUAUAUAUAUAUAUAUAUAUAUAUAUAUAUAACAAAUGUAUAAUUAGAAUUUACUUUUCUUACAUAUACACUUAUUAUUAUAAAGAAUAUCUUUUUCCUAUAUAUGAUUCUCUAAUAAAUCUGUGAGAACAUUACAAAUUGAUAAAAUAAUUUAUAAAUCUUUAUUUUUAAUUUAUUAUUCCUUCCAACAAUAUGAUUUAUCACAAUAAAAAAAAUUAAUCAACGUUUCACAUUGUAUAUUAAUUUAAUUCUUAUAUAAAAAUUACCUCUUUCUCUAAUAAGAAUAUUCCAGAACAUCACAAAUUAUUAAAAUAUUUUAUAAUUUUUUAUUUUUAAUUCAUACUUCAAUCCAAUAAUAUGAUUUAUCUUAAUAAAAAAAUUAAUAUGACGUUUCACAGUCUACACUAAUUCAAUUCUUAAAUUAAAUUUUGUAAUUAUUAGAUAAAUUAAGGUUAUCUUUAAAUACCAGUUAAAUUAGUAAAUGAAACAAUUGUCUUAAAUAUGAUUUAAUGAUACGUUAAUAAGCAUUAAAUAUCAAUCAAAUGAUACAAUUUAAAUUACAUGAAUAAAAUUUAUUGUUACAUUAAAUUCUAUCAAAAACACUAUUAUUAAUAUCAUGAUUUCAAUUUUUAAAAUAUUUAUUAUUGAAAAUAUAAAAUUGAUCCUAAUUCAAAAUUUUAAUUAAUUUAUACUAAUUGUAUUUACGUCAAACUUAAUUUAUGAUAAUAAAAACGAAUUAGAAAGUUUUUAAUAUUAAAUUGAAUUUGAAUAAAUGAAUUUUGAAGAGUAAUAUUUUGUUGUUUCUAAUGCUGAAAACUUUUAAAUUUUAUAUCCUACAAAUUAAAAAUAAAUAUUUUUUCCGUUUAACCCAUUAAAUUGAAUUUGUAAAAUAUAUUUUUUAUAACUAUUUUAUUAUACUUUUUUUACAAAAAUUAGAAAUCAUGGUUAUUUUUUAAUAAAAUUGUGUAUUUAGUUAGGAUUUAAUAAUUUUUUACAUGAACAAAUGAGACAUAUCAUAAAUAAUACUAAAUUUAAGUGCAUUAGUGACACAAAAUUAGACUAAAAUUUUGCAAUCAAUUAAAUAUUAGAAAUGCUUAUAACUUAUGUACCUACCUAGAAUUUUUUUUAAAAUUGGAUUUUUAUCAAAUAUUUAUUCUAUUCCCAAUUAUUAUUAUUAUAAAAUUGAAUUUUUUAUUUUGAUUUGGAUUUAGUUAUAAUUUCUUAUUAAAUGUAUAAAUAUCUUCUAUAUUAAACAUUAUCAAAACUGUAACAAAUAAUCAAUAAUUCAAAUAUUUUUAUUGUUCAAGAUGCAUUUUUUUGUAUUUUUAAUUAUAAUUAAAAUUUUAAUCAGAAUAAUAAGUAUAAAAAAAAUUAUUGAAGAUUUUGAUCCUUAUAUAAACUCAUAUAAAAUUAUUUUAUAAUAACUUUAGAAGUGCAAUUAUCUAAUUCAAAAUUUAAACAUGGUAAACAAUAUAAAGUUAAAUUUUAAAAUAUUUAUUCAUAUAAGUAUAAAAUUGAUCUUAAUUCAAACUUUCUAAUGAAGUCAAAAUUAAUUUAUCAUUUAAAUAAUAAGAAACAUAUAUAGAUGUUAAAUGAUUUAAAUGAAAAUUUUAAAAAUAUUUAUUAAUUCGAUCAAUUUAAAUUGUUGUUACAUACGCAUCUACCUGGGUAUCCUCUUAGAUCCAUGCCUAAAAGUUGUUAUAUAUUCCAAUUAUAAAGCAAAUUAUAUGUGGGAAAUGAAAAGGAUAAAAUAAUUGAAAAUAAAAUGACGAUAUGUCUUAUAUAAAAAUAAAAAAUGGAACGAUGACAUAGUAUGAUAUAUGUCUUUAUAUAUUAAAAAUUUGACGAAUAGAUAUAUGCAUGUUAACCUUAAAUGAAUCUAUUUUGGUAAAAAAAAAAAAUCUUUCUCUUCAAAUACCAUUAUUAGGUAUUAAACUUUAAGACAACAAUAGAAAAACAUUUUUCUUCAAAUAUUUUGGAUGAAAAAUAAUGUUUUGAUUGAAGUUUUGUACAGGAACUCAUUUGGAUGAAAAAAAUAGUGUAAUAUAACAUAAAAUAAAAAAUUUUCACUUGUUUAUUGAUAUUUACACAAUUAAUAAAAAAAAAUGAUUAUUGAUUGAAAUGAUAUUUUUAUGUCCACUUAGGGGUGGGAAUAGGCCAGGCUUUGAAAGGCCUGAGCCUAGACUACGAUGAAUUUUUGAGGCCUGAGCCUAGCACGAUGAAUUUUUGAGGCCUGAACCUGACCUAUAGUUUAUAAAAGGCUUUUAUUUUGGCUCGGCCUGACCUUUUUAAAAGUCUAGCCUGACCUGAUAGCCUUUUUAAAAGCCUUCUUUACAUUACAUCUUUAAUAUCCCUUUUGCUCUUAAGUAGACACGUAAUAGGAAAGUUAAAGGAAAAGAAAACGUUAACAGAAAUAGGAAAGCCAAUAAAAAUAAUGAGAAAUAUAAAGGGGCACAUGAUUUACACCUAAAUUGUAAUUAAAGUCUUACUUGAUUAUAAGAAUAGAAAUUAUGGAACAGUAAUGUGUAAUCAAAGUCUGAUAGUUUAAAAAAAAAUUAAUUGUACCAAAAAAAUAACAUAAGUAUAUAUUGGUACCCAAAAAAUAACAUAAGUAUAUAUACAUAUAUAUAGGUCGGCUUAUCAGGCUUAUAAGAUUUUUUAAUAAGCCUAAGCCUGAUCUAUUUAAUUUAAUAGGUUUUUAAAAAAGUUCGAGCCUAACCUUUUAAUUAAAUAGGCCAGUUCAAGCCAGAUUUUAUGUAGGUCAGGUCGUAGGCCCUUGUAGGCCGGCCUGACCUAUUCCCACCCUACCACUAAUUACUAUUGAUGUUAAUGUUUCUAAUAUUUUGGUUUUAUUCAAUUUUUCUAAUCAAUUAUUUUUUUUGUUGACCUUUUCAUUUCACCGUAACAUCCAUGAACAUAUAUCAUAUGUUAUUUUUCAUAUUCUAAUUAAGAAAACAUCAUAGAGAAAGAGAGGAGGUCUUAUUUCUUAAGUGUAUUUCCCAAAUUUCCAACUUCUUGGAUAUUCUCUUACUUGAUAGGAUUUUUUAACCCGAUAUAAUAUAUUGCAUGCAAAUUUGUUUGAUACCCUUACUUUGUUCACUUAAUGAAAUAUUUAAUUAAGCAAGUUUAGCGCAUUUAGUCAGAUAGUAUGUUUAAAUUUGAUGAUUUAAUUAUUAUGUCCAAAGAAUGGUAUUCAUUUCUUGGUGGUAGCUCUUAAGUUAUGUCCGAUCUUGGUUAAUUAAUGAAAAGUUUAGUCUGUCUAGUCAAUUUCAGUGGUUAAAAUACCGUACAUGUAUAUUUAAGUCGGCAAAUUUACGCAAAGGGGUCACAUUUAGAAACUAUUUAUGCAAAGGGGUCUGUUUUCUAAGUAUUUACGGAGGGGGUCAAUUUUUGCAUAGAAGCCGCCAAUGAUAAUGACGAGAAAGCAUGAGCCGCCAUUGUCAUUGGCGAUACAUGGCUGACGUGGAAGGUGCCGCCAGUGGCACUGGCGAUACUGGCUGACGUGGAGGGUGCCGCUUUCUCCAUUGGUGAGACACGCCACACAUAGGGUCUCGCCUCUCCCAUUGGCGAGACACCUUCACGUUGCAGGCUCACACUGUUAUAGCUUGCCUAGGGUCACACCUUCACGUUACAGCUUGCCCAGGGUCAGUCACAUCAGUGUUUAGGGUUGCAGCCUUAUGUAGGCUAGGUUACAGCUUGGACCUGAAAAUGCAGAGUAGCCUUUUGACCGUUGCUUCUUUACAUUUUCUGCUAUAAAAAAAAACCUCCAUCAACGUAAAUACUACACUUCUCCUUCCAAGCUCAGCUUCUCCUUUCUUAAUCUUGAGUCUCCUUUGAGUGUUUCAGUGUGUGCGUGGUGCGCUUCCUUAAAGUUUUGCUGUGUGCUUUCUUUUCCAUAAUUCAUGGUAAGUGAUUUUCUUAAAUAAAAUUUUUAUAUUCUGUUAGGUUAGUUAGUAUUAAUAGGUAUUGUAAGUUUAGGUUAAUUAGCAUUAAUAGGUAUUCUAAGCUUAGGUUAGUAACUAUUUAUGUUCUUAAUUUUUAUGUAUUAAUAGAUAUUUCAAGGUUAGGUUAGUUAGUAUGAAAAUAUUAUUUAGUUAUUGUAUAUAUUCUUAGAUACUAUAUAUAUAUAUAUAUAUAUAUAUAUAUAUAUAUAUAUGAAUGAUACUUUAGUUAAGGCACACUUAAUAUAAGUUUUGUAAUAUUAGACACAAGUUAAUAUUAGCUUUAGAUAUGUAUUUGUAAAUUUUAGGCUCACGUAAAAUUUAUAUAUUCUGGUAAGUAAUUUUUAAAUUAAAUAAGAUAUAUAUUCUGUUGUUAAAUUAUAAAAAUAGUAGGUUAGUUAGUAUUAAUAGGUAUUCUAAGCUUACGUUAAUUAGUAUGAAAAUAUUAUUUGAUUAGUUAGUAUGAAAUUAUUAUUUAGUUGUUGUAUAUAUUCUUAGAUUUUAUAUAUGUGAUAUUAGCUUUUAUAGUAUUAGGUAUAUAUUUACACGCAUGAUACUUUAGCCAAAUAAAUAUAUAUACACGCAUGAUACUUUAGCCAAGGCACACGUAAUAUUAGCUUUUGUAGUAUUAGGCACAAGUUAAUAUUAACUUUAGGUAUAUAUUUAUAAAUUUUAGGCAUACGUAAAUUUUUAGUUUUUGUAAUAUUAAAUACUUCACACGUAAAUAAAUAAUUGUAAUAUUAGACAUUUCACACACGUAAAUUUAUCUUUUUAGUAUUAUAAUUUUGUAUGUUAUAUAUGGAUAGUACAGUUUUAAAUAAAUGAGUUGAUAAGUUAAUAUUAUUUGAGUUAAUUAUUUUUAGUUAGAAUGUUAUAUAUAUUAUUUUUUAGUUUUAGUUUGUAGGUUAAUAUUAUUUGUUUUAGAAAAUUACGUGAUUAAAUAUAUGAUACAUUGUAAAUUAUUAUUAUUUUUGUAUUACACGUUGUUUAAAUAAUUUUUUGCAUUUCAAUAUUUAUUUGUAUUUUAAUUUAUUUGGUAGUCCAUAUUUUAUUUAAUUAUUUAUUUUUUAAUUGUAGAAUAUAUUAUGUUAUUUAUUUAAAUUUGUUUGUGUGUAUGUAUAUGUAGAAUAUAUUUAAAUUUUAUUAUUUGUAUAAUAUAUUUUGUUAUCAAAUAAAUAUAUUUUGUUAUUUAUUUAAAUUUGUCUUCACAUGUAUUUUAAUUUAUCUAUAGAAUAUAUUCAAAAUUGUCCAGUUUUAUUUAUUACAAAUUUAUUUAUAUAUAUUUAAUAACGUUUUUAUAAAUCUGCGUAGUUUAAUUUAUAUUAUCUACAUAUAAUGUAUAAAUUGUUUUGUGAAUUUAUUGUAUUAUAUUUUAUUUUGCAGUAUCAAUGGCAUCUUCAUCGCCAUGUCCAUCACAUAUCAAAAUUAAGUCUAGCCCGAUCGAUGGUGAUGUAUUACGGAUGCAACCUAAGCAUGAUUCAGAACAUGUUUGGAAUGGGGAAGAAGAUCGGAAAUUACAUAUCAGACGAGUUGUCCCCACGUAUCAAGGGGAAGAAAUUCCAGAGCAAAUUUUUCCUUUCCUUCGACAAUCUGGUUUUUACUGGAUUAUGAAGAUGGGAUACUUAAAAAUAAAUGCCUCAUUAAUUAGUGCUUUGAUAGAAAGAUGGAGGCCGGAAACACAUACGUUUCACAUGAGAUGCAGAAAGUGUACUAUUACUCUUCAAGACGUCUCUAUAUUGUUAGGUCUACGUGUGGAUGGUUUACCAUUAAUCGGUCCAACAAAUCUUAAUUGGGCUGAUUUAUGUGAGGAAUUAUUGGGAAUCAGACCACAAGAAGGAGGUGAAAUUAAAGGUAGUGUGGUUAAAUUAAGUUGGUUGGCUCACCAUUUUGCACAAAUAAAUAACCACGACGACGAAGAACAAGUACGAAGGUUUGCCCAUGCAUGGAUACUAAGAUUCAUUGGAGGUGUCUUGUUCGUUGACAAAUAACAAAGUUUCGCUAAGGUACCUUCAAUUUUUAUGUGACUUUGGAGAUUGUAGCACAUAUGCAUGGGGACCUGCCGUACUUGCUUUUCUAUACAGAGAGAUGUGCAGUGCCACCGAUUAUAAAACUAAAUCAAUCUGAGGUAUGUGCAUCUUACUACAAAUGUGGGCAUGGAAACGAUGUCUAACCUUGGCUCCAAAGAGGACUCCUUCUCAAGUAGAAAAUAAACCACUGGGGCACAGGUUAGUCAUUUUUAAAAGCGUCUUUCAUUUGUUGGACCAUUAAUCGGUCCAACAAAUCUUAAUUGGGCUUAUUUAUGUGAGGAAUUAUUGGGAGUCAGACCACAAGAAGGUGAAAUUAAAGGUAGUGUGGUUAAAUUAAGUUGGCUGACUCACCAUUUUGCACAAAUAAAUAACCACGACGACGAAGAACAAGUACGAAGGUUUGUCCGUGCAUGGAUACUAAGAUUCAUUGGAGGUGUCUUGUUCGUUGACAAAAGCAGUAACAAAGUUUCGCUAAGGUACCUUCAAUUUUUAUGUGACUUUGGAGACUGUAGCACAUAUGCAUGGGGACCUUCCGUACUUGCUUUUCUAUACAGAGAGAUGUGCAGUACCACCGAUCAUAAAACUAAAUCAAUCGGAGGUAUGUGCAUCUUACUACAAAUGUGGGCAUGGGAACAAUGUCCAACCUUGGCUCCAAAGAGGACUCCUUCCCAAGUAGAAAAUAAAUCACUGGGGUACAGGUUAGUCAUUUUUAAAAGCGUCUUUCAUUUCAAAAGAAUAAAUGAUUUUAGGGUAUAUUAAAUUUUAAUCUUUGUAGGUGGCUGCGACGUGGAAACCAACAUAUUGACAAUGAUGAUGUGAGAGUUUUUUGUUGCAAGUUGGAUAUUAUGAAACGUCAUGAGGUAAGAACAUGGUAUUGUAUUUGUAAAAUAAAAAAUGAUGUGUUAUUUUACUAAAAUGAUGUCAACUAUGUUGUUAUAUGCAGUUUGUGUGGGAGCCUUACACAACAACUGUUAUAUCAUUGUUGCCUCCCAUUUGUGUAGUCAGAAGUGUCGCGUGGUGCGCGGUGGUGCCACUUAUUUGUUUCCAAGUCAUUGGGUCUGUAAUUCAAAUAAUAAAUUAAAAUAACAAAUAACACAAAAGUAGGAUAAUAUGAACAUAAAAAAUGUACCUACUACGCAAGUCGCAAUUAAAUCUGAAUCAAGCUUCUCAUGGUCUUGUGUCAUAGUCAUAUUUAGACAUGUGUGCGGUCCACCCCAUUGUGUCACUUUUCAUGCAUCAGUUUUUUUAGAUAAAAUUGCCCUCAUAUAAAAAGGGCAAGGAGACUGUGCGCUAUUGUUGGGGCAAUAAACGAUAUAUUUGUGCGAUUUCGUUUCAACAACCUUAAAACUUUGAUGCACCUUCAUCACAUAUUAUUUCAGUAUAUUUUUGACCACAUCUUUACUGUCAAAAUCUAUGCCAACAUAUAAUUCUUGUCCAACAUUAAAAGUCGUUGGCAUGUCCAAACCACAAAUGUCCUCCUCGUUCGGAUGACUCCAAUUGAUAUUAUUAUAAUGUAAAGCAUCAUUUCAAAAUGGAUUUUGAAUUCCUGGUACACCUAAUAAUUUCAAAAAAAAAAUCACGUCAACAAACUACUCGUAUUUAGUUACCAUUAAAUACAAUUCUCAUAAAAAGAUAGAUGUAUUCAACUAAUUUUGUAUUUCAUAAAAUUUACCUUCAAUUGGGUGAACAAUUGAAACUGGUUCAACGAUGUCGAUGACUUCAUCGUCUGUAUCAGAUAUUCCAUCAACACUAUCAUCUUCAUCGAAAGACUCUUCAACGUAUGAGUUAGAUGCAAGAUAAUCAUCAUCAUCAUCUUCAUCAUGUAAAUUGCUUAUAUUUCUUGGUAGUUCCGACUCAUGAUGAGAUGCAUUAUGUCCACAUGACGUAACAGAAUUUGCAGCAUGAAACAUAGAACCACCAGCAACAUCCUUUUCUACGUACAAUUCUAGAACUGACAUUUGUUGUUGUUGAAAACUUUCGAUCAUAGUUUCAACAUCUUCGUCAUCAGAAAUUUACAAUGCAACAUAUUUUCCUGAAACUAAAAAUCUACAACUUAUAGUAGAAAUAAUUUCAUUAUUUUCUAACUUUACCUUAUCUCCAAUUUUUUUUUCAAAGCAUUGAAACUAAUUCCGUGUUUAAUCUGAAUCGCCUUUUUACUGUCUUCAAAUAUUACACCAUCAUUGUCUUCAUAUACUCUUCCGUUGAAAUACAACACUGUAAUAAUUGAAUUCAUGAUAUACCUACAUGAACAAAAUUAAAAAUAAUUAAUCAUAACAACAGUAGUUUUAAAAUAAAUAAGUGUAUUUGCUUGCUUCAUCUACUAACUUAAACUUAAACUUAAAAUUAAACUUAAACUUAAACUACAGAUUAAAAUUUCAUUCUAACUUCAAAAAACUAGAAGGGAAUCAGGUAAUUAUUUGUAAGGCCUGUCCACCCAUGAACAAAGGCUUAUAAAUAAUUAAACAUUAUUAAAAUAACUUCAAAGUAAAAAACCUAAUUACAAAAAUUAAUAAGCUUAAACUUCAUGUUAAAAUUUGUUUCUAAAUAAAACAAUUAUUACUUCAAUUAAAUAUUUUGUGAAUGAUAAAAAUAAAAAAAAAUCUAUUUGCUUCCUCUAUUAAACUUAAACUAGACAUUAAUACGUCAUUCUAACAAAAGAAUUAUUACUCCAAUUAAAUAAUUCAAAAAAAAUUCCUUAACUUCAAAAACUUGAAGAGUCACCUCUAAAUAUUUUUAACUCACAAAUAGCAUCAACAAAAGUUUAUAAGCGGAAGGGUCACGCGUCAAAUUUCUAAGCCACAAAAACCAUGAACAAAGAGGAUUACAAAUAAUUACUCAUAAUAAUUUUAAAAUAAAAAUUCUAAUUCAAAAAAUUAAUACACUUAAACUUUACCUUCAAAUUUUAGUCUAACAAAAAAAAUUAUUACUUCAAUUAAAUAUUUUGUCAAUGAUACAAAUAAAAAUAUUUAUUUGCUUGCUCUAUUAAACUUAAACUACACAUUCAUACUUUAUUCUAAAAAAAAUUACUCUAAUUAAAUAAUUUAUGAAAAAUUCCUCAACUUCAAAAAAAUUUCAGACACAAAAUGGAAGGGUUACACUUAAAAAAAUUUCAGACACAAAAACCAUAAAAAAAGGCUUACAAAUAAUUACUGCUAAUAAUUUUUAAAUAAAAAAUCUAAUUCACAAAAUUAAUACACUUAAAUUUGAGCUUCAAAUUUGAUUCUAACCACAAAAUUUAUUACUUCAAAAUAAAAAAAUUUGUACAUGAUAAAUAAACAAAAUGAAAGAAGGCUUUCUUUAAAUAAAUACAAAAUAUCCUUACUUUAAAUAAAUAGAAGAUAGAAUCAGCAAACUUCAAGCAAAACGAAACGCCUUUCUUUCUCUCUUCACACUACUUUGUUACUCUCUUCAGUGUCAAAUUUUGCAAGUGCUCUAUUUAAAGAAAAUUUACACCAAAGCUGAAGCAUGCAUGUGAUCUGCAACGUAAAUUUACACGCCAUUAAAGCAUGCAUGUGAUCCUAAAACUGUAUGCAUGUGACCCUGCUGCAUGCCUAGCCUGAAAAUCAGCAAUGCCCUAACCUGAUGCCCUAGCCUGUAACCUGCAAUGCAAGAACAGUGCCCUAGCUAGUAGUCUGAUGGGACUUGCAAAUUCACGUCCACGUUGGUCACGCAUGAGCCAAUGGCGGGACUGUCCACAUUGGCACAUGUCCCGCCAUUGGUAUUGGCGGGAUGAGCUGUCUCGUUGGUCUCACAGGAGCCAAUGGCGGGACUGUCCAUGUUGGCACAUGUCCUGCCAUUGGUAUUGGCGGCAUGGUGUGUAUCGCUGUUGGUGCUGGCGGCACCCAGCCACGUCAGCACCAUUCUCGUCAUUGCUAAUGGCGGUAUUAGUGGUAUCGCAAUUGCAGGUGGCGGCUUCCAUGCAAAAACCGACCCCCUCCGUAAAUACUUACAAAAGAGACUCCUUUACGUAAAUAGUUUAUAAAUGUGACCCACUGAGGUAAAUUUGCCUAUUUAAGCCAUAAUAGUCUGCCGUUAUAUAUACUGUAACUCAACAGAGGAUAAAAACUCUGAUCAAAUUAAUUAAAUAACUCAAUAAAAAAAAUUAAUUGAAUAAAUCAUUUAUUUUUUUCAUUUGCCGACCAUUUUUCUUUUGGUACAUUUUGUUAUUUUUAUCACAUUUUUUCCAUUUUUUUCAUUUUCUUAAUUUUUUCCUUCACUCUUAUUAAGUUUAUAGAUUAGGGCUAGCCAGACUCGGUGGAGGGUUAAUGUGCUAAUGAAAUGUGUAAAAACUAACAAGCUAUUUUAUGAAUGGAGCUUACUAAUAACAGUAGCAAAUAGCAUGUUAGGAUUGUCGGUUUGAAUAGUAUUCCAUGAAUGAAUGAGUGGCUAUUAUUAUGAGAGGAUAGCUUUUGGGAUAUUUUCCAUGGCUUGAUUAGAAAGGGUUUUGUUUGUACGCACUGUGUGUCACACGUUUCUAUACGAUGGCCUGGGAUUUUUUUAUUUGUGGCUGUCAACCAUAGUCUUCCCUAGAGUUUGGGUAAAAAUUAAUCCUGCAUUUGCAAGUUCUAAGAAUUGUGGCAGGGUGAGACUGAGCAGAAUAAGGACCUUUAACACUGAUUUGCACUCCCUGAAGACCAAGCUCAUUCAGCCAGGCAAUGAAAAAGGGUCAAAGCUUCAGCCUUUAAUGGAAGAAUAUUUCCAUCAGAACAAAACGUUUUGGCCCUGAAAAACACACCUCUAUUGCAUGCGGGGGUGUAAAAAUUCCUAUUCUCAUUAUAACCCAACAUAAAUUGAAUAGAUUUUUUUUUGAAAUAAUUCAAGAAAAAAGAAAUGCUUUGAUUUAUAAAACAAAUUCAAUUAACAAAAUUAUUUGUACAAAACGAAAUUGGUUAACUAAACUAGUUUUCAUUUGAAUAUUUUAUUUGAAAAAAGAAAAUUUGAAAAUCAGUUUAAAGUUAAUCUGAUCCUUAUAAUUAGUUUAAAAUUAAUUAAAAAUCAGUUUAGAAUUAAUUUUUUUAGAACUAAUUCGAUUCUGAACUAAUUUUUAAAUUAAUUUAAUUAUUUAAAUAUAAAAUUAAACUAAAAUAAUUUAAAAUUAAUUCAAUUUGAGUUUUUUUUUAUCAAACUAGUUAUUGCAUACGGGUGAAGUCUCAUCCCUUAUGCAGAUUUCCACUCCAAACUCACCUUUGGGACCAAAAACAGCACUCUGUUAGGCGCUUUUCCCAUUCGGCAGGUUGCAACUGCUUAUUAGAAGAUAAUUAAGAAUAAUCAAUAGAAUAAGAACAUGAAGAACGAGGGUUUUCCACUCUCUAAAGCCAUUUUUAGCUCUCUGCACAACUGCAAAAGGGGUCUGAACCUUGCCUUCCCAAAUCAUAACAACCUCAAUUAUUUUCUUUUCAUAUUCUAAUUAAGUUCAAUUAAAUCUUUUUUUCACAUUUACUUACCAUAAAUAUAUUUCUGAUAUUGCUCCACCUACUUCCUUUAUAUAUAUAUAUAUAUAUAUAUAUAUAUAUAUAUAUAUAUAUAUAUAUGGAGAUAAAGAUACAUCAGAUAAUCAUAUCAUAUAUCAUGUUAAUGCUUUCUAAUUUGUAUAAAUAAUAUUAUUUUUGAAAUAUUUAUUUUAUAGUAUAAUUUUAAGAAGUAUUUUUACACUUUUAUUCAAAUAAUUUAAUAAACUAUUUAUUUUGUUUCAAUACUUUUAACAAUUUCAAAUUAUAUCACAUACAAACAUUAAUUUACAAAUAAUUUAUACAAUGAAUAUAUGUUAUUUUAAACAUGUUUUUAUGUGUAAUUCCAACAAACAUUUUACAUUGAAUUACUUUCAUAAUUUAAUGUAAUAUUUUUAAAAAUAUUUAGAUAUAUAUCUCAAAACUAUAUCAUUUAAAUUAUUUAUAGACUUAAAUAUGUUUUUAUUCCUAAUAAAUACUUCAUAUGUAUGUUUGUUUCCCAGUAAAACAACAAUUUUAUUUUUUUGCCUUUCAUAUUUUAUUUGUCCUAGUUGAAUUAAUAAAUUUUGUGUUUAUUGUUUGAAAAUAAAAAAAUUUAUUCCCAACUAUUAACAAAUGAAAUUUUUUAUUAAGGAAAAAAAUUAAAAAUUUAACUAAUUGAUAAUAGACUAACAAAAAGUAUCAAGGAUAAAAAAUAAAAUUAUUUUAUUAAGAAUCCAAUAUAAAGAAAAAUUUAUCUAAAAACAAACAUAAAUUUUUUAUAUUUAUUAAGAAUCAAAAUAUAUUCUAAGUCUUAUUAAUUUAUAAACCCACACAACAGACCAAUAGUUAAUUUUUAAUAAUUCUGACAAAAAAAUGAAAAAAUGGCAGCAACUGAUAUUCACAUAAAGCUAGCACAUCAACAUGAAAAUUUUGCCGGUCCCUUUUGUUAUACACAUUCCAAGCUCUAAGCAGAAGAACUGGGUAUUUUGUACUGUUUCGCAUAAUAUUCUUAAUAGAGUUUUGGAAUCAGUUUCUAGUUUGCUUUUGCCACCUUGCAUUUCCAUGUCACUAGCAAAUUUUAAGUGUUCGAUCAACUCUCGGGUCUGCAAAAUAAUACUGAUUAUUUUACAUGCUUUCUGAGACAUGAUUAUUGCAAGAAGAUAAAGAAGAUAUUUUCUAUCAUUAAUAAAUUAUAGGUGGUCCCACCAAGUUCGGAUAAAGAAGAAAGAUUGUAUUAAGUCAUCAGCAGUAAAAAAAAUUAAAAUAUUAAGAAAAAAAUAAUUUUUUUUAUUACAAAACAAAUAUAAAUCUCUGAUAUACAUGAAGAAAAACCAACAUAGUUAGUCUAAUUAAAUUCAAGAUAUCUAACAUCUUACACAUAUUUAAUUUAAUGAAGACUUUAGUGUGUUUAGUCAAUUUUGGUGACUGACUUAUCAUUAAAGAAAUUUAAGAAGCCUAACAUCAUAUAUAUAUAUAGAGAGAGAGUUUAAUGAUAGUACGCCAAUACAUAAUAAUAAUAAUUUAAAAUGUAUGUGUAAAAAGAACAACUUAAAUAGCUCAGCAGAGCAUAAUAAACUCUGAUCAAACUAAUUAAUAACUCAAAUGUACACCAUUAAGUUUAUAUAUUGAGGCCGGCCAGAUUCAGUGCAGGGUUAAUGAAGUGAUGAAAUAAGUAAUAAGCUAUUUUUAUGAACGAUCUUUGCUAGCAAAUACAGUAGCACAUGUUAGGAAUAUCAGUGUGAGCUUUAUUCCAUGAAUGAAUCAGUGGCUAUAAUUCUACUAAGGGUAGCUUUUGGAAUAUUUUCCAUGACUUUUUUUAAUCACUGUGUGUCACGCGUUUGAGUACGAUUGCUUUAAUUUGGGUUGGUGAACAUCUUUUUCUUUGCUGGCCAGUCAACCGUUACCAUAGUCUUCCCUACAAUACUGAUAUUAACAACAGCUGUAUUUUGCUCACUGUCUUGGCACUUGGGAUAUUUUCGGAAAAUAAUGAACCUACUAUAUUUUAGAAUUUAUUUAGGAGAAAGGUUCCUCCAAAACAAACAUGAGUUCUUUAUCUAAUCAUUGUUGGGAUUUUCUAUUUCAAUAAUAAUUAAUAUGAGUUAAUAUUAUAAGAUAAUUCUAUUAAUUAUUUAUUGUUAUUGGAUUUUAUGUUAUGUGAUCAAAUUAAGUAAUCUCGUUAGACAACCAAAUUCGAUAAUAUGGAUUUAAAGGAGCAUAUGUCAGUGUUGGUCCAUUAAGAGAUAAUGAGAACCUUAUUAGAUUAAUACAUUACAAAUCGUCCCCCCAAUACACUAAAUCACCGACACAUAGAUAGUUUCUCUUCUUGAGGGAAUUGAAUAAUACUUUGCCAAAAACGAAAAGGCGGAAACGAGUAACCUUUUGGCUAAACUCAUCUCCAUGAAGUAUAAGGGCAAAAGUUAUAUAAAAAAGUUUUUGCUCAUAUAAUUUUUGUUUUUGUUUAUUAUUAUUAUUAUUAUUAUUAUUAUUAUUAUUAUUAUUAUUAUUAUUGUUGUUGUUGUUGUCGUUGUUGUUGUUUUUUUGUUAAAAAAGGGGAAAACAAAAGGUGCCCUUAGCAAAAGAAACAAAACAAAGAUGCAAUAUUUACUUGGGGUAUUUUAAGUGUAAAUCAAUGAUAGCAUUAAAUAUAAUUUAAGGAUAUGAUAUUUACUUGUCGUAAUUAAUGUUUUAUAUUUUUUUAGUAUCAUGAUGGAAGUUAAUUUAACAUAUCCUUUCCAUUUAUUUGCAUAUCUAGUGAUUUUUUUAAUUAAAUUGAUUGUUACGAUAUAUUGUCAAGGUAAUCCCUAUUGUGAAAAUUAAUUUGAUUAAAAUUACAAAUUUUUGUAUAAAAUCAUUUAUGUGAAUUAUGUUCAGACCAAAGGAAUACACAAUUUGACCAAAUAAUAUUUUAUAUUUGUGAUGAUAAAUGUGUGACAAUUAUAAGGUAUUUUCAUGUGAAUAAUAGUCGGUCCAAAGAAAGACUAUUAUUUGACAGAUUUAUUGUUAAUAUUUGAUCGUUGCAUUAAGAGUACCAAUUACAAAUUAAUUUAUCUAGAAAUUAAUGUUGUGUUAGGUAUCUUGUAAUGGGUGUGUUCCGUAAAAUAUUUACAUGUUUUAUUAUAUAUUUUUUAUAUAACUAAAUUAUAUGUGAAAGUUGUGUAAUUUUAAUACCUCUCAUUUAUUAUAUUAAAUUGUCUUGUAUUUUUUGGUUUAAUUGAUUGAAACAACAUGUUGUCAAAGUAACCUUUGUUGCAUAAGCUGAUUUGAUUGAAUUUACAUGGAUGUUGCAUGAAAUUAUUCAUGCGAAUUGUGCUCGGCCCAAAGGAAAACACAAUUUGGUAGAAUAAUUAUUGCUUGCGAUGGUAAACAUGUGGUGAUUAUAAAUAGUGUGAUUUUCCAUGUGAAUAAUGAAAUGUUCAAAGGCAAUCAUUAUUUGACCGGGGUAAUUAUCAUAUAAGUUUUUCAUGUGAGCAAUGAAGUGUCCAACGACAACUUUUGUUUGACAGGACUUAUCACCAAUGUUUGAUCAAUGCGUUGAGAGUAUCACUUGCAAUUAAUCUUUUUCGAUCCAAAGAUUGAGGAUUAAUGCGCUAGGUAUCAUGUUUGGCUCUUGAAAUUUACCAUAAAUAUUAUUUUUGUAUUGUAUGUGUAUAUUCUCUUCUUUAAUUAUUGUUGCUACUACUAUGAUUUAAAUUACUCACAUUAUUUAAAUCUCAAAUAUGCAUGUAUAAAAUAAUUUGUAUGGGGGUCCUAAGGUGAUAUAUGAUUAAUCUUGGUAUGCAACACUAGAAAAUAGUAAAACACAUUAUGCGUUAAUUGAAGAGAACAAGAAAUUACAUGUUUUCAUAUCAAAAGUCUAGAAGUUUAGAGAUCAUUGAGUAUUAUGACUUUGAUUUUUUCGAAAUGUCUUAAUAGUAAUCACUCCACAUAAGGAUCCACAUUUAAUCGUGUUGGUGGAGUUAAUAUUUAGCUAUGAGACAUCAUACUAGAAUUUAUAACUGCUAAAUUAUUGUAACUCGCUUGCUUGUUGUUGCCAACAUUAAUUAGCCAUCAGAUGUUUAUUGCAACAAUAUCUUAAUGAUAUCAUUAAAGAUUCAACUAAGUCAAAGUUUGUUGACAUAAAAUAUUUGGUUCUUAAAUAAAGAAUUCAAAAAAUAAAGAUUUGUAUAGAACAUAUAGGAACUCAUUUCAUUCUAGCUGAUUUACUUACUAAAGGUAUGACACUUAAAGUUUUUCAUGAGCACAUUGUUCAUAUGGGUGUAAUUCCUGAUAGUACCUUAGUUUAGUGGGAGUCUUACUUAUGUUAUAUAUCUUACAGUUUACAAGCAUGUUGUGUUUGGAUUGAUCUAUAUAAAGAAUAAAGUUUGGAUCAGUUGGAAAUAGACAUGACUAAGAUCACAUUACAUGUAAUUUCCAUGUUAUUUAUCCAUAUUGACCUAUGUCAUUGAAUGUAUUGAUGUGAUGGUCAUUGGGGUCUAGUUACAUUUGUUGUAGUGACAAAAGCCGUGAUGAUUCCAUUAUUGAUACAUGAGAUGAACCAGAUUGUUAAGGUGAAAGUUUAAAAAUAAAUAGCAUACAUAUGCACGCUUAAGGAUUCUUUAUAUAAUUUGUACAAUAUAUAUGUAGCCCAAGUGGGAGAUUGUUGAAAUUUUCUAUUUUAAUAAUUAAUGUGGGUUAAUAUUAUAAGACAAUUACAUUAGUUAUUUAUCAUUAGUGGGUUUUAUUUUAUGUGAUCAAAUCAAGUGAGUCCCUUAGACAACCAAAUAAGAUGAUAUGAACUUAAAUGAACUUAGAAGAUAAUGAGAACCCUAUUAGGUUAACACAUUAUAAGAAGGCUAUGGUCCCCAAUAUACCGAGCCGCUGACACAUAUGGUUUCUCUUUUCCCCACCUGAAGAGUUAUGAAGGUCUUAUUAAAGAAUAAAAAGGUUCCGGUUGAAGAAGAACCAUGAAGCCACCGGUUACAUUGUUAGCAUUCUGUAACAGGUCCUAUGAAGAGCACAUAGAUAAGAAAUCACAUAAAGAUUCAAUUUCCCUUGUGUUUUUUUCAUCAAUCAUGAUGGACCCAAGUAUUCCUAAAACUCUUCCUGAUAAUAUAAGGUAAUGUGUUCCUGAUAUUUAUAUUUUAUUGGUAUUUUAUAAGGAUCCCUGAAAAUUUACAACUAUCACUACCAAAACCAAAACCAGUAUAUCCAAUCUUAAUAUAACUUAGGUUAUCUUAGGAUUGGAGUUGGUAAAUAUUUUUCUCAAUUUUAAUACAAUAAAAAAAUUUAAUACACCAAAUGAAAUAAGAAAAAAUGUUACUUAUAGAAUAAAAAUACUUUUGACCUCUCACAACUUUAACCAACUAUCACUACCAAAACCAAAACCAGUAUAUCCAAUCUUAAUAUAACUUAGGUUAUCUUAGGAUUGGAGUUGGUAAAUAUUUUUCUCAAUUUUAAUACACAAUAAAAAAAUUUAAUACACCAAAUGAAAUAAGAAAAAAUGUUACUUAUAGGAUAAAAAUACUUUUGACCUCUCACAACUUUAACCAAACAUGCAUUUAAAUAUACCAUAACGAUUUUAUCUUACUAGAUGAUUUACAUACAUUUUAGUUACUUUGCUCAUUUAAGUGUAAUAUAUAUAUAUAGAAAUAAAACUGCUUUAUUAGGAAGUUAGGGAAUAAAUUGCACAUUCAGUUCCCAACUUGCUUGUCAUCUUGCAUUUUCAUGCCACCGGCAGAUUUGAAUUCUUCAUUCAACAUUUUCUAUCAUUAAUAAAUUAUAGCCCGUCCCAUAAGGCUCAAUUAAAGUCAAUUAUAAAACCAAUUAUAUGUGGGAAAUGAAAAAGACAAAAUAAUUGGAAAAUAUGUCUUAUUAAAAAAAUUAAAGAAUAGAUGUAGGUUAAAUAGAAGAAAAAUAAUGUUUUGAUUAAAGUUUUGUUGAGAGUCUCAUUUGUUUAAUUAGAAGAAAAAAUAACAUAACAUGCAUAACAUACCAUAAAAUUUUUUGAUGUACCUAUUGAUAUUCACACAAUUAAUAAAAAAUGACUAUUGAUUCAAAUGACAUUUUUAUGUCCACUCAUUACUAUUGAUCUUAAUGUUUUUUAGAUUUUGGCUUCAUUCAUUUUUUUUCUCACCAAUUUUUUUUUUGGCAUCUACCCAAUCUUUUCAUUUCACCAUCACAUCCAUUAACAUAUAUCAUAUCAUGUGUUAUUUUUCAUAUUCUAAUUAAGACUCAUUAAAGCCUAUUAUUUUUUUCUUAAACAAAAAAUAUAUAUUGUAAAUUUAAGAUAUAAAAUAAAAGUAAAAUUAUUAUUAAGAUAUAGUAUUUAUAGUAUAGUAGUAAAAGUACAAAUAUAAUAACAAAAAGAUGAUACAAGAUAAAAUAUCAACAAAAUGACAAAGGAACAAAAAAUGUUUAAACUUUUACAUAUUAAAACUAGACAGUUUAUUAUUUUCUUUACAAUUAAAUCAAAAGUUGUUAAAGCAAUAUAAUAAAUUAUUGGAUGGAAAAAAUUUAUUAUAUUAUUUGUAAUAAACUUGUUAGUAAAAAUACAUAUGUAAAUGGCGUUGUAAAAUACUUAAGAUGUCUGAUUACAUAUUAAUAAAAUUAUUAGAAAGAUUAUUUUGCAUUUACUUUAAACUCCAAUGAAAAAAAAAAGUAAAUUGCACUUGCAUUACCUAUAUUUUACUCCAAUUUUACCUAAUACUCCAAUUUUUAGUUUUUUUGGCAUCACUUUGACUCCCUUUAAUAAAAUGGUGUUAAUUAAUGGUUAUAAUUUUAUGUUGAAUGAUGAAAUUACCAUUUUCUUUUUUUCUACAUUAACACAACCUCACAAUAUUCUUGUGCCUAAUCCUCCUUGACGUCUCAACUUCAACAUCAAAUUCAUCAUCUUCCUCAAAAACCAACACUUUUAUCUACAUUUGUAGGUGCUUUACCUCCACCAGCUCACUAUUGCUAUGUACCACCUUGUACACCUUCCUAGAUGCUCCACUUCCUUGUACACCAGCUCAAUGAUCUUGUUCUUUCAUCGUACUCUUUGCACAUACAUGAGUGAUAUCCCUACAAAUGUCCUAUGAAAUUUGUCCUAAAAAUCUGUCUAAUAUACAAAUUAUGAACAAUUAUGCUGGAUAUCUUACAUAAAGAUAGACAAAUAAUUAGGGAUAUACAUGAUUAUGUACAAAUAAUCUCAUUACUCCCUUCAAGUUGGAGUAUGCAAAUCGCAAAUGUCCAUAUUGUGCAAUAAGUAAAUCGAGUACUUAGUUGGACCAAGUGCUUUGGUGAGUAUAUAAAUCAAGUCUGAGGUCUUAAGAAGGGAUAGAAGUAGGUUAGAUCCUAUGGCAACUUGGUCAGGCUCAUUUAGCAAAAAAAAUCAAACUGAGUUUUUUUUAAAAAACUUGUUUAGUUAAAAAGGCCAGACAUGGUCUUAAGAAAAACUUAUGAGAUUUGAUGGCUUAAUCCAUUUAGCAAUAAUAUAUUUUUAAAUAAAAAUAUUAUUAUUAAUAUGAUAUAUAAUAUUAUAAUCUAAAAUAAAAUUAGAAAUCCUAUUUCCUUAAGUUUUCUCUACGCAAGUAUGAAGUAAUGCAACUAGUGUUCUUAUAAAACAAAAUAAUCUAAAAACAUGUGAUUAGAAUAAAUCGGAAGAGUGAAUAACAUGGUGGCAAAAGUCAAAUUUGAUAUGGCUGAGGUGAUUAUGCACAAAAGAUACCUUAAAAUUAUAUUGACAUUUAAAUUGGUUUAAGGAUCAGUGUACUUAUAUAAUGUCAGGGCCAAACAUAAAAAAUAAGACGGUCACGUAUAAUAGGUUUAUGCUUGGGCUAUAAAGUUAUAAAGUGGGUUAGACUAUGCUUAGGUAAAGUUUGACUCUGUCUAAACCAUUUUCACAUCUAGACAUAAGUAGGUCCAAUGUUGUCAUUUUGAAUUUCAUCAUGAAUAAAAUGACAGUCAACUUCGAUAUGUUUGGUAAGUUCAUGAAAAACUAAGGGAGUGUUUGGUUUGUCUGUUUUUUGUUUUCAUUUUCACUGAAAACAGAAAAUAGUGAUGAAAAUGUGUUUGGUUGGAUUUUUGAAAACAUUUUCAGUGAAAAUAAAAACAGAAAACAACCAGAAAAUGAAAACAAUAAAAUUUCAUUUUCAAUGUUUUCAGUUGAAAACAGGAACUUCAUUUUGGGUAAAAUGAAAAUGAGAUGACAAUGAAUGUAAUUUAAGCAAAUUUAAAAAUACAAAAAAGACAAGAAAUCAAUAUAUCAUAAAUUUUCAGUGUUUUUAUUUCCUAAAAACAAAAAACAAGAAGUCAAACCAAACAUAUUUUCAGAAUUCUAAUCUUUUGAAAAUAAAAACAGUUUUCAGAAAAUGAAAACAGGAAAUGAAAAACAGAAAAUGAAAAUGCAAUCCAAACACACCCUAACUUUUUGGUGGUGAUCACAAUGAAGAUGGAUAGGUUGAGAACGUGAGAUACUAAGGUUGAAAAGAAUUUUCUUUAACCAUUUUUACUCGUAAAUAAUCGUUAGCAUGAAAUGGUAUUCAACUUUAGUGGAUGAGCAUGAAAUCAUGGGUUGCUUUUUUAGUUUUCCACGAAAUGGAAAAGUUUCCCAAAUGAAUAAAGCAUCAUGUGAGAUGUACCGUCCUUCGAUAUAAUAACAACCCGUAAUAAAAAUAUACUCUAAAAUGCCUAUAAGAUAUGGAUUUAGAAAUUUCAUUGGUUCAAAAUACUUCAAAUAUUAUAAUAAAUGAGUCCUUACAUAAUUAAACAAUUGUAUCCUCAAAUAUGGGUAUCUACAAAGUUGAACUAACAAUAAACUAAGUAUUCAAUUCUCCUUCGUCUGAAAAGUUUCUUCAUUGAACUCUGAAAACAACACUUUUAAUGAGAUAAUAAUCCUAUUGAAUAAAACAAUUUCUAAAAGAUUUCGCAAAUAAUGUUCUCAAUCGACGCAAUAACCUAAAAAUCCAAUCAUUGUAUCCGCAAAAUUAAAUUUAAAAUAAUAUAUACAUACUUAUAAACAAUCACAAAUUAUUCACACAAUGAAAUAACACUCCGGUCAAUAAACAUCAACAGUUCACUACAUUCAAUUCUUGAACAAACUAACAAAUAUCACAACACAACAUAGUGAUUCCCAGAAUCAUUAGCCUCAACUAUUUGGUUCCUGAACCAGUGUGGAUCUCAGACUCUUCAAAUGAUCUAUGAGCUCAUAUUCAUGCAAUAAUGUCUCACUACACCAUCCCUAUCAUAGAUGAAGGUGUCAAGAAUCUUUUUCUCAUCCCAUAUGAAGGUAUCUAUAAUCUCAUCUAUAACAUUCCAUUUUUCGUAAAUAAAUUUAAUUUUUUAUUAUUUAAAAAUAAAUAAAAUUGAAAAAAAAUGAUGAGAUUUUUAUAAUUAAAUAAAUAAGGAGAAAUAACUUUAUUAAUUAAAAUAAUGGUUUGAAAGAAAAUAAAAAAAAGAUAUUUGAUUUAUUCAUUUGAUAAAAAAUAAAUUACAGUAUUUCUUUAUAAAAUAAUAAAUAAAGAAAAUAGAGUAAAUAAUAGGUUGAGAGUAUCCUAACUAUAAAUAGAGACAUGUUAUGUCAGUUUUCAGACAAACGAUAGUCUUUACGGUUUCUCUUCCUCUCAAUUUCGUUUUCCCUUUUCCUCCUCUCAAAACUCUCUUUCUUUUUCCCACAUACACUUAAACCUGUCCUAGUAAAAUGACGAUCUCAAACUUGUUAACCGUUGGAUCAUCAAGAAAUUUGAGCAUCAGGUUUGGAACUCAUCUCUGAACAUUCUCACCAUUAGAAUUUGCGAAACAAUGUCAUCAGAGGUGAUAAAGAUUCCCUUUUAUUGUAGCUUUCUCUUUUCCCGUAGAGACCCAAAACCUAUCCUAGUAAAACUACAAUCCCGUAUUCGUUAAUCGUUGGAUCAUUGUAAAAUUUGGACACCAGCUUUGGAAUUCAUUUUCGCAAAUCACCAUUGGGAUGUGCGGAAUAAUGUUUUUGCAGAGAGAAAUUAGUGUCGCACGUUGACAGUAAAAUGGAGGUUAUAAUAUCUUCUCAUUAUCUCUAAUGCUUGGAAACCCUAACAGAGCAAAAAGAGGAAAAACUUGAGGAAUCUUAAGGAAUUGCCAGAGACACCGCUAUCAUUACUGGACUACAUACAUGAGCCCGCUUAGAGGUAAAGGUUGAGUUUAUCGCCAUUGAGAUUAGAAUAAAUAUGUGUAGGAAUUCUUAGGAGAUCAAAUUGGGGUUUAUUUUAGGAUGUUUAUUGUAUUGUAAUUCUUUCUGUAUGAUUAUGUGAACUAUUUGAGGGAUUUUACUCCCUGUGUUGUGAGAAACAUUUUUGUAUGAUUUGUUUGUGUUUUGGAUAAGAUUAGCAUGAUAAAUAGUUACACUAGGAUCAUUAAAUUGUGAUUGAAAUUUUGUAUAAGUGAUAAAUUGAAUAUGUGAUGAAUUGUGAGAUAACACAUUGCUUUGAGAUUAUAACAUUGUUAUUGAGAUUGAGUAUAAGUGCAAAGUUGAAUGUGUUAAUUUGUGAGAUACACGUAAACAUGUGAUGAUGGAUUGUGACAUUAUGAGACGUUAAAUUGUGGACAUGAGAUUUGAUUGUGAAUAAGUAUAUGGUUAACACUUGAUAAGGCAAUACUUGUACUGUGAGCUGUGAAUUAUACAAUAACCUGACCAGUGUUUACCUUGAGAAAAGUGUUUAUGCACAGUGUUAAAGGGAAAAUGUAGGAUUCAUAUUUAGGAACCAAUGUUAAAUUAUAGCACAAUAUGUUGAAUGUGUUUGAAACACGAGUGUGGGGUCGUGGGUAUUAUAUAAUUCAUGAGUAGUAUCUACGUGCAAAAAUGGUUUUAGGGGUGGGACUUGAAUUAGGAAGGUGAGACCCUAACCAAUUCUUCGGAGUCUAGGCCUUGGGGGUAAAGGCACUCGGUUUGAAUGCUCCUUUAAGCCUAUGUUGAUUUCAUAUGGUUGGAGCAUUCAUGUAAAACAGAGUGAACCUGAUUGGUUACCUUAUGAUUUUACUUAGUGAGAGUGACCUGACAUACCCAUUGUAUGGUGUGUCUUGUUAUGUACUUCUAAGUGUCUCAGGUGAUUUUUUACUGACAUGAUACCACAUUACAUAUAGGCUUGAGUUUUAGUAUAAUUGUUGCAUAACACUUGCUAAUUGUUUAUCAUGAAAUUGAAGAGUGUUAUUACAUCUUGACUUGAAUGUGUGAUUCAUAUAUAAUGUGAUAGGUGAUUGAAGAAUGAAAUUUUAAAUGAUCAAGUGGUGAAGUGAUGUGAGUUGUAUUAAGUUGAACUAUGUUAUAAAUAUUUUUAUAAUAUAUUUGGAUUAUGUCUUUAUUUAUUUGUAUUUUUUUAAAUGUGAUAACUUACUCACUGUGUGCUAUUUGUGUUUAGAUCCUGUGAUGAUCUCAAACUUUGGGUUCGUGGGAGCAGAUGACUAGGUGGAUGACUUUAAAUAACAGUGCUAGAGGACGCUGGAACGCAAUGCUCUGAUAGGAUGUGACAUUGGGAAUGAGUUUUUAUUUUAAUUGCAUGAUGCUAUUUUAUUUUAUUUUAUCUCACUUAUUUAACACAAUUUCUUUUGUAAACUUUGACAGUCUUGCUCCGAGCUGAAUAUGUAUUUGUAUAAGUUUUAUUUGACUAUUAAAGCGAAUGUGAGCCUUUUACCCUUUUGAAAUACUUUUAUUUAAAUGUUUUUGAAAACUAUUAAUUAGUUAUGCUUUUUUAUUCCUUUUAUUAUUAGUAUAUAUAUGUGUAAGAUAGAGGGUGUCACAUCAUUGUCAUUCCAGAUGGAGGUAUCUCAUAUCUCUUCUCCAUCUCAAGUAAAAGUAUCUCAUGCAUAUUCAAUUAUCAAAAUAAGAUAUAUACUUUCAGUUUUAGAGUUUAAAAUCUUUGUGCAAAUAAAUGUAAAAGAUUUUUUUACUAUGGUAGGAAAAUCCAGCAUUUACAGUUGGCUUACAUUUAUCUUAUUUUAAGGAGACAAGCUGUUGGAGUUUUCUGCAAGUGAUUUUUUGUCUUUUAAUUGUUGUUUUAUUGCUUGAUAACUAUGGAUAUGAUUAUUAGUUAUAAAUAGAAAUAAAAUAUAAUUUGUAGAUAUGUUGUGUGGUAAAAAUUUAUUUUAAUCUUUGUAUGACAAACCUUGAAUACGGUUUGAAAUUCUAAAUAUAAAGUUGGGUUUAUAAAAAGUAAGUAAAUAGAUAUUAUAAACUUCAGUUUUUAAGUAUCUUGCUAAAUAAGAUUCACGUUAGACCCCUUUCUGUGUUAACAUAUUACAGACUAUGUAUUUGAUUAAAAAUUAUGAAAUCAAGGCAAUAGAUAUGUUUAACGUACUCAAGCAUUCUGAUGUUGUACUAACAAACAUUGUUUUAUUGUUUUUAUUCUCUAAUCAAAUUCCUGGUUGCAGCAAUUUAUUUCCUUUUUCUAUGUGGUUUCUUUGGUAAGGUUGUGGCAAGAAAUUUAUUGCCGGAACUUGAUACAACUUUAUCAGUUAACUGUGUUCUGCCGCUGCCUUUUCUGUUUUCAUGCAAAUAAAUCAUAAACAAAGAGAAGAUUGAAUUAUUUGGUUAAAAUUAUGUUGAAAUUUGAAAACGUCUCACUCUCACCAGAACCGUUUUAUCUAUGACUUGAUGGUUUGCUUUUCUUAAUUCUUAUUUAUGCAAUAUGGGCAGUUUAAAAGCCAUUUCCAUGAAGUUCGAGUUCUCCCUUACUGCAUAUCAAUUGCCUGUGAUAACUAUGAAGUAUGAAUAGUGUCAUCAAAUUUUGCCCGAAUGUAGAUAUGGGGCAGACAUUGCACGAGGGAUUGUUGAGUUACAUGCUGCAGGCAUUGUUUGCAUGAAUAUAAAAACAUCCAAUCUUCUUCUUGAUUCAACUGGCCUUGCUGUGAUUUCUGAUUACUGCUAUUCUGAAGAAGCAUUCCUGUUGGAAGGGCCAACCUGAGCAUGACUCCUCAAACACAUUAUACAGCUCCAGAGGCUUGGGGGCAACUUCUGAAGAAAUCAUUAAAUUUGUUCUGGGAUGAUGCAAUAGGUAUAUCAGCAGAGUCUGAUGCCUGGAGUUUUGGUUGUACACUGGUGGAGAUGGGCACGGGUUUUGUUCCGUACAUGGAUCAACUCAUCAUUCAAUUUUUCUUUUUCUUUGCAUUCUGGUUUUCUAGAGUUGCAUAUCGCAAAUUCUAUGCUUGUGUAGUUGGGCUGGUUUAAGUUCGGAGGAAAUUUAUCAAGCAGUUGUCAAGGCAAAGAAACUGCUUCCACACUAUGCCAGUGUGGUUGGUGGUGGAAUACCUAGUGAUUUGUGGAGGUUGAUUGGAGAGUGCUUGCAGUUCAAGCCAUCUAAAAGGCCUAGUUUAACUGCAAUGUUGGCAAUAUUUCUCCGUCAUUCGCAGGGAAUGCCGCGCAGCCUUCCUGCAAGCCCAAAUAAGUAAGCCCAUUAUAAUUAUCCAUGACUUGUAUCUUCUAUGCUGUUUUUAUGGCAUCUGAUUGAGCAGUCAAAAUGUAGCCUAUUUAUAGUUUUAGAUGUGUGGUGUGGAAAUGAGCCAAAUUUGCAGUUGUCGUAGAUGCCAAACAAUUGACUUGUACAUGUUUUAUAUUUUUGUAAAUACAGUGAUAGAGUUGUCCCCUGUGCAAGAAUUAGAAGUUUCUCAGAAAAACCCAUUCCAUCUUCAUCAAUGUGUGUCUCGGGGAUGUUAGAAGUGUUAGGUCAGUUGGUGCAUCAAAGUCACAAACAAUCUUCCUUGAGCUUGCUUUCAUUUUCAUUUUGCAAUUCAUUCUUUUUCUUUGUACUUUCCGUACAGUGAUCUUCUUUUCAAGGCUGCAUCAGACUAUGGCAGCAACAGCCUAUCUUCUCUGCUGGAAGCUCAAAAUGCUGAUGAACAAACUGCUCUCCACUUAGCUUGUAGAUGUGGCAGUGCAGAACUUGUUGAGGCAAUUUUGGAGUAUGAAGAGGCAAAUGUUGAUGUCUUGGACAAAGAUGGAGAUCCUCCUCUUGCUUAUGCAUUAGCUGCUGGAUCCCCAGAAUGCGUUCGCAGUCUUAUCAAAAGAGGUGCUAAUGUGAGGCCACAAUUAAGAGAUGGCUUUGGCCCAUCUGUUGCUCAUGUUUGUGCACAUCAUGGCCAACCAGAAUGCAUGCGAGUAUGUUUUACUUUAAUCAUAUUCAGGUUCGUCUUUGCAUUUACUAGAGCUAUAUUCAUAUAAAUAUAUGGUAAAAUAACAGGAAUUACUAUUAGCUGGAGCUGAUCCUAAUGCAGUGGAUGAUGAAGGUGAAUCUAUCCUGCAUAGAGCAGUUCCCAAGAAGUGUUGGACAUUUUAGUGUAAUUGAUCUCUUUAUUAUGUUAAAAUAAGAGUGCACGCUUGUUUUAAUGUAAUAACGAGAUGCUCGGUUUAGGCAAAUUUUGGAAGUUACAUGGAAGUCAAAUUUUGGAAGUUACAUGGAAGUUAUUUUUCAAGAAAAGAAAGUUUUUUUAAAAAAGAUAAACUUCCAUCAACCGCCAACCGUUUUAUUUUAAAGGAUAAAACUUCCAUAACUUCCUUCAACCGCCAAAAACCACCUGUUCUUUGAUUAUAAAUAAUCAUCCUGGUUCAGAAAGCAUAACAUGUGAAAAACAUACAAGACCAAAACAAAACUCUUGAAUUAUAAUCUUCUGAUUUUAUCCGAUUGAACAAUUUUGGUUGAACCCCGAAAUUUGAUUCAAUCUGAAAGUGUUUAUACACGACUUCAGAUUUAUCCAGGAUUAUCUCGAUUUUCAAAAUUAACCAACAAAAGAUUGAAUCAAAUCUUUCGAGAUGACGAACGAUAGUUCGAAGAUGACAAGCAAGUUUGCAAAGUUGGACAAGUUUGAAGGGUAGGAUUUCAGAAGAUGGCAGAAGAAGAUGCACUUUCUCUUGACAACAUUGAAUGUGGUGUAUGUGCUGAGUACACCGAUGCCGGUGUAUAUGGAAGGCGAAACUCUGGAUCAAACAAGGAAGCGUUCGAAAUGGGAGAACGACGAUUACAUUUGUCGUGGACAUAUUCUGAACGGUAUGUCUGACUCUCUCUUUGAUAUUUAUCAAAAUGUUGAGUCUGCUAAGGAAUUAUGGGACUCUCUUGAAUCCAAGUAUAUGGCAGAAGAUGCCUCAAGUAACAAAUUCUUAGUUAGUAAUUUCUUUAAUUACAAAAUGAUUGAUUCGAGGCCUGUUAUGGAGCAAUAUAAUGAACUGCUGCGGAUUUUGGGUCAGUUUACUCAACAUGAUUUGAAAAUGGAUGAAUCCAUUGCAGUUUCAUCUAUAAUUGAUAAACUGCCUUCUUCUUGGAAAGACUUCAAGCAUACCUUGAAACAUAAGAAGGAAGAGUUGACUCUGGUUUAACUCGGUAGUCAUUUCAUGAUUGAGGAGUCGCUGAGGGCUCAGGAAAUUGACAAAGUCAAUAAUAAAACCGUAGCAGGUUCCUCUUCCGUUAAUAUGGUAGAGGAAAGUGGAACAGUUAAGCAAAAUUACAAUGCUAAAGGUAACAAAUGAAAAUUUCAAGGAAAUAAGAACAAAGGUCCAAACAAACAGACAAAAUUGUCUUGUUGGAAGUGUGGGAAACCUGGUCAUUUAAAGAGGGAUUGCCGGGUGUUCAAAGGAAAGAACAAGGUUGGUCCAAGUGGGUCUAAUGAUCCUGAAAAGCAACAAGGUCAGAUUGUAGUGAAUAAUUUUAAUUCGAAUACGAAUUCAAAUUAUGUAUCACUAAUAUCUGAUGCAUUCUAUGUGCAGGAUGAUGACGUUGCUUGGUGGUUUGAUUCGGGAGCAACAAGCCAUGUGUGCAAAGAUCGUCGUUGGUUCAAGGAAUUUAGACCAAUCGAUGAUGGCUCUAUUGUGAAGAUGGGCAAUGUUGCAACUGAACCAAUCCUAGGAUUAGGUUGUGUGAAUUUAGUUUUUACUUCCGGAAAAAGUUUGUAUUUGGAUAAUGUCUUAUUUGUACCUGGUAUUCGUAAGAACUUAUUGUCUGGUAUGGUUUUAAAUAAUUGUGGUUUCAAGCAAGUACUUGAAAGUGACAAGUACAUCUUGUCAAGACAUGGUUCGUUUGUUGGAUUUGGUUAUCGUUGUAAUGGAAUGUUUAAAUUAAACAUUGAUGUUCCUUUUGUUCAUGAAUCUGUUUGUAUGGCCUCGUGUAGUUCUAUAACUAAUAUGACAAAAUCAGAAAUUUGGCAUGCUAGAUUAGGACAUGUUCAUUACAAAAGAUUAAAAGAUAUGUCAAAAACAAGUAUGAUUCCUCCUUUUGAUAUGAACAUUGAAAAAUGCAAAACUUGCAUGUUGACCAAGAUCACUAGGAAACCUUUUAAGGAUGUUAAAAGUGAGACUAAAGUCUUAGACCUUAUUCAUAGUGAUUUGUGUGAUUUGCAUGCUACUCCAUCAUUAGGUCAUAAAAAAUAUCUUGUUACUUUUAUUGAUGAUGCAUCAAGGUAUUGUUAUGUAUAUUUAUUAAAUACAAAAGAUGAAGCUCUUGAUAAAUUUAAAAUUUAUAAGAAAGAGGUAGAACUUCAUCAAAAUGGGCUAAUCAAAACUCUUUGUACGGAUAGGGGAGGUGAGUAUUAUGAUCCGGUUUAUUUUCAAUCUACUGGAAUAAUACAUCAAACUACAGCUCCCUAUACACCACAACAGAAUGGUGUAGCCGAAAGGAAGAAUAGAACCUUGAAAGAAAUGGUGAAUUCCAUGUUAUCCUAUUCGGGUUUAAGUGAAGGAUUUUGGGGUGAGGCUAUGUUGACAGCCUGUUACUUGUUGAACCGAAUUCCUAACAAAAGGAAUAAGGUUACCCCAUAUGAACUUUGGCACAAAAAGACACCAAAUUUGAGUUAUCUCAAAAUUUGGGGAUGUAGGGCUGUAGUCAGGCUUACAGAACCUAAAAGGAAAACCAUAGGUGAAAGAGGUAUAGAUUGCAUAUUUAUUGGAUAUGCUGAACAUUCUAAAGCAUAUAGAUUCUAUGUGCUAGAAUCUAAUGAUUCUGUUGCUGUGAACUCGAUUAUAGAGUCACGAGAUGCUAUCUUUGAUGAACAAAGGUUUACAUCUAUACCUAGGCCAAAGGACAUGAAUUCCAUGUCGAAAGUCUCAGUUAAUAUUGAGGAUAUACCUUUAACUAGUACUGAAACUAGAAAGAGUACGAGAGUAAGAAAAGCUAAGUCAUUUGGUGAUGACUUUCAACUCUAUUUGGUUGAAGGGUCAAGGAAUGAUAUUGAAUUUCAAUAUCAAUAUUGCCUUAAUGUUGAGGAAGACCCAAAGACUUUUAGUGAAGCAAUGGCUUCAAGGGAUGCUGUAUUCUGGAAAGAAGCAAUCCAAAGUGAGAUGGAUUCCAUCAUGCAAAAUAAUACCUGGAAAUUGGUUGACUUACCUCCUGGAUGUAAGCCAUUAGGAUGUAAGAUGAUCUUUAGGAGAAAGAUGAAAGUGGAUGGUACUGUUGACAAGUACAAAGCCAGAUUGGUUAUCCAAGGCUUUAGGCAAAAGGAGGGUAUUGAUUUUUUCGAUACAUAUGCUCCUGUUGCUAGGAUAUCCACUAUUAGACUGUUGUUAGCACUUGCUGCUAUCCACAAUCUGAUGAUUCACCAAAUGGAUGUGAAAACUGCAUUCUUAAAUGGUGAAUUGGAUGAAGAGAUAUACAUGAAACAACCUGAAGGGUUUGUUAUGCCAGGAAAUGAAAAUAAGGUGUGUAAACUGAUGAAAUCUCUUUAUGGCUUGAAACAAGCGCCUAAGCAAUGGCAUCAAAAAUUUGAUGAGGUUGUGUUGUCUAGUGGUUUUGUUAUAAACCAAGCAGAUAAAUGUCUAUACAGCAAGUUUGAUACUCAUGGCAAAGGAGUUAUCAUUUGUCUGUAUGUAGACGACAUGUUGAUCUUUGGUACCGACCAAGAUCAAGUUGAUGAAACUAAGGCAUUUUUGUCUUCUAAGUUUGAUAUGAAAGAUAUGGGGGAGGCGGAUGUGAUCUUAGGAAUAAAGAUUAAACGUGGAAACAAUGGUAUUUUCAUCUCUCAAUCACAUUAUAUUGAGAAGAUAUUGGAGAAAUUUAAUUUUAAAGAUUGUUCUCCGGUAAGUACUCUCAUUGAUCCUAACCUGAAGCUAUUACCUAAUAAAGGUGUAGCAUUGUCUCAACUUGAAUACUCAAGGGCGAUAGGAUCACUCAUGUAUGCAAUGAUUAGUACUAGGCCUGAUAUAGCUUAUGUUGUUGCUAAACUCAGUAGGUUUACAAGUAAUCCUAGUUCUCAUCAUUGGCAAGCUAUGAAUAGAGUAUUCAAAUACUUAAAGGGAACCAUUGAUUAUGGUUUGACAUAUACUAGAUUUCCUUCGGUUAUUGAAGGUUACUCUGAUGCAAGUUGGAUAACCAAUAUGGAGGAUUAUUCAUCCACAAGUGGUUGAGUAUUCCUCCUUGGAGGAGGUGCUAUAUCUUGGGCAUCCAAGAAAUAGACCUGCAUUACAAAUUCAACAAUGGAAUCUGAAUUUGUAGCUUUAGCAGCAGCUGGUAAAGAAGCUGAGUGGCUAAGAAAUCUGAUCUAUGAGAUUCCAUUGUGGCCCAAACCUAUACCUCCCAUGUCUAUCAGGUGUGAUAGUCAGGCAACUUUGGCUAAGGCAUAUAGUCAAGUGUAUAAUGGGAAGUCUAGACACUUGGGUGUUAGACACAACAUAGUUCGGGAGUUAAUCAUGCAUGGUGUGAUAUCAGUGGAGUUUGUGAGAACUCAGCAUAAUUUGGCCGAUCAUUUAACCAAAGGGUUAAGUAGAGAUCUCGUGAAAAGGUCGGCUGUGGGAUUAGGAUUAAAGUCCAUCUGAAAUCUCUUAUGUUAAGAUACCCAAUUCCCAUCUAAUAUGACAUUAGGUGCUGAAUUCAAUGUGGAAAGCUUAACAUGUAGAGAUUGGAACACAUCAUCGAAAUUAUCCCAAAAGGAAUGUGUUCGGUUCUGUAAGUUAAGGAGGUUGAAGUAUAACUUCUCAAUGGUUCUUUUGAAAAAUUGCAUUUACAGGUGCAAGAAAGAAAAGGACUACCUAUAUAAGCAUGAAGUUUAGCCGCUUCAAGAAGCUGGGACUUGGCUUUGAUAUGCUUAUGAAGGAUAGGGACACAGGCUAGUAAAACUAGUGUCGAGCAAGAGUAAUGUUAUAAACUAUUGUGCAGAUUAUCUUCAUGUAUUCAUUAUGAAUAGAAAGGGUUCAAUCCUUAGUGACACCCUGAUAUUCGAAUAUUUGAAACGUGUAAUUUGCUAAGAUGAAAUUCAAUCGUCACGAUAUUUCAUCUAUGCAGUAGUUUGUUGUAUGUUAUGACUUUGGUGAUUUGAUCGGUAAUUACACUAAAAUGGGGGAGGUUUGUUGGACAUUUUAGUGUAAUUGAUCUCUUUAUUAUGUUAAAAUAAGAGUGCACGCUUGUUUUAAUGUAAUAACGAGAUGCUCGGUUUAAGCAAAUUUUGGAAGUUACAUGGAAGUCAAAUUUUGGAAGUUACAUGGAAGUUAUUUUUCAAGAAAAGAAAGUUUUUUUAAAAAAGAUAAACUUCCAUCAACCGCCAACCGUUUUAUUUUAAAGGAUAAAACUUCCAUAACUUCCUUCAACCGCCAAAAACCACCUGUUCUUUGAUUAUAAAUAAUCAUCCUGGUUCAGAAAGCAUAACAUGUGAAAAACAUACAAGACCAAAACAAAACUCUUGAAUUAUAAUCUUCUGAUUUUAUCCGAUUGAACAAUUUUGGUUGAACCCCGAAAUUUGAUUCAAUCUGAAAGUGUUUAUACACGACUUCAGAUUUAUCCAGGAUUAUCUCGAUUUUCAAAAUUAACCAACAAGAAGUCCGCUGACUGUGCCCUUGUGAUACUGGAAAAUGGGGGAAAUGGAUCAAUUGCCAUCUUGAAUCCAAAGAAUAUGUCUUAAGUAUAGAUUUCCCAUCAAUUUUCUUCUUAAGCUUAAAAUGUGUUUGCCAAACUUGUCAAUCAGUCUAGGACUCCAGAGGUACAGAAAGAAACGGAUCUUACUCAUCAAUUUUGCAUAUCCAAUGAUCAAUGUGAAACAUGCACUUUAGCUGUCUCAGUCCACUGCAAUGACAGCAUGGCUUUUCUCUAGCAUGGAGCAGCAAACUCAUGUCGAAACAUGCACCUUAGCUGGAUAAAAUUGAUACAAACUACUUCUGUAAUUUCUUAGCUGCUUGUACAAUUGAGUACAAUUUAGGAUAGGAAUUGGAACAGAAUGACAAUAUAUUUCUCUAAAAUCCUUUAAUGUAUAAUGAAUAAUUGCUGCUAAUGCUCAAUAUCUUACAUAAGUGACAUUUAUUCUUAUUAUCUCUUCAUUAUGGUGCGUUCCUUCUGAAUUUUGAUUCCACUGAAAAACUUUCUAAUUUGCUGGUGGACACUAUCUUAUUGAUGCCAAAUUUUGUUUGUGGUCUUCCAUAGUUCUCUCCAAAUUUAGAGGUCAUGGAUCUUACCUUUUCAAUAGAUAGUUCUUUAUUGAUGUAUGUUGUCUGCGGGCUAAACAAACAGGUUGUUGGUUUCCCCCUAGCACUGGCAGACCUCUUUACUGAUUUUUUUUCAUCUUCUGUGCAUUAUCUAGGUUUAAUCAACAGUCCCUUGUCAUUCUGGUUCCUUAUUCUAUUGAGUUUUUAGUGUGAGCUUUUGUCAGCAAAAGGAAAAAAAAAUCAUAUUGUAAUGCUUUAUAUUACAAUAAUUUUAGUAAUCAAGUUUCAGAAUAACCAUAUUUGUAAAUAGAGAUUUUUUAUUUAUUUAUAAAUUACAUAAUAUAUGAAUACUUACAAUAGUAUGAUGAUAUGAUCAUUGUUUUAUUUGACGACCUUUGUAUAGAGAAUAGAUCUACAUGGUUCUUAUUUCUUAUCACUAGUACUAUUUUUACUUUGGAUAGAGUAAUUAUUAAGUUGUUGGUGUUAUAUUCCAUUUGUUUUUGCUCUCAUGCUAGACUAUACUGAUAGAUUAUAGAUAUCAUCAGGAUACUUUGACAAAUGUCUUUGUGAAGCUUGGGUUUUUAUACCUGUAUCCGUUGUUUUGUUUUUCCUCAUGAGUAAGUUGGGUCUGGUCGUAAUAUAUCUAGGGCAAAGGAAUGGUUUCUUAGAUGUAAAAGAUGGUAGUCUAUUCUUUUACUUUGAAUAAACCACAGUAGAAGAUUUCUGCACUGUGAUAUUGCUGAUGGGAAAACUGGAAAGAAAAAAAUCAAUUAUUCCUGUCUGAAUCAACCAUGGCCACCUCUUCUUUGUCCUUAUUUAAGUAGUACAACAACAACAACAACAACAACGCCUUAUCCCACUAGGUGGGGUCGGCUACAUGGAUCAACUUCCGCCAUAAUGUUCUAUCAAGUACCAUACUUCUAUCCAAACCAUUAAUUUCGAGAUCCUUUUUGAUAACCUCUCUUAUAGUCUUUUUGGGUCUUCCUCUGCCUCGAAUUGUUUGUCUUCUCUCCAUCUGGUCUACUCUUCUCACUACAGAGUCUACCGGUCUUCUCUCUACAUGCCCAAACCACCUAAGUCUAUUUUCCACCAUCUUCUCUACAAUAGGCGCUACUCCAACCAUCUCUCUAAUAGCUUCGUUUCUAAUUUUAUCCUGUCGAGUCUUACCACACAUCCACCGCAACAUCCUCAUCUCCGCUACACCUACUUUAUUCUCAUGUUGGCUCUUGACCGCCCAACAUUCUGUUCCGUACAAAAUUGCCGGUCUUACCGCAGUCCGAUAAAACUUUCCCUUUAGCUUGAUCGGUACCUUUGCAUCACAUAACACCCCCGAUGCUUUUCUCCAUUUCAUCCAUCCUGCUUGAAUGCGAUGAUUCACAUCCCCUUCAAUGCUUCUAGGAAACUGAAAGCAUAUGCUGUAGGUCAAUCAUAUAAUAGCAAGUUAAAUACCACUGAAGCUGGUAUUUUAGCUAAUUUUAAAGGAAAUUGCUUCUUUUUAUCAUAAUUCUGGGGGUUAGUUUUUUAGUUCUUGGGUGUUUUAUUUCUUCUCAUAUUUGUUGGAAUUUCUAUAUGGGAUUGCAACAUUUUAAAUGCAUUCUUGUUUCUGUGUGGGUGUUUGAAUAUAGAUAUCAUUUCGCCUCACAUGCAUCUGUGAUCAUCUAGUUUUACACUUUUGAUGUUGCAGACUGCUGCACUUGUGUGUGACAACUUGGAAUGAUAUCUAAAUUCAAACAUGGGAUUGCUGAAGUUGCAACUUCUGAUGAGAUUGCUGAAUCAAUUGACAUGACAUCCCAAGCCCUAUGAGCACUGCUUUGUGGAUGGCUGCUGCCUCCAAGAAAGAUCAUGAAAGUGGUAUGAAUAUCUGGGAUUAUUGGUUGAUACUUGAUAAUGAUUUUAGAAUUCAUAUUGUCUGUUGAUUGGGCUAUUAUAGUUUUUUAUUCAUACCUGUUGUUAUUGCUGUUUUUUUUUAUUCCAAACAAAGUUCAGUGCAUAUUUUCUUCUAGUAGGUAUUCCUAAUUUAUGCUAAUAAUUAAUAAAGCUUCUGUUUUCUAAAAUAGUUAAGUCAUCUGAUUUUGUUUGCUCAUGCAAAAUAUAGAGGAGAGAGAAUAGGUGCAAAUUUUGCUUUCUGCGGAGCAGAUCCAUCUGCUCAACAUUCACAGCAUGGGCGGACAGCUUUGCAUACAGCUGUUAUGAUUGACGAUGUUAAAUUGGUUAAGGUGAGUAAACCAGAUUCUUGAUUAGAAUGAUUAAAUAUCCAUCAAUAUUCAAUAUCAUGUUGGAAUAUGAAGUAUGUGCCUUUUGUAUCUGAUGUUAACUAACUUCUUUUUUUUGGUGUUGAGUAGGUUAUUCUUGCUGCUGGUGUUGAUGUGAACAUUCGUAAUGUGCACAAUGGCAUUCCUCUUCACAUAGCCUUAGCUAGGGGUGCUAAGUCAUGUGUUGAACUACUUCUAUGUAUUGGGGCAGAUUGCAAUUUGCAGGUUUUAAUUCAAGUUCUGAAUUUACUCUGUUUAACUACAGCAUUACACUAAGUGUUAUACUACUGUUGGUUCUUUAUAUAAGAAACAAAUAAUUAAUUCAUCAAGACCAAUCAAAGUAGUUUAGUUAAUUUUAAUUAAUAAUGUCAUAAAUUAAAAUUUGAUUCCAAAAGUAAAUAUAAAGGCAAAGUUUCAUAUCUCUUAUUAUUGUAUUGUUUCAAAACGAAUAUAUGGUGCUUUGAUCUUAUUUCUUUUUUCCUCUUGAUCUCUCUGAUACAUUAUAAAAUGAUUUUUCUAUUUGAUUAUAGUAGAUUUGGAAUUGAACUUCAUCAUAUGACUGAUUGAUUGCUGAGUUCAGUCUCCAGUUCACUGUAGUCAGCCACUUCGUCACAGAGUAAAUUAAGCCUAAUGAUAAUUUAUAUGGUUAUAAAUGGUUGGGGGACUGACUAAUCUAAGGGACAUGAUUCUUAUUAGAACUCAAAAAGUUACAUAUGCUGUUGAAAAUGUAGAAUGGAAUAUUGAAGUCUCUCUAAGUUUAUACAAUUGUCAUCUGUUUGGGAAUAUUUGAGAUCUAAUGAUAUAGUUGAAACUUGAAAGUUUAGUGUUUGCUUCCAUUGCAGGCAUUUAAUCUGUCAGACAAAUUGCAAUUUAACAAUUUGAGGUUUAUCCUCUUCAAAAAGUUAGUACAUAAUAUCUCAAACUAAGAGUUGGUUCAUAACAUUUUAUGGUGCACUCUAAAAUUGACAACUAGGCAGUUACAAGUAGCACCUGACUGGAACUAAAAUCUUCUCAAUGACAGUUUUUAGAUUGCACCGAACUUCUGGAGGAUGAAGUUUUACAAAUGAAACCUCACCAUUCAUUUUAACUCCUCAAUAGUGAGCCAGAGUUCAGGGGUUGUUAAAGUGUUACUAGCGUAACUUCUGUACCAACACUGAAAAGUGCAUAAACUUUAAAUCUACCUUUUAUCCUAAACAGUAAGUAGGCAUUAGUUUUGAUUUACUGUUGUCUUUAUCAUAUCUAUCUUUUACAUUUUAGGCUGGCUUGUGUACAUGCACAAGGAUAAACAGGGUGGAAUAUGUUUUUUUAACAAAAAAUUGUUACAUGCUAUAAAUAUUUGAAAGUUGACAUUCUAGUGUCCGCCUAUUGUCUGAAAUAAGUUUUGCUAUUAUGUUUCUAAUUUAAAGUUCUAAGCUGUUUAUUUUGUCUCAGGAUGAUGAUGGUAACACUGCUCUCCAUAUAGCAGCAUGAACAGCAAAAAUGAUACGUGAAAAUCUUGAUUGGCUCAUUGUAUGCUUGGGAAUCCUAAUGCUGAUAGUCAGAAACUACUGGCAAGUUGCAGCUCUGUGCACUCAUUCUCAUUAGAUUUUGAUUACAUUUUUUUUCAUCUUUUAACCAUCUGAAAAACUUUUGUCCAUCCUUUUAGAAAACUUUGGCAACUUUCAUUUUUCCAUUCCAAAAGAAAGUCCCUCCUAUGACUUAUAGAGUUAUGUUUUAUUACAGUGGCAAGACUCUAGGUGACAUCUUGGAUGUCCUUCCCCGAGAAUGGAUAUCAGAAGAUCUGAUGGAGGCACUCAUGAAGAAAGGAGUUUGUCUCUCUCCUGCAAUGUAAGGCAACGACAUUUUAUUAUUAUUUUUUUUAUUUACUGUUCUUGAAAUAUCUUCAUUGUAUGUCUUAAAAUAUUUUAGAAUAUCGUAGGAAAUCUUUGAAUUUUGUCAUAUCAAUUACCUCUCGAAUAUAGGAAGAAAUUUUAGCUGUUUCCUAACUUCAUUAUGUUUUUAAUUAUUUUCCUUAUUUAAGUAGGGUUAGGAGUUUAUUGUCUUAGUGUGCUUUUUGCACUUGUAGCAUAGAACUACACCUGUAAGUGACCUAAUUCAUAGUAUAAAUAAGUGCCAGUGUCUGUAAUCUAAUGGAAUACUAUCAAGAACCUUCACUGAGAAAACAAUACAAUUUAGCUCCUUCUUUUUCUCUUUCCCUCCUUUCCUACCUUAAGCCCCAUAAAUUCAAUAGAUGUGAUAUCAUAUUUAUUUUCUAACCACAUCCAACUAUUUUUUUAUAAUUUUUGUUUAUUGUUUUAGAUUUGAAUUGGGAGACUGGGUGAAGUUUAGAAAAACUUCCAUAACUCCAACAAAUGGGUGGGAAGGUGAUCGGCAGAAGCAGGUGGGCUUUUUGCAGAGAGUUCCAGACAAAGAUAAUCUCAUUGCUUCAUUUUGUUCUGGAGAGUAUUAUAGUGUUUUGGCCAAUAAAGUUGUAAAAGUCGUUCCAUUAGACAGGGGACAACAUGUGCAGCUUAAAGAGGAUGUAAAAAAGCCAAGGUUUCUUUCUGCAUAAAUCUUAUAUGAAAUAUAAGUGAGGAAAAGUAUGUGUGAAUUUUCAUCAGUACAUGCAUAUGUUUAUAUUAUGUACAGUAUGAAUUACAAGAGGAACCAUCUUCUAAAUCAGAACUAAUUAGCCCUGGCACCACUCAUCCAUGAGUCAGUAACAUCCAACUAAGCAUUAUAUAAUAUAAUGGCUUCUUUGUGUCCAUGCCUCUGUUGGAGGGAUUUCUAUGAUCCUUUAAAAUAUCUAAAUAGAUUGGAGAGGUCAUAUUUGGAUCCAAUUGCAAGGUACGAGACUUGAGUCCCACAGUAGAAGUGUGGGAUUAGAAUUCUGUUUGAGUCCAGCUUCUCUUAUUAAGGAGAAGAGAAACCCAAAAUAAAUUAGGCCAAGCACUUCCUAAAACAUCAUAUGAUGUCUGGAAAUGAUGUAUAUUUGGCCUUUGUUCUUAUUGCAGAUCAUUUGUGUUAGUCCAACAUGUAUUGCAGGCAGUCUUUACUUUCCAGAUAGUGAUCAUGAGUUGUAAACUAACAAGUAUUACAACACAACUUAGUGAUUUCUAUGAUCACUAGACUCAACUUUUUGGUUUUUAGAACGGAUGUGCAUCUCAAAUUCUUUAAAGGAUCUAUGAGUUUAUAUCCAUGCAAUGACAUCUCACUGUCUACCUCAUCAUAGAUGAAGGUGUCAAGAAUCUCUUUCCCAUCCCAUAUGAAGGUAUCUAUAAUCUCAUCCUCAUCUCAGAUGGAGAUAUCUCAUAUCUUUCUCUCAUCCCAAAUGAAAAUAUCUUUUGGAUAUUCAAUUUUCAAUAAAAUAUACAUUGUCACCACUUCCUAAAAGAUGACUAAUAAAUUACAAAGUCAUACCCCAAAUUAUAACAUCAUGAGAGUCAAUUAAUAAUUAACUAUGAAAUAAAACACACACACAAUAUUAAAUAUAUUUUAGUUGAUAUAUAUGAUAGCUAAACACAAAACUCAAGCAAACUUAUUCAUGAAUUUUUAAAUAAAUUCCAAGAUUAAAUAUGUAACCAAUGAAGAUUUGUACAUUAUAAUACCCCUUUUGUAAAAUUAAAUCAAACCCCACGAAUAGUAACAAUUACAUGUGAAUAUGGUUAUAUCAGACCCUUAAAUAAUGUCAUGCAAUGAUACGACGGAACCUAAAUUUUGCAUCAUCAAUGGAUUAAUUGACACAAAUAUCAAUGUAUCAAUUUAUCGAUUUAUCAUUGGUAAACUCAAAAAGAUGUAUUUCUAAAAUCUAUAUCAUGAAAGUUUAGAAAAAGAAGGUCAUUUUACUCACUUCUUGAAACACAUAGUAAUUCACGCGUUUCACUUAUUAUUCUUCUUCUACUGGGACAACAAGAUUCUUUUUGUUUCUUCUUUCUUCUCAAUCCUAUAUAAUUUACUAAUUUUUUAUUUUCUAAGAGACUGUCUAUAAAACUUUAGAAGAAGAGAAUUAUUUAUUCCUAUAUAAUACAAGGAUAUAUAAUUUAAGAUUAGGUCACAUGAGAUAUAUUCUUAGUAGAUUUGGCUAAUCAAAUCUUUCUUUUUUUUCCUACUUAUUAUCUUGAUUUACCUGAUUAUUAAAAUUAUCUAAUAUUUUAUUUUCUUUCAAGAUAUAUUAAGAUAAACCAUGGUAAAAUUUAAAUCAUUGUCAAUUAUCACAAUUUUACAUGUAACAAAUAUCUUAUCCAAACUAGAUAUACAAUGCUAUAUUAUUAAUAGAAUAAUUAUUUUUACAAUAAUAAUAAUCUUUUUAAUCCUCUUAAUUAGGAUAUGAAAGAGUCACGCUUUCUUUUAUAAUUAUAAAAUAAUCUCAACAAUUUUUAUAUUAACUGACUAAUCUUUUUUAUUUAUAAAACUCAAUAAAGUACUUAAAAGAUACAUAAUCUUUUUAUUCAAUAUUUCAAAGAUAUAUAUAUAUAUAUAUAUAUAUAUAUAUAUAUAUAUAUAUAUAUAUAUUAUCAUAAUUAUUUUAAUUAAAAUUAAUAACAAUUAUUAUAUUAAAAUUUUAGGAUGUUACAUGAGAAUGAGAAGAUAUGUAAGUAUGGAGACGACUUCCCCAUUCUGAAUUACACUAGGCCGUCAAUUGCAAAUCAAAAUUUCUACUCAAGAGCACACACCUUGUUCUGGAUUCCCUACUACUCACAUCAGCCUCCUAAUACUCUUGUCUAGGUUGAUGCAUGAACUGAGACAAUAUGUAAACACAAUAAGACAAUUUUGGUAUAGUUAAACAAAGGUAAAUAAGGCGUCCAACUAUCCGCCUAUAUUAAUCAAGAUGAGAAAAUUCUGAUCCUUCAACAAUACCCAAACCAUGAUUCUGCUCCAUGGGACUAUUUGAUGAUUUUGUUUCAAAAAAAUCUUGUUUCUCUUAUGAUACUCAGAACAGUCAAUUGUAUCAAAUAAAAGAAAGAAGAUAACUCUUCAAUUAUAACAAUUUUAUACAAAAAAUUAAAAAUAUAUAAAAUUUACUUUUUAAGUUGCUUCUAUAAAAAACUAUUAUAACACGUAGAUUUUGUUCUUCACAAAAUCAAGGUCAAGAACCAAUAAAUGUUGAACAUUGACAUUUUCUGCUUCUCUUGCUUAAGUUUUUUUUUUUUUUGGUGAAUUUUUCUCUUGCUUAAGUUUUUUUUUUUUUUGGAUGAAUUUUUCUCUUGGUUAAGUAGGAGGCAUCUAAGUGACAAAGACGCGUUUUCUAUUUCAAGAGUCUUGUUUGGUAUACAAAUUAAAGUCUUUUAUUCUGUAAUCAAUUUAUAGUAAAAAUAUCUGAUUAAUUUUUAUGAAGUUUUAUUUAACGUCCCUUUACUUCAAAAUCACAUGUUAAGAGGAUAGUAAAUGAAUGGGUUUUUUUUAAGUGAAUGCAUCUCUCUCUUACUUUUUUUUUCAAUUUAUACUUUGUAAUUUAAUUCCCAAUAUACACAUUCUCUUUUUUUUGUUUUUUUUUUAAUUUAAAAAUUAUAAAAUAUAAAUAUUAUAUUAUAUAAUUUUUUAAUUGGUUUUAAAAUUAAUUAUUUAUUAAAUUAAAUUUUAUAAUUUUGUUUUUUAAUUUUUUAAAAUAAAAUAAUAUUAUUAAAUAUAAUUAUUUUUAUUUUAUUAUUUAAUUAACUUAACAUAUUUUUAGGUGAAUAUUUUUAUUUAAAAUCUGAAUUUUAUAAUAUAAUUAUAUUACUAAAUAUAAUUAGUUUGUUUAUGUCAUUAGAUUUAAUUAAAAAUGAGAAGACUUUUUGUUCAACAAUUUAUUUAUAGAAAAACAUUAUAUUGCAUUAUCAAUAAAAUACUUAAACAAUUACACUUGACUAAGAAAAAACUUAAAUGAAGAUAUAUUAGGACAAUUGUUUCUGUUAUGAGCAUGUUGCCGACAAAUUCCACAUUUUUUACUACUUUCUCAUUCAUUUUUCAUCUCGGUAGGAAUGCGAGUCGAGACGGGACGACCAUUUGCAGUCCUCUUUCUCCCUUGAUCAUAACCCACUGUAUUUUUUUAACGUGUUUCAUUAUUUUUUACUGUGUUUUUUAGUUUGUUUUAAUUCUACUAACUAAUUUUCUUAUUUUUUAAAUUAACGAACAUAACAAACUAAAUAUAAACAGCACAUAAAUUUAACUACAAAAGUACAUACAACUUAACUAAAAAAUUGUGGUUUUUUUUCCGUGAAUACACCCUCUCUAUCCUGCUUUUACUCAAUCUACACUACAUUGUAAUUUAAUUCCCAAUCUACACACUCUCUCCUUUUUGUUUUUUUUUUAAUUUAAAAUAUUAUAAAAUAUAAAUAUUAUAUUAUAUAAUUUUUUAAUUGGUUUUAAAAUUACUAAUUUAUUAAAUUAAAUUUUAUAAUUUUGUUUUUUAUUUUUUUAAAGAAAAAUAUACAGAUAAAGAAAAAUAAAAAAUUUGGGUAAAAUUAGAGUAUAAUUUUUUGGUUUUUUUUUCCGCCAAUACACUCUGUCUCUCUUGCUUUUUCCCAAUCUACACUACCUUACAAUUUAAUUUUCAAUAUAUACUACUUCGAAAUUUGUGCUUUAAAAGUGGUCAAUCUACACUAGUUUGCAAAUCAACGUGGCCAAGGGACUACUCAGAACAAACAAGUUAUAUAGCUAUGCCAUCUAUACCCAACUCUCUGUCCUUUUUUGUUUUUUUUUUUAAAAAAUUUUUAAAUAUUAUAAAAAAUAAAUAUUAUAUUAUAUAAUUUUUUUAAUUAUUUUUAAAAUUACUUAUUUAUUAAAUUAAAUUUUAUAAUUUUGUUUUUUAAUUUUUUUUUAAAGAAAAUGGUAUUAUUAAACUAACAAGUAUUCUUGAAGUUUUUAAACUUUAUACAAGAAUCCUGCUCUGAUACCACUUGUUGGACAUGUGGCCUCAGUUAUCUUAAGAAGAGGUGAAUUAAUUUCCCACUAACAAACUUUUAACUCCCUUCUAAAUGAGAUAGACUCAGAAUGCAGAAGGAGCAACAAUCAAUUUAAUAAUGUUCUUUAAACAUGGAAGACAAAAUUGAUUAUAACAAAAUAAAUGAGAUAAGGGAAGAGAGAAUGCAAACUCAGUUUUAUACUGGUUUGGCAAAGUCCGUUGCCUACGUCCAGUACUCAAGCAACCCAUUUGAGAUUUUCCACUAUCUUUGUAAAAAUCCUUUACAAAGUUUGAACCACACAGGGACAACCAUUCCCUUGUGUUCAGCAUUCCUUACAACUUAAGAGACCCUCGGUCCCUAAAUCAAUUACAUUGAAUAAGAAGAAAGAAGAGGAAUUCUCUCUUUAAAAGAAGGAUAUUACAAUUUAAGAUCAUGUAAGAAUCCUUAUAAAUUUUGCAAGUGUUUGGCCAAGGAUUUCUUUUGAGAGAGCAUUUAGAAAUUAAUUCACCACUUCUUAAGAUAACUAAGGCCACAUGUCCAACAAUAACUUUCACCUACCAUUGACAAAUUUAGAAGUGAAACAAGCUCCCAUGUGUCGUUCUUCUUGAUUGCCUUUAUUUCUUCAUCUAUAGCAAUUUUCCAAUUCUUGUUCUCAAUGGUUUCAUGGAAGCUCAUGGGUUCGCAAUCAACAAAUAGACAAAAAAGAGUAAGAUUAUCUUGAUUUUAGGUUACCUCAUAAAUUUCUUGUAAGCUCUUGAAGCAUGGAACUAUUUAACUAGAUCUUUCAUCUUCUUGAGUAUUUGCAAUUGGUGAAGUUGAUGGGAUACUAGGAUCCUUUAUUACUUCUUUGAAACACAAAAAAAGUUGUAGGUUCCAUCAUGUGGUCCCUAAUCCCAUUCUCCUUCUUCGUUGAAAUUGACAUCUUGAGUGAUGAUUGUAUUCCCCGAAUUAGGAUUGUAGAGCCUGUAGCCUUUGGAAUUUGAGUCAUAACUAAUGAAGAUGUACUUCUUACUUUUGUCAUCCAACUUGCUUAUUUUCUCAUCUAGUACGUGCUCAUGGGAAAUGCUUCCAAAGACUCUUGGAUGUGAAAUGUCGGGGUUCUUUCCACUCCAUGCUUCUUGUGGUGUUUUUUCCCAUAAACUUAUUGUUGGAGACUGGUUGGAAAGAUAAACUAUACAAGUCACUCCUUCUAUCAAAAAUUCCUUUGGAAGUAUUUUACUCUCGAGCAUGCUCCUCGCCAUGUCUAAUAUUAUUCUAUUCUUCCUUUCUACGACUCCAUUUUGCUUGGGAGAUCUCGGUUCUAUUAAGGGUCAUUGAAUUUCAUGAUCUUCAGAAUACUUUUGAAAUUCAUCCAAUGUAAAUUCUCCACCGUGAUCGAAUCUCAUGGCUUUGAUCUCAAGGCCAUUUUCCUUCUCAACAAGGGCUUUGAACUUUUUGAAAUUCUCAAACACCUCUUAUUUAUGCUUCAGAAAAAGUACUAUGAUUUUCUUGAAAAAUCAUCAAUAAAGAAAAGGAAAUAAUUGCUCCUUCCAAGUGAGCUUGUCUUGAUAGGACUACACACAUCUAUAUGCAUAAGUUCCAAUAAUUUUUUAGCUCUUGAGUUAGACUCCUUUGAAAUGUUUUUCUUGAAUUGCUUACCAAGUAGGCAUCCUUCGCACACUUGAUCAGGGUUACUAUUGCAAGACAAUCCUCUCACUAUUUCUUUCUUGGAGAGCAACUCUAAUUAAUCCUUCAAAAUUGAGAUGCCCAAAUUGAAUAUGCCAAAGCCAAGAUGCAUCCUUGUAGCACAUCUCAAGAUAUUUUGCGACAUCAUUUUGAAUGUUGAGCAAAAUCAUUUUAUUUCUUGACAUUGUCACCUUAGCAAUCAAAUUACUUGCAUUGUCUCUUAUAGAAAGGUUAUUGUCUUUUGAGCGAAUAUCAUAACCUUUCUCUAAGAAUUGCCCCAAGCUUUAGAUAUUACUUUUCAUAUUCGGCACAUAAUAAACAUUUGAGAUGAAUUGAUGCUCACCAUUCUUCAAACGGAUAAGAAUAUUACCUUCCUUUCACUUCUAGCUUGAAUUCAUCUCCAAAGGCCACAUUUUCGUUCAUCGAUUCACCAAGCUCCACCAACAUGAUCUUUUUACUACCCAUAUGAUUGCUUGCACCAGUGUCUAGGUACCAUUUAUUGUCUUUUCUUCUUUCAUCAGUCGUGCAAGUCAUCAAUAAAGGAUCACCUUCUUUACUUUGUUCUUCAACGUAGUUUUCCUUUUCUUCAACUCUAUCAUUGCUAGGAGCUCUACAUUUAGAAGCAUAAGGACCAAACUUGCCACAAUUGUAAAAUUUCACAUUUGACUUGUCAUACCUUGAUCUUGAGUUGUCUUGGCCAUGACCUCUUGUUGAGAUUUCUCCUCUUUGAAAUUUAUUGAGCUUUGCCCAUGGCCCUGUCCUUGUCCAUGACCUUGUCCUCUUCCUUGAUCUUCACUACAACCUCAUCCUUGUUGGCUUCUAUUAUUUUGGCUACUUUCUUCGCUGGUUGAAUAAACUUGUGUCUGAAGUAGUUGUUCCAUGAUCCCUUCCUUUAUUUUAUAAGCUUGUAAUGAGCCCAAAAUUUGCUCAAUGGUUAUAGCCUACAAAUCUUUUGUUUCAUCGAUGAUGGUGACAAUAUGUUCGAACUUUGGAUCUAACGGUCUAAGAAUUUUAUCCAUAAUUUUUAGAUAAUAAAUAUUUUCACCAUUUCUCUUAAGUUGAUUGGUGAUUGUUAAAAUUAUAGAGAAAUAGUCAAAGAUGACUUCAUUUUAUUUCAUAUGAAACAUUUCAAACUUGGCUCUCAAUGUUUGAAAACAUACCUUCUUGACUGGAUUCACUUCCUUGUAUAUGGUUUGAAGCGUCUUUUAUGCUUCUUUUGCCAAAUUUCCUUUUGAAACCUUCUCAAAAGCAUUGUCAUCUAAUCCUUGAUAGAUUAGAUAGAAAGCCUUCUUGUCUCUCUUUCUUGAGUCUCUCAAACCAUCCCUUUGAUUUUGAGAGAGACUAUCCUUAUUCCCUGGCUCGGUAUGGCCUUUCUCUAUUAUCUCUCAAACAUCUUGUGUGCCAAGGAUAGCCUUCAUCUUCAUGCUCUUAUUUUCAUAGUUGUUCUUGUUGAGCAUUGGAACUUGGAAUGGAACCAUGCCGCUACUUGCCAUCUCCUUAUAAAGGACCUUUUAGCUUUGAUGCCUAUUUGUUGAAAUGAAAUUUUUAGUAGUGUAAGAAAUAUUUGAGAAUGGGAGAGAUUAGACAUUUUAGAAGAAGAUACUAUUUGUAUAAAUGAUUCUUCAUUUUUGGCUUGAUUUGAUACAAACUCUAAGACAUCACCCCUAUUUAUAUUAGAGGCUCCUCCUAAACCAAUGGUUAGGAUUUUGUUAACACACACUGAAUUUAAUGACUGCAAAUAAUUCUCUAUAACUUUCUUCGUAGAUACAAUCUUACUCACAAAUUAUAGAUCAUUCUAUAUGCUACUUUAGAAUUAUCUUUUAAAAUAGAUUUCUCUAGAACAUUCUUGUAGAAUUUGGCCUAACGAUGUUUCUAGAAAUUGGGCUUUUAGACUAAUAAGGCUCAAAAUCAAGUUUAUAUUUCAACAUCUCAUGGGUGAAUACAUAUACUAAAUAUUCUCCAUCGGGGGUUUGUCUUUGAUGGAAACUUGAGAAGAAGCAUCAAUGAGUUGGUUGGAUAACAAAGGGAUUUGCAUUCCAUUUGAGAUCAUAGAUUGGGUUAUGGAAGAGUGUGUAUAAAUGGCAUCAUAGAAUAUGGUGGGGACGUCAUUUCUCUCGGUGACCUAAAUGAGUUGGAUGUGAGAAGAGUGUUUGGGGAAUUAAAUAGUGGUGGUGUUGGAAAGAAAAAAGAAGUUGUUGAAAUUAACAGAGUGGCCAUCAUUGAGUUGAAGUUCUUGAUUAGGGGUGGGUAGUUGUUGAAUUGGGAAUAGAGGGAAUAAAUGUCAAAGGCAGCUAUGCCAAGUGUGGUGAACAUUCAUACAAAGUUUUAUUCUUCAUUGUUCAAACUUAAGAUCUAAUUUGUCCCAAUUUUUUCUUUUAAAUUUUUCUUUAAUUCUUGUAUUUUUUUUUUUGGAAUUUAUGACAAUUUUUAACUCCCAUAAAUUGCAUUUUAAAAUUUAAAUUAAAAAAUUUCAUGUAGGUUUGGAUUUAUUCAAACUUAAUUCCAAGCCAAAAAGUAGUACAUUAGAUUUUUACAGGGACAAGAAAAAAAUUGCAAGGACUAAAUCUGAACUACGGUAACUUUUCAGGAUGAAAAAUAUAUUUUAACCUUAUAUUUUCCUAUCAAGUAGUGCUGGUGAAGUGUCAUCUUGUUUUACUUUCUUCUUUAUAUAAAAUCACACUUUAUGUGUAACAUGCAGAAAUCAUGAAAUUGUUGUGGGAAGAUAAAAUUUGAGCCAUAAAAGAGUUGAAUGUCGUUAUUUCAUACGCAUACUACAUGAUGAUGGUGUUUGUUGGAUAAAUUAUGGUGAUGAUGAUUGAUUCACUCAUAAUGAUGAUGGUGUUUAAUGAUUGAAUCUUGAUAUGAUAUUGAUGAGGUGGUGAUUGUUAUGAUUUUCUUUGUUAUGUGGAUUAUGAGACUUAUGCUCUAUGUAUGAUUUUAACAUAUUAUGGUAUAUAUGUGACGAUGGUAGAUUAGGCAUGCUUUAAUUGUGAAGUUUUAUCUUAUUUUAAUAUACUCCUUUAGUCUUUAAACACAAGAACUAUGACAUUUAUUUAAAGUUUAACAAUUAAAUUAAACAAAUAAUAUAAAAUAAUCAUAUUAAAUAUUAAUUACAUGAACCAAAUAAAAAUCCUUUAUAUUCAUCCGUUGCAUGAGUAAUCAAAUUAGGACAUAUUUAUUUGAGUGAUGUUUAUAUAAUCAUCAAAAUUUUAAUGUAAAGAGACUCUUAGAUAUUUAUAAUUAAAUUAAUGAAUACAAUUUUAUUAGAAUGAUGUUUUUAUUUCUUUUUAUAUCAAAACAUCCUCAUAUUUUUAAUGAGUCUAUAAAAAAUUAUACCUUUUAAUCAAUAAUAUAUUCUUUUAAUGUUGCAUUAAUUCAUCUUUAUAUUCAUUUAUGUCACUCGGGUAAUUAUAUUAGGACAAAUUCAUUUGGAUGAUUAAUUUUUUUAAUAAUCAUUGGGUUUUAUUUAUGUUUAAAGAAUCUUAAAUAUUUAUAUUUAAAUUUAAUUCAUACAACUCUUAUAUGAAUGAUAUCUAAAUUUCUUUUUAUAUCAAAACAUCAUUCUUUUUUUAAUUUGAAAUUGUAAAAAUUAUAUUUUAUAAAUUAUUAUAUAUUAUAUUUAUAUUACCCUAAUUUAUAUCUUUAUUUAUCAUGCGUAUCCAUUCAAAAUCAAAUUUAUUUGGAUGAUUAUAUAUAUAUAUAUAUAUAUAUAUAUAUAUAUAUAUAUAAAUAAUCAUUUGGGUUUUUUUAUUGCAAGAGUCUUACAUAUUUCAUAUUUUAAUUUAUGUUUCUUUUUAUAUUAAAACACCUUUCAUUUUUUCAAUUUAAUGUAUAAAAAAUUAUAUUUUUAAACUAUUAUAUAUUUUAUUUAUGACAUGUUAAUCCAUGUUUAUAUUCGUGUAUUAUAUCGGUGACCAUAUUAUAAUCAAAGAUCCCUUGAAGUUGAUACAAUAUUCCAUUAUUCCAUUAUAUUCAUGGAUGAAAAAAAAAAUAUCUUAAAGAUGUUAUUAGUUCAAAUUCACAAGCUUAAGAAGUAAUAUUUUUAACUAUAAAAGUAGUAGUUGUAAUAGUAAUUAUAAGAUAAGUAUAUUUAAAUAUACUUAUUUAGUGACCCAAAAUUUUAGAUGACUCAUUGGUGAAUAUUUCAAAACUAAUAAAGAUUGAAACUAUUUACAACCAAACACAUGUAUAAAUGCUUUUUUGAUUUCAAUAUUAAGCUAAAUGGCAUCAUUGGUGAAAAACAAUAUUUCGCGAGUAUAGAAUUUCAUGUUGUAACAAAUAAAUUCCACAAUUACACAAGGAAAACUUAAGAGAUAACAUCACUUUUAACUAUAGCAAACUUUUAUGAUAUAAGAAAAACAAUUAUCUCAUUAGAAGUAAACUCUUCAUAUGGUUAAGCAAUAUAUUUUUUUGGGGUGGUUGGGAAGCUUAUCUUUUCUUUAAAGAAAACUUUAAUUACACGUCAAUUGUUAAAACAUGAUUCAAAAGAUUGAUAUACCAUUGGUUUUUAUUAAAAAGGAAUUAAAUUUCAUUUGUCUAUAAAUUUAAAGUUUUUUUUAUUUCUAUUGUUAAAUAUGAAAAUUUUAUAACAAGAUAUUGAUCUCGAUAAUUCAUAUUUUUAUCCAUCCGUUGCAUAGGUAAUCAUAUUAGGACAAAUUCAUUUGAGUGAUUUUCUUAUAAUCAUUGAUUUUUUUAAUAUCAAGAUACUCUUAGAUAUUUAUAUUUAAAUUAAUGUAUAAAUUGUUUAUAAGAAUGAUGCUUAUAUUUCUUUUUAUAUUAAAACAUCCUUCAUAUUUUUAAUAUGAAUCUAUAAAAAGUUAUACUUUUUAAACAAUUAUAUAUUCUUCUUUUGUUGCAUCAAUUCAUCUUUAUAUUUUUUAUGCACCCGGGUAAUCAUACUAGAACAAACUCAUUUUGAUGAUUAUUUUUUUUAAUAAUCAUUGUGUUUUUUUAUAUUAAGAAACUAUAAAAUAUUUAUAUUUAAAUUAAUUCAUACAAGUUUUAUAUGAAUGAUGUCUAAUUUUUUUUUAUAUCAAAGCAUCAUUUUUUUUAAUUUGAAAUUAUAAAAAUUAUAUUUUAUAAACUAUUAUAUAUUAUAUUUAUGUUAGCCUAAUUCAUAUUUAUAUUUAUCUAUCAACACAAGUAUCAUAUAAAAUCAUUUGGACUUUUUAUUACAAGAGUCUUAGAUAUUUAACAUAUUUUAAUUUAUAUUUAUUUUUAUAUUAAAACACCUUUCAUUUUCUUUUCAAAUUGAAAGUAUAAAAAAUUGUAUUUUUAAAAUUAUUAUAUAAUCUAUUUAUGUUACGUUGAUUCAUAUUUGUAUCCAUCUAUCACUGGGUAAUCAUAUACUAAGAAAAAUUCGUUGGGAUGUUUAAAUUUUUUUGUAUCAAAACAUUUUCUUAAUUUGGUUAUAUAAAAAAUUAUAUUUUAAAACUAUUAUUUAUUUUAUUUUUAUCAUGUUAAUCCAUAUUUGUAUUCGUGUAUUACAUAAGUAAUCAUAUUAGAGUUUAUCGAUUUGAAUAAAAAAUUUAUAAUCAAAGAUCUAUAGAAGUCAAUACAAUAUUUCAUUAUAUCCAUGAAUGAAAAAAAAAUAUAUCUUAAAAAAGUUAUUAGUUAAAAUUCACAAGCCUAAAAAAUAAUAUUUUUAAUUAUAAAAGUAGUAGUUAUAAAAGUAAUUAUAAGAUAAGUAUAUUUAAAUAUACUCAUUUUAUUGACCCACAAUUUUAGAUGAGUUCAUUGAUGAAUAUUUUAAAAUUAACAAAGAAUGAAACUAUUUACAAAUAAAUACUUAUAUAUAAUUUUUUUGGAUUUAAUUAUUAAGAUAAAUAAUGUCAUUUAAGAGAUAACAUCACUUUUAACUAUUGAGUAUAGACUUUCAUGUUAUAACAAAUAAAUUUCAUAUUACACAAAUAAAAUUUAAGAGAUAAUAUCACUUUUUAUUAUAAUAUACUUUUAUUAUAUAAGAAAUACAAUUAUCUCUUUAAAAGUAAACUCUUCACAUUAUUACACAAGCAUCUCUUCUAUCCCUAAAAUAAGAUGUACAUCGUACAGUUGGAAUGUGGGCAAUCUUUGGCCAGUCUUGGCCUCCUGGGUUCUGGCAACGCUGCUCGAGGUUGGGGCAGGCUAUGAUAAAAAGAUUUGAAAUGGAAUUGGAAAGACCCUCCUCUGGUAGCUGUUGGAGGUUGGGGCAGUUAAUAAUCCAAAGAUUUGAAAUGGAAUUGGGAAGACCCUCCUCUGGUAGCUGUUGGAGGUUGGGGCAGCCAUCAAGAAUCAAUUUCUUGAGAGAGGAGAGCUGACAGAGCCCCUUGUAGUCCAGUUUUUUUAGAUUUGGAAAACCAUAUAUGCUUAGAUUAAUAAGAGAGAGUGGCAGUAAACCUUCAUCAGGAAAAGAUUCCGCAUCCAGCUUUCCUAUCCCCAAGCUUUCCAGAGAGGGAUUGUCUCCCAAAGCCCCUUUCAGUGAGGCCAUGAGUCCGGAGGAGCAUCUUAUGAGUCCGGAUGAGCAUUUAUAGAGUUCAAUCUUUUUUAGAUUUGAUGGCAAACCUCCUUCAGGGAACGACUCAACUCUUGGACAAUCUUUUAUUACUAGCUCCUUCAGAGAUGGAAGCAGCAUAUGCAUGCUUCCAGGCAAUGAUUCUAACUGAGGGCACUUACCGAAUGCCAGAACUUCAAGAUGAUUAUGGGUCUGAUCCUGUGUAAUCAUCAGUAGAUUACGAAAGCCACUGAGACGAAGGGUCCUGAGUGCUGGGAAGAAAUCUAGCGGAAAAGUCUUUUGAGAGUCAAAUCCAUUAUCACUCAUUUCACAAUCGCAAAACAUUUCAUAUUUCGGGCAACAAUAAAUAUUCAGUUCUUUCAAAGUAUCAGACUUUUCCAGCAACGAUGCUUUCAUGCUGUGUCCGCCCAUUCUGAGCUUUUCCAAAGAAGCCCAGUCAAGUUGCAGUUGCAGCUUUCCAGUGUCUUUCAGGUCUAGUACUAGAGCCCUGGGAGCUGAAGCCUCAAGUUGUUUGCACUCACUAAUUUCUAGCUCCUUUAAAGGAAGAAGUUGCUCUGGGAGGUCACCUUUCAGCUUUGGACAUUUGCUUAUAUCAAGAUAUUGAAGACAUGGAAAAGCACCUCUCACAGCUUCACAUUCCCAUUUUUCCCAUGCUUUCAUAGAGGAGAACUUCAAUGUUUCCAACGAUGGAAAUGAAGAGGAGCUAUUCCCAUGAAAAUCAGCACCAAUGCUCACUAUCCCAUCAAGACUUGAAAUCUCAAGUUUCUUGAGAAAUGGCAAAAGUCCAAGGGAAGGCAAAUGUUGGCAAGAUUGACAGUUUCUCAACUCUAAGGACACCACAUUUGAUAAAGAAUUAUUGGAUAACCAAUUAGGGAAUUGUUUACCACCAUAGUUCCUGAUUGACAACUUCUCCAGGUGUUUGGAAGGUUGUAGAUUCUCAAUUACAAUUACAUCCCUUUCUUUGGCAGAAUCAUCAGGGUUCCGGUGCGAAUUCCAUUCAAACUCUAGUUCCACAAGGCGUGUUUUAUUUUUCAAAUCUGCAGCUAAUGCAUCUGAGGGAUUCUCAAUAUUCUGCAGCUCCCUAAAUGAUAAUCCUUUAUGAACAAGAUUGAGCUCUCCUAAUUGCUGAAUAGUGAACUUGCUACUUUUACCAACAUGAAACGAACUCAUGGAUACUUGAAGAUUCUUCAACUUUCCCAGAUGUGGUGGCACCUUUAUAAUUUCAGUAUUUACAAAUUCAAGGCGAUGCAAAUUGGUGAGUUCAUGCAAAUUCGAGGGCAGCUCCUUCAAAUAUUCACAACUAUUCAGCUUCAGUAUUUGCAAGUUGGAGAGUGAACAUGUUGAGUCAGGUAGUUUUGUUAUGUGAGUACUGGAAAGGUCUAAAGAACGAAGAUGUUUAAGAUUGCCUACAGAGUUGGGCACUUCUGUAAGGUAAUGACAUGAAGACAAAGACAAAACACCCAAAUUGGCGAGUUUAUGCAAAUUCGAGGGCAGCUCCUUCAAAGAUCUACAAUCAUCCAGCUUCAGUAUUUGCAAGUUGUAGAGUGAACAUGUGGAUUCAGGUAGUUUUUUAAUGCCAGUAUGGGAAAGGUCUAAAGAACGAAGAUGUUUAAGAUCGCCUAUAGAGUUGGGCACUUCUGUAAGGUAAUGACAUGAAGACAAAGAUAAAACACCCAAAUUGGUGAGUUCAUGCAAAUUCGAGGGCAGCUCCUUCAAAGAUUCACAACUAUUCAGCUUCAGUAUUUGUAAGUUGUAGAGUGAACAUGUGGAUUCAGGUAGUUUUUUAAUGCCAGUAUGGGAAAGGUCUAACGAACGAAGAUGUUUAAAAUUGCAAACAGAGUCAGGCAGCUCUUCAAUGUCUAAACAGUGAGACAGAGAUAAGACGCGUAAGAACUUUAACUUGGAGAACAAUUCAUGUAUCGACAUCUUGCAAUUCCAAGGCCAGUGGCUUGUUGGCAUAAAUGUACGCAAUUUUUUAGUAUCACAUGAAGUUCCAAACUCAUCAAAAUAUCGUUCGGUAAUCAUUGAAACUGAAAAAUGACGGGUUGUUUUUUGUGUACAUUUUGCUUGAUCAACUCUCAACCUGAAAUAGCUGUCCCCACAAACAUAUUUUGCCAAAUCAUUUAGAAGGUCAUGCAUGACAAAUACUUCUCUAUAUUCGCUUAAUUGUUGAAAGAAGGACCUUGAUAGUAAAUCAUUGAAGUACAGCUGGCCAACUUCUUCUGGACUCUUACUGCCUUGAUGGCAGUUUAGGAAAUUUUCAGCCAUCCACAACUGAAUUAAACACUCCCUGUGAAACUCAUAAUCCUUGGGGAAUAAAGCACAGUAAGCAAAGCAUGUCUUGAGAUGGAGAGGAAGGUGGUGAUAGCUCAAUGCUAAAGCAGGAACAAUACCACUGUCCUUUAAUUCCCAUAUUUCACUUUGGAACACGCUUUCCCAUUCCCAGGCAAAUGGUUUGUUGUGUAAUAGACUUCCCAUUGACUUCAAGGCCAGAGGAAGUCCUUUACAUUUUUUAACAAUCUUCCUACCAAUCACUGGGCAUCCUGGAUCUCGUGGAAGAUUAUCAUCUCUGAAUGCAUGUUUUGCGAACAAUUGCCAGCAAUAAUCUUCUUGUAAUUGCUCCAGCUUGUGUUCUUUUGACCUCAUGGCAGAAGCAACUUCCUCACUGCGUGUUGUGACAAGGAUCCUACUUCCCUGAGCUCCACAAACAAGAGCAUUCAGCACAGCUUCCCAUUUAGGCCUGCUUUCGUUCCAAACGUCAUCCAAAACGAGGAGAAAUUUUUUAUCUGCCAAUUUUUCUUUUAGUCUUCUCUGAACUAUUUCUAGCUCUCUACCAUCAUCAGUCGAAUCAGUAAUCGUGUCAAGAAUUGCUCUUGAUACGUUGAAAACAUCAAAUUCCUCUGAAACACAGAUCCAAGCUUUGACAUCAAACUUACUCACUAUUCUUGGGUCAUUGUAUACAAGUUGGGCAAGCGUGGUCUUACCCAACCCGCCCAUGCCCACGAUAGAAAGUAUUGAUAGCUUUUCAUCAGUGUCAGAAGUGAUCCAGUCCAAGAUCAAUUUUUUGUCAUCAUCUCUGCCAUAAAUAUCACUUUCUACCACCGAAGAUGUUGAUGGCAAUUUCUCUAACACUUUACUACCCGAUCCUGAUCCAACCCCAACACCACUAGUCCUUGUCAAACCUAGAUAACCACCUCGGCUUUCAAGAUCAUCCAGGUCUUCAAGGAUUUGUUCCAUCCUUGAUUCAAUUUCCUUGUCAAAAGAGCUCAAAGAAGAAGGUCUGAAGAAAUUGCUCACCUGGUUAAGAAUGGGCUGGGAUUCAGCUUCUACUUGGCAUUUGGAGAGUUCAUAGUCUAUAUCAGCCAAGAGAUCCUCUGCUUCAAACACUACAUCUUUGGCCUUAAAAAGCCAAUCUCUGACACGAGCAUCUCUGAACUGCUUAAGUUCAGCAUCAUCAGCAAGAACAUCGAUGGCUAGUAGCUUCACCUUGAUUUUGCUCAGCAGCUUCUUAUUGAGUUUUCUUCCACGAAAGUAGUCCACAAAACGAGAAGCCAAACUGUCAAUUGUCUUCUCAACGAAAGUAGAAACAAGAGCACCAGCAACCAUUUCUGCUGCCAUGGUAGGAAUGAAAGUAGAUGAAUGAAAAUGAGUAAUUUGAAAAGAGCAGUUUAUGCCAAUGACUAAGUGCAGGGAACGAUCAAAAUAUUUUGGUGAAAUGAGUAAUAAGAUAUUCUAUGAAUGAUGGUUGGCUUUACUUGAAGAAGGUUGCCGAAAAAUGAACAUUUUUUUCUUUGAUGACCAAUAACUGCUGAGUCUUCCGGAUAAGACAAACAAUGACACCUGCAUUCCUCCCUUCAUAUUCAUUAAAUUAUCAAGUUAUACAUCAUUGUACUUUUAUAUUUAGGAAACAACAUAGAAAAAGAGAGGAGGUCUUAUUUCUUAACUGUAUUUCCCAAAUUUCCAACUUCUUGAAUAUUCUUUGACUUGAUAAGGAUUUCUUAAUCCGAUAUAAUAUAUUGCAUGCAAAUUUGUUUGAUAUUCUUAGUUUAUUCACUUAAUGAAAGAUUUAAUUAAGCAAGUUUAGCACAUUUAGUCAGAUAGUAUGUUUAAAUUUGAUGAUUUAAUUAUUAUGUCUAAAGAAUGAUAUUAAUUUCUUGAUAGUUGGUAGCUCUUAAGUUAUGUCUGAUAUUGGUUAAUUAAUGAAAACUUUAGUAUGUCUAGUCAAUUUCAGUAGCUAAAAUAUCGUACAUGUAUAUUUAAGCCAUAAUAGCAUGCCGUUAUAUAUAUAUCGUAACUCAACAAAGGAUAGAAACUCUGAUCGAAUUAAUUAAAUAACUCAAUAAAAAAAACUAAUUGAAUAAAUCAUUUAUUUUUUUUCAUUUUCCGACCAUUUUUCUUUUGGUGCAUUUUGUUAUUUUUAUCACAUUUUUUCCAUCCUUUUUUCAUUUUCUUAAUUUUUCGUUCACUCUUAUUAAGUUUAUAAAUUAGGGCUGGCCAAACUCAUGGAGGGUUAAUGUACUGAUGAAAUGUGUAAAAACUAGCAAGCUAUUUUAUGAAUGAAUGAGUGGCUCUUAUUCUGAAAGGGUAAAACUUUUGGGAUAUUUUCCAUGACUUGAUUAGAAAGGGUUUUGUUUGUACGUACUGUGUGUCACACAUUUCUGUACGAUGGCCUGAGAUUUUUUUAUUUGUGGCUGUCAACCAUAGUCUUCCCUAGAAAGAAAAAAAAAUUUAACUGAAAGUUUGGGUAAAAACUAAUCCUGCAUUUGCAAGUUCUAAGAAUUGUGGAAGGGUGAGACUGAGCAGAAUAAGGACCUUUAACACUGAUUUGCACACCCUCAAGACCAAGCUCAUUCAUGCAGGGUCGAUGUACUGAUGAAAUAAGUAAUAAGCUAUUUUUAUAAACAAACUUUCCUAGCAAAUACAAUAGCAUGCAUUUUUUUAUUUUUUAACCCGCAAAUAUUUAGUUGUUAAUAAGUUAAUUUUUUUUAGUGAGAGACUUGAAUUCAUAAGCAUGCAUGUAAUGUAGGUGUGAGCUGUAUUCCACGAAUGAAUGAGUGGCUAUGAUUCUGCAAAUGGUAGCUUUUAGGAUAUUUUCCAUGACUUAUUAUUCCAAAGGUUGUGUCUCACGCGCGUUUCUGUACGGUUGCUUUAAUUUGGGUUGGUGAACAUCUUUAAUUUUCUCUGAUGGCCCGUCAAUCAUAGAGUCUUCCCUACAAUACUUACAUUAACAGCAGCUAGCUGUGUUUUUCCAGGAAUGAAUGAGUCACUGAUUCUGCUCAGUGUCUUGGCUCUUGGGAUAUUUUCCGAAAAUACUGAACCUACUAUAUUAUAGAAUUUAGGAUUAAACAUAAAAACAAAAAAUGUUUAAACUUUUAGAUAUUAAAACUAAACAGUUUAUUAUUUUCUUUACAAUUAAAUCAAAAGUUGUUGAAGUAAUAUAAUAAAUUAUCAAAAUAAUUAGAUGGGUGAUAUUGUUAUAACUUGAACAUGAAUACUAAAAUUUUACACUCAUUUUCUCAAAAUCAUUAAAACAUAGUUUGUAUGUGAUUAUUUACUAAUAUUUUUUCUCCAAUAAUAAUCAUCACCCGUAUUGAGUAAGAGAAAUUAAUAUUUAUGAAAUGGAAUAAGAUUGUAGAAGAAUGAUUGUUUUAUAUAAAAAUAGAAAUAAUAUGAUAUUAGAUUGUUUGAAAAAAAUGACAAAAAAAUCUAGAUGAAAUUAAACCCAACAAUUAUAAUUAAAAGAAGAUAAAUUAAACAAUGAAUAAAUCGAAGACUAAUGUAUAUAAAACACGAAGUAAACCAUGAAUAAAAUACAAACCAAACCCAAAAAUUGUAAUUGAAAGAAAAAAAGGAAAGUCGCCUAAAUUAUAAAUAAUGUAGGAUCACCUAAACUCACCUAAAAAGAAAAAAGAAAACUCACCUAAAGCAAACAUGAGUACUGUAUCUAAUGACUACCAAAACCAUAUCCAAUAUUAAUAUAACUUAGGUUAUCUUAGGAUUCGAGUUGGUAAAUAUUUUUCUAAAUUUUAAUGCACAAUAACAAAUUUUAAAACACCAAAUGAAAUAAGAAAAAAAUGUUGAUUAUAGAAUAAAAAUACUUUUGACCUCUCACAACUUUAACCAAACAUGCAUUUAAAUAUAUCAUAACGAUCUUAUCUUACUUAACGAUGAUUUACAUACAUUUUAUUUACUUUGCUCAUUCAAGUACAAUAUAUAGAAAUAAAACUGCUUUAUUGGGAAGGUAGGGAAUAAAUUGCACAUUCAGUUCCAUGUUUGCUUGUCAUCUUGCAUUUUCAUGCUACUAGCAGAUUUCAAGUCUUCAAUCAACUCUCGGGUCUGUAAAACUAAUGAAAAUCAUAUGGCCUAAUCAUAAAAGUAUACAUUUUAAAGGAUAAUUAGUAUAAAUAGAAUUUAAUUUUCUUAUAUAUAUAUAUAUAUAUAUAAUUAGAAUUUACUUUUCUUACAUAUAUACUUAUUAUUAUAAAGAAUAGCUUUAUCCUAUAUAUGAUUCUCUAAUAAAAAUCUGUGAGAACAUUACAAAUUGAUAAAAUAAUUUAUAAAUCUUUAUUUUUCAUUUAUUAUUCCAUCCAACAAUAUGAUUUAUCAUAAUAAAAAAAAUUAAUCAACGUCUCACACUAUAUUAAUUUAAUUCUUAUAUAAAAAUUACCUCUUUCUCUAAUAAGAAUAUUCCAGAACAUCACAAAUUAUUAAAAUAUUUUAUAAUUUUUUAUUUUUAAUUCAUACUUCAAUCCAAUAAUAUGAUUUAUCUUAAUAAAAAAAAUCAAUAUAACGUUUCACACUCUACACUAAUUCAAUUCUUAAAUUAAAUUUUGUAAUUAUUAGAUAAAUUAAGGUUAUCUUUAAAUACCAAUUAAAUUAGUAAAUGAAACAAUUGUCUGAAAUGUGAUUUAAUGAUACUUUAAUAAGCAUUAAAUAUCAAUCAAAUGAUCCAAUUUAAAUUACAUGAAUAAAAUUUAUUGUUACAUUAAAUUCUAUUAGAAACACUAUUUUUAAAUAUCAUAAUUUCAAUUUUUAAAAUAUUUAUCAUUGAAAAUAUAAAAUUGAUCCUAAUUCAAUUUUUUAAUUAAUUUAUACUAAUUGUAUUUACGUCAAACUUAAUUUAUGAUAAUAAAAACCAAUUAGAAAGUUUUUAAUAUUAUAUUGAAUUUGAAUAAAUCAAUUUUGAUGAGUAAUAUUUUGUUGUUUCUAAUGCUGAAAACUUUUAAAUUUUCUAUCCUACAAAUCAAAAAUAAAUUCUUUCCGUUUAACACAUUAAAUUGAAUUUGUAAAAUAUAUUUUUUAUAACUAUUUUAUUAUACUUUUUUAGAAAAAUUAGAAAUCAUGGUUAUUUUUUAAUAAAAUUGUGUAUUGAGUUAGGAUUUAAUAAUUUUUUACAUGAACAAAUGAGACAUAUCAUAAAUAAUACUAAAUUUAAGUGCAUUAGUGACACAAAAUUAGACUAAAAUUUUGCAAUCAAUAAAAUAUUAGAAAUGCUUAUAACUUAUGUACCUACCUAGAAAUUUUUUAAAAAAUUGGAUUUUUAUCAAAUAUUUAUUCUAUUCCCAAUUAUUAUUAUUAUUAUUAUUAUUAUUAUUAUAAAAUUGAAUUUUUUAUUUUGAUUUUGAUUUAGUUAUAAUUUCUUAUUAAAAGUAUAAAUAUCUUCUAUAUUAAACAUUAUCAAAACUGUAACAAAUAAUCAAUAAUUCAAAUAUUUUUAUUGUUCAAGAUGCAUUUUUUUGUAUUUUUAAUUAAAAUUUAAAUUUUAAUCAGAAUAAUAAGUAUAAAACAAAUUAUUGAAGAUUUUGACCCUUAUAUAAACUUAUAUAAAAUAAUUUUAUAAUAACUUUAAAAGUGCAAUUAUCUAAUUCAAAAUUUAAACAUGGUAAACAAUAUAAAGUUAAAUUUUAAAAUAUUUAUUCAUAUAAGUAUAAAAUUGAUCUUAAUUCAAACUUUCUAAUGAAGUCAAAAUUAAUUUAUCAUUUAAAUAAUAAGAAACAUAUAUAGAUGUUUAAUGAUUUAAAUGAAAAUUUUAAAAAUAUUUAUUAAUUCGAUCAAUUUAAAUUGUUGUUACAUACGCAUUUACCUGGGUAUCCUUUUAGAUCCAUGCCUAAAAGUUGUUAUAUAUUCCAAUUAUAAAGCAAAUUAUAUGUGGGAAAUGAAAAAGAUAAAAUAAUUGAAAAUAAAAUGACGAUAUGUCUUAUAUAAAAAUAAAAAAUGGAACGAUGACAUAGUAUGAUAUAUGUAUUUAUAUAUUAAAAAUUUGACGAAUAGAUGUAUGCAUGUUAACCUUAAAUGAAUCUAUUUUGAUAAAAAAAAUGAAAAUCUUUCUCUUCAAAUACCAUUAUUAGGUAUUAAACUUUAAGACAACAAUAGAAAAACAUUUUUCUUCAAAUAUUUUGGAUGAAAAAUAAUGUUUUGAUUGAAGUUUUCUACAGGGUCUCAUUUGGAUGAAAAAAUAGUGUAAUAUAACAUAAAAUCAGAAGUUUUCAUGUGUUUAUUGAUAUUUACACAAUUAAUCGAAAAAAUGAUUAUUGAUUGAAAUGAUAUUUUUAUGUCCACUAAUUACUAUUGAUGUUAAUGUUUUUGAUAUUUUGGUUUCAUUCAAUUUUUCUAAUCAAUUAUUUUUCUGUUGACCUUUUUAUUUCACCGUCAUAUCCCAUUAACAUAUAUCAUGUUAUUUUUCAUAUUCUAAUUAAGAAAACAACAUAGAGAAAGAGAGGAGGUCUUAUUUCUUAAGUGUAUUUCCCAAAUUUCCAACUUCUUGGAUAUUCUCUCACUUGAUAGGAUUUCUUAACCCGAUAUAAUAUAUUGCAUGCAAAUAUGUUUGAUACCCUUACUUUAUUCACUUAAUGAAAUAUUUAAUUAAGCAAGUUUAGCACAAUUAGUCCGAUAGUAUGUUUAAAUUUGAUGAUUUAAUUAUUAUGUCCAAAGAAUGGUAUUAAUUUGUUGGUAGUUGGUAGCUCUUAAGUUAUGUCCGAUCUUGGUUAAUUAAUGAAAAGUUUAGUCUGUCUAGUCAAUUUCAGUGGUUAAAAUAUUUAAGUCAUAAUAGCGUGCCAUUAUGACUUAUAUAAAUCAUGUACUGCAACUCAACAGAGGAUAGAAACUCUGAUCGAAUUGAUUAAAUAACUCAAUAAAAAAAACUAAUUGAAUAAAUCAUUUAUUUUUUUUCAUUUUCCGACCAUUUUUCGUUUGGAACAUUUUGUUAUUUUUAUCACAUUUUUUCCAUUUUUUUCAUUUUCUUAAUUUUUUCGUUCACUCUUAUUAAGUUUAUAGAUUAGGGCUGGCCGGACUCAGUGGAGGGUUAAUGUACUGAUGAAACGUGUAAAAACUAACAAGCUAUUUUAUGAAUGGACCUUACUAAAAACAGUAGCAAAUUUUUAUUUGUGGCUGUCAACCAUAGUCUUCCCUAGAGUUUGGGUAAAAAUUAAUCCUGCAUUUGCAAGUUCUAAGAAUAAGGACCUUUAACACUGAUUUGCACUCCCUGAAGACCAAGCUCAUUCAGCCAGGCAAUGAAAAAGGGCCAAAGCUUCAGCCUCUAAUGGAAGAAUAUUUCCAUCAGAACAAAACGUUUUGGCCCUGAAAAACACACCUCUAUUGCAUGCGGGUGUGUAAAAAUUCCUAUUCUCAUUGUAACCCAACAUAAAUUGAAUAGAUUUUUUUUUGAAAUAAUUCAAGAAAAAAGAAAUGCUUUGAUUUAUAAAACAAAUUCAAUUAACAAAAUUAUUUGUACAAAACCAAAUUGGUUAACUAAACUAGUUUUCAUUUGAAUAUUUUAUUUGAAAAAAGAAAAUUUGAAAAUCAGUUUAAAAUUAAUCUGAUCCUUAUAAUUAGUUUAAAAUUAAUUAAAAAUCAAUUUAGAAUCAAUUUUUUAGAACUAAUUCGAUUCUGAAUUAAUUUUUAAAUUAAUUUAAUUAUUUAAAUAUAAAAUUAAACUAAAAUAAUUUAAAAUUAAUUCAAUUUGAGUUUUUUUUUAUCAAACUACUUAUUGCAUACGGGUGAAGUCUGAUCCCUUAUGCAGAUUUCCACUCCAAACUCACCUUUGGGACCAAAAACAGCACUCUGUUAGGCGCUUUUCCCAUUCGGCAGGUUGCAACUGCUUAUUAGAAGAUAAUUAAGAAUAAUCAAUAGAAUAAGAACAUGAAGAACGAGGGUUUUCCACUCUCUAAAGCCAUUUUUAGCUCUCUGCACAACUGCAAAAGGGGUCUGAACCUUGCCUUCCCAAAUCAUAACAACCUCAAUUAUUUUCUUUUCAUAUUCUAAUUAAGUUCAAUUAAAACUUUUUUUCACAUUUACUUACCACAAAUAUAUUUCUGAUAUUGCUCCACCUACUUCCUUUAUAUAUAUAUAUAUAUAUAUAUAUAUAUAUAUAUAUAUUAUAUGGAGAUAAAGAUACAUCACAUAAUCAUAUCAUAUAUCAUGUUAAUGUUUUCUAAUUUGUAUAAAUAAUAUUAUUUUUGAAAUAUUUAUUUUAUAGUAUAAUUUCAAGAAAUAUUUUUACACUUUUAUUCAAAUAAUUUAAUGAACUAUUUAUUUUGUUUCAAUACUUUUAACAAUUUCAAAUUAUAUCACAUACAAACAUUAAUUUACAAAUAAUUUAUACAAUGAAUAUAUGUUAUUUUAAACAUGUUUUUAUGUGUAAUUCCAACAAACAUUUUACAUUGGAUUACUUUCAUAAUUUAAUGUAAUAUUUUUAAAAAUAUUUAGAAAUAUAUCUCAAAAUUAUAUCAUUUAAAUUAUUUAUAGACUUAAAUAUAUUUUUAUUCCUAAUAAAUACUUGAUAUGUAUGUUUGUUUCCUAGUAAAACAAAAAUUUUAUUUUUUGACCUUUCAUAUUUUAUUUGUCCUUGUUGAAUUAAUAAAUUUUGUGUUUAUUGUUUGAGAAAUAAAAAAUAUUUAUUUCCGACUAUUAACAAAUGAAAUUUUUUAUUAAGAACAAAAAUAAAAAAAUUAACUAAUUGAUAAUAGACUAACAGAAAGUAUGAAGGACAAAAAUAAAAUUAUUUUAUUAAGAAUCUAAUGUAAAGAAAAAUUUAUCUAAAAACAAACACAAAUUUUUUAUAUUUAUUGAGUAUCAAAAUAUAUUCUGAGUCUUAUUUAUAAAUCCACACAACGGACCAAUAGCUAUUUUUUAAUAAUUCUGACAAAAAAAAUGAAAAAAUGGCAGCAACUGAUAUUCACAUAAAGCUAGCACAUCAACAUGAAAAUUUUGCCAGUCCCUUUUGUUAUACACAUUCCAAGCUCUAAGCAGAAGAACUGGGUAUUUUGUACUGUUUCGCAUAAUAUUCUUAAUAGAGUUUUGGAAUCAGUUUCUAGUUUGUUUUUGCCACCUUGCAUUUCCAUGUCAUUAGCAAAUUUUAUGUCUUCGAUCAACUUUCGGGUCUGCAAAAUAAUACCGAUUAUUUUACAUGUUUUCUGAGACAUGAUUAUUGCAAGAAGAUAUUUUGUAUCAUUAAUAAAUUAUAGGUGGUCCCACCAAGCUCGGAUAAAGAAGAAAGUUUGUAUUAAGUCAUCAGCAGUAAAAAAAAUUAAAAUAUUAAGAAAAAAUGAUUUUUUUAUUACAAAACAAAUAUAAAUCUCAGAUAUACAUAAAGAAACACCAACAUAGUUAGUCUAAUUAAAUUCAAGAUAUCUAACAUCUUACACAUAUUUAAUUUAAUGAACAUGUGUAAAAAGAACAACUUAAAUAGCUCAACAGAGCAUAACAAACUCUGAUCAAAUUAAUUAAAUAACUCAAAUGUACACCAUUAAGUUUAUAUAUUGAGGCUGGCCAGAUUCAGUGCAGGGUUAAUGAAGUGAUGAAAUAAGUAAUAAGUUAUUUUUAUGAACGAUCUUUGCUAGCAAAUACAGUAGCACAUGUUAGGAAUAUCAGUGUGAGCUUUAUUCCAUGAAUGAAUCAGUGGCUAUAAUUCUACAGAGGGUAGCGUUUGGAAUAUUUUCCAUGACAUUUUUUAAUCACUGUGUGUCACGCGUUUGAGUACGAUUGCUUUAAUUUGGGUUGGUGAACAUCUUUUUCUUUGCUGGCCAGUCAACCGUUACCAUAGUCUUCCCUACAAUACUGAUAUUAACAACAGCUGUAUUUUGCUCACUGUCUUGGCACUUGGGAUAUUUUCGGAAAAUAAUGAACCUACUAUAUUUUAGAAUUUAUUUAGGAGAAAGGUUCCUCCAAAACAAACAUGAGUUCUUUAUCUAAUCAUUGUUUGGAUUUUAUUUCAAUAAUAAUUAAUAUGAGCUAAUAUUAUAAGAUAAUUAUAUUAGUUAUUUAUUGUUAUUGGAUUUUAUGUUAUGUGAUCAAAUUAAGUAAUCUCGGUUAAACAACUAAAUCAGAUGAUACGAAUUUAAAUGAGCAGUGUCAGUGUUGACUCACUAGAAAAUAAUGAGAACCUUAUUAGAUUAACACAUUACAAGAAGGCUAUCGUCCCCCAAAUAUACUGAAUCACCGACACAUAGAUAGUUUCUCUUCUUGAGGGAAUUGAAUAAUACUUUGCCAAAAAUGAAAAGGCGGAAACGAGUAACCUUUUGGCUAAACUCAUCUCCAUGAAGUAUAAGGGCAAAAGUUAUAUAAAAAAGUUUUUGCUCAUAUAAUUUUUGUUUUUGUUUAUUAUUAUUAUUAUUGUUGUUGUUGUUGUUGUUGUCGUCGUCGUCGUUGUUGUUGUUUUUUUGUUUAAAAAGGGGAAACAAAAGGUGCCCUUAGCAAAAGAAACAAAACAAAUAUGCAAUAUUUACUUGGGGUAUUUUAAGUGUAAAUCAAUGAUAGCAUUAAAUAUAAUUUAAGGAUAUGAUAUUUACUUAUCGUAAUUAAUGUUUUAUAUUUUUUUAGUAUCAUGAUGGAAGUUAAUUUAACAUAUCCUUUCCAUUUAUUUGCAUAUCUAGUGAUUUUUUUAAUUAAAUUGAUUGUUACGAUAUAUUGUCAAGGUAAUCCCUAUUGUGAAAAUUAAUUUGAUUAAAAUUACAAAUUUUUGUAUAAAAUCAUUUAUGUGAAUUAUGUUCAGACCAAAGGAAUACACAAUUUGACCAAAUAAUAUUUUAUAUUUGUGAUGAUAAAUGUGUGACAAUUAUAAGGUAUUUUCAUGUGAAUAAUAGUCGGUCCAAAGAAAGACUAUUAUUUGACAGAUUUAUUGUUAAUAUUUGAUCGUUGCAUUAAGAGUACCAAUUACAAAUUAAUUUAUCUAGAAAUUAAUGUUGUGUUAGGUAUCUUGUAAUGGGUGUGUUCUGUAAAAUAUUUACAUGUUUUAUUAUAUAUUUUUUAUAUAACUAAAUUAUAUGUGAAAGUUGUGUAAUUUUAAUACCUCUCAUUUAUUAUAUUAAAUUGUCUUGUAUUUUUUGGUUUAAUUGAUUGAAACAACAUGUUGUCAAAGUAACCUUUGUUGCAUAAGCUGAUUUGAUUGAAUUUACAUGGAUGUUGCAUGAAAUUAUUCAUGCGAAUUGUGCUCGGCCCAAAGGAAAACACAAUUUGGUAGAAUAAUUAUUGCUUGCGAUGGUAAACAUGUGGUGAUUAUAAAUAGUGUGAUUUUCCAUGUGAAUAAUGAAAUGUUCAAAGGCAAUCAUUAUUUGACUGGGGUAAUUAUCAUAUAAGUUUUUCAUGUGAGCAAUGAAGUGUCCAACGACAACUUUUGUUUGACAGGACUUAUCACCAAUGUUUGAUCAAUGCGUUGAGAGUAUCACUUGCAAUUAAUCUUUUUCGAUCCAAAGAUUGAGGAUUAAUGAUGCGCUAGGUAUCAUGUUUGACUCUUGAAAUUUACCAUAAAUAUUAUUUUUGUAUUGUAUGUUUAUAUUCUCUUCUUUAAUUGUUGUUGCUACUACUAUGAUUUAAAUUACUCACAUUAUUUAAAUCUCAAAUAUGCAUGUAUAAAAUAAUUUGUAUGGGGGUCCUAAGGUGAUAUAUGAUUAAUCUUGGUAUGCAACACUAGAAAAUAGUAAAACAAAUUAUGCGUUAAUUGAAGAGAACAAGAAAUUACAUGUUUUCAUAUCAAAAGUCUAGAAGUUUAGAGAUCAUUGAGUAUUAUGACUUUGAUUUUUUCGAAAUGUCUUAAUAGUAAUCACUCCACAUAAGGAUCCACAUUUAAUCGUGUUGGUGGAGUUAAUAUUUAGCUAUGAGACAUCAUACUAGAAUUUAUAACUGCUAAAUUAUUGUAACUCGCUUGCUUGUUGUUGCCAACAUUAAUUAGCCAUCAGAUGUUUAUUGCAACAAUAUCUUAAUGAUAUCAUUAAAGAUUCAACUAAGUCAAAGUUUGUUGACAUAAAAUAUUUGGUUCUUAAAUAAAGAAUUCAAAAAAUAUAGAUUUGUAUAGAACAUAUAGGAACUCAUUUCAUUCUAGCUGAUUUACUUACUAAAGGUAUGACACUUAAAGUUUUUCAUGAGCACAUUGUUCAUAUGGGUGUAAUUCCUGAUAGUACCUUAGUUUAGUGGGAGUCUUACUUAUGUUAUAUAUCUUACAGUUUACAAGCAUGUUGUGUUUGGAUUGAUCUAUAUAAAGAAUAAAGUUUGGAUCAGUUGGAAAUAGACAUGACUAAGAUCACAUUACAUGUAAUUUCCAUGUUAUUUAUCCAUAUUGACCUAUGUCAUUGAAUGUAUUAAUGUGGUGGUCAUUGGGGUCUAGUUACAUUUGUUGUAGUGACAAAAGCUGCGAUGAUUUCAUUAUUGAUACAUGAGAUGAACCAGAUUGUUAAGGUGAAAGUUUAAAAAUAAAUAGCAUACAUAUGCACGCUUAAGGAUUCUUUAUAUAAUUUGUACAAUAUAUAUGUAGCCCAAGUGGGAGAUUGUUGAAAUUUUCUAUUUUAAUAAUUAAUGUGGGUUAAUAUUAUAAGACAAUUACAUUAGUUAUUUAUCAUUAGUGGGUUUUAUUUUAUGUGAUCAAAUCAAGUGAGUCCCUUAGACAACCAAAUCAGAUGAUAUGGACUUAAAUGAACUUAGAAGAUAAUGAGAACCCUAUUAGGUUAACACAUUAUAAGAAGGCUAUNNNNNNNNNNNNNNNNNNNNNNNNNNNNNNNNNNNNNNNNNNNNNNNNNNNNNNNNNNNNNNNNNNNNNNNNNNNNNNNNNNNNNNNNNNNNNNNNNNNNNNNNNNNNNNNNNNNNNNNNNNNNNNNNNNNNNNNNNNNNNNNNNNNNNNNNNNNNNNNNNNNNNNNNNNNNNNNNNNNNNNNNNNNNNNNNNNNNNNNNNNNNNNNNNNNNNNNNNNNNNNNNNNNNNNNNNNNNNNNNNNNNNNNNNNNNNNNNNNNNNNNNNNNNNNNNNNNNNNNNNNNNNNNNNNNNNNNNNNNNNNNNNNNNNNNNNNNNNNNNNNNNNNNNNNNNNNNNNNNNNNNNNNNNNNNNNNNNNNNNNNNNNNNNNNNNNNNNNNNNNNNNNNNNNNNNNNNNNNNNNNNNNNNNNNNNNNNNNNNNNNNNNNNNNNNNNNNNNNNNNNNNNNNNNNNNNNNNNNNNNNNNNNNNNNNNNNNNUGAAAUAUGUUCCUGAUAUUUAUAUUUUAUUGGUAUUUUAUAAGGAUCCCUGAAAAUUUACAACUAUCACUACCAAAACCAAAACCAGUAUAUCCAAUCUUAAUAUAACUUAGGUUAUCUUAGGAUUGGAGUUGGUAAAUAUUUUUCUCAAUUUUAAUACACAAUAAAAAAAUUUAAUACACCAAAUGAAAUAAGAAAAAAUGUUACUUAUAGGAUAAAAAUACUUUUGACCUCUCACAACUUUAACCAAACAUGCAUUUAAAUAUACCAUAACGAUUUUAUCUUACUAGAUGAUUUACAUACAUUUUAGUUACUUUGCUCAUUUAAGUGUAAUAUAUAUAUAUAUAGAAAUAAAACUGCUUUAUUAGGAAGUUAGGGAAUAAAUUGCACAUUCAGUUCCCAACUUGCUUGUCAUCUUGCAUUUUCAUGCCACCGGCAGAUUUGAAUUCUUCAUUCAACAUUUUCUAUCAUUAAUAAAUUAUAGCCCGUCCCAUAAGGCUCAAUUAAAGUCAAUUAUAAAACCAAUUAUAUGUGGGAAAUGAAAAAGACAAAAUAAUUGGAAAAUAUGUCUUAUUAAAAAAAUUAAAGAAUAGAUGUAGGUUAAAUAGAAGAAAAAUAAUGUUUUGAUUAAAGUUUUGUUGAGAGUCUCAUUUGUUUAAUUAGAAGAAAAAAUAACAUAACAUGCAUAACAUACCAUAAAAUUUUUUGAUGUACCUAUUGAUAUUCACACAAUUAAUAAAAAAUGACUAUUGAUUCAAAUGACAUUUUUAUGUCCACUCAUUACUAUUGAUCUUAAUGUUUUUUAGAUUUUGGCUUCAUUCAUUUUUUUUCUCACCAAUUUUUUUUUUGGCAUCUACCCAAUCUUUUCAUUUCACCAUCACAUCCAUUAACAUAUAUCAUAUCAUGUGUUAUUUUUCAUAUUCUAAUUAAGACUCAUUAAAGCCUAUUAUUUUUUUCUUAAACAAAAAAUAUAUAUUGUAAAUUUAAGAUAUAAAAUAAAAGUAAAAUUAUUAUUAAGAUAUAGUAUUUAUAGUAUAGUAGUAAAAGUACAAAUAUAAUAACAAAAAGAUUAUACAAGAUAAAAUAUCAACAAAAUGACAAAGGAACAAAAAAUGUUUAAACUUUUACAUAUUAAAACUAGACAGUUUAUUAUUUUCUUUACAAUUAAAUCAAAAGUUGUUAAAGCAAUAUAAUAAAUUAUUGGAUGGAAAAAAUUUAUUAUAUUAUUUGUAAUUAACUUGUUAGUAAGAAUACAUAUGUAAAUGGCGUUGUAAAAUACUUAAGAAGUCUGAUUACAUAUUAAUAAAAUUAUUGGAAAGAUUAUUUUGCAUUUACUUUAAACUCCAAUGAAAAAAAAAGUAAAUUGCACUUGCAUUACCUAUAUUUUACUCCAAUUUUACCUAAUACUCCAAUUUUUAGUUUUUUUGGCAUCACUUUGACUCCCUUUAAUAAAAUGGUGUUAAUUAAUGGUUAUAAUUUUAUGUUGAAUGAUGAAAUUACCAUUUUCUUUUUUUCUACAUUAACACAACCUCACAAUAUUCUUGUGCCUAAUCCUCCCUGACGUCUCAACUUCAACAUCAAAUUCAUCAUCUUCCUCAAAAACCAACACUUUUAUCUACAUUUGUAGGUGCUUUACCUCCACCAGCUCACUAUUGCUAUGUACCACCUUGUACACCUUCCUAGAUGCUCCACUUCCUUGUACACCAGCUCAAUGAUCUUGUUCUUUCAUCGUACUCUUUGCACAUACAUGAGUGAUAUCCCUACAAAUGUCCUAUGAAAUUUGUCCUAAAAAUCUGUCUAAUAUACAAAUUAUGAACAAUUAUGCUGGAUAUCUUACAUAAAGAUAGACAAAUAAUUAGGGAUAUACAUGAUUAUGUACAAAUAAUCUCAUUACUCCCUUCAAGUUGGAGUAUGCAAAUCGCAAAUGUCCAUAUUGUGCAAUAAGUAAAUCGAGUACUUAGUUGGACCAAGUGCUUUGGUGAGUAUAUAAAUCAAGUCUGAGGUCUUAAGAAGGGAUAGAAGUAGGUUAGAUCCUAUGGCAACUUGGUCAGGCUCAUUUAGCAAAAAAAAUCAAACUGAGUUUUUUUUAAAAAACUUGUUUAGUUAAAAAGGCCAGACAUGGUCUUAAGAAAAACUUAUGAGAUUUGAUGGCUUAAUCCAUUUAGCAAUAAUAUAUUUUUAAAUAAAAAUAUUAUUAUUAAUAUGAUAUAUAAUAUUAUAAUCUAAAAUAAAAUUAGAAAUCCUAUUUCCUUAAGUUUUCUCUACGCAAGUAUGAAGUAAUGCAUCUAGUGUUCUUAUAAAAAAAAAUAAUCUAAAAACAUGUGAUUAGAAUAAAUCGGAAGAGUGAGUAACAUGGUGGCAAAAGUCAAAUUUGAUAUGGCUGAGGUGAUUAUGCACAAAAGAUACCUUAAAAUUAUAUUGGCCUUUAAAUUGGUUUAAGGAUCAGUGUACUUAUAUAAUGUCAGGGCCAAACAUAAAAAAUAAGACGGUCACGUAUAAUAGGUUUAUGCUUGGGCUAUAAAGUUAUAAAGUGGGUUAGACUAUGCUUAGGUAAAGUUUGACUCUGUCUAAACCAUUUUCACAUCUAGACAUAAGUAGGUCCAAUGUUGUCAUUUUGAAUUUCAUCAUGAAUAAAAUGACAGUCAACUUUGAUAUGUUUGGUAAGUUCAUGAAAAACUAAGGGAGUGUUUGGUUUGCCUGUUUUCUGUUUUCAUUUUCACUGAAAACAGAAAAUGGUGAUGAAAAUGUGUUUGGUUGGAUUUUUGAAAACAUUUUCAGUGAAAAUAAAAACAGAAAACAACCAGAAAAUGAAAACAAUAAAAUUUCAUAUUCAAUGUUUUCAGUUGAAAAUAAGAACUUCAUUUUGGGUAAAAUGAAAAUGAGAUGACAAUGAAUGUAAUUUAAGCAAAUUUAAAAAUACAAAAAAGACAAGAAAUCAAUAUAUCAUAAAUUUUCAGUGUUUUUAUUUCCUAAAAACAGAAAACAAGAAGUCAAACCAAACAUAUUUUCAGAAUUCUAAUCUUUUGAAAAUAAAAACAGUUUUCAGAAAAUGAAAACAGGAAAUGAAAAACAGAAAAUGAAAAUGCAAUCCAAACACACCCUAACUUUUUGGUGGUGAUCACAAUGAAGAUGGAUAGGUUGAGAACGUGAGAUACUAAGGUUGAAAAGAAUUUUCUUUAACCAUUUUUACUCGUAAAUAAUCGUUAGCAUGAAAUGGUAUUCAACUUUAGUGGAUGAGCAUGAAAUCAUGGGUUGCUUUUUUAGUUUUCCACGAAAUGGAAAAGUUUCCCAAAUGAAUAAAGCAUCAUGUGAGAUGUACCGUCCUUCGAUAUAAUAACAACCCGUAAUAAAAAUAUACUCUAAAAUGCCUAUAAGAUAUGGAUUUAGAAAUUUCAUUGGUUCAAAAUACUUCAAAUAUUAUAAUAAAUGAGUCCUUACAUAAUUAAACAAUUGUAUCCUCAAAUAUGGGUAUCUACAAAGUUGAACUAACAAUAAACUAAGUAUUCAAUUCUCCUUCGUCUGAAAAGUUUCUUCAUUGAACUCUGAAAACAACACUUUUAAUGAGAUAAUAAUCUUAUUGAAUAAAACAAUUUCUAAAAGAUUUCGCAAAUAAUGUUCUCAACCGACGCAAUAACCUAAAAAUCCAAUCAUUGUAUCCGCAAAAUUAAAUUUAAAAUAAUAUAUACAUACUUAUAAACAAUCACAAAUUAUUCACACAAUGAAAUAACACUCCGGUCAAUAAACAUCAACAGUUCACUACAUUCAAUUCUUGAACAAACUAACAAAUAUCACAACACAACAUAGUGAUUCCCAGAAUCAUUAGCCUCAACUAUUUGGUUCCUGAACCAGUGUGGAUCUCAGACUCUUCAAAUGAUCUAUGAGCUCAUAUUCAUGCAAUAAUGUCUCACUACACCAUCCCCAUCAUAGAUGAAGGUGUCAAGAAUCUUUUUCUCAUCCCAUAUGAAGGUAUCUUUAAUCUCAUCUAUAACAUUCCAUUUUUCGUAAAUAAAUUUAAAUUUUUUUUAUUUAAAAAUAAAUAAAAUUGAAAAAAAAUGAUGAGAUAUUUAUAAUUAAAUAAAUAAGGAGAAAUAACUUUAUUAAUUAAAAUAAUGGUUUGAAAGAAAAUAAAAAAAAGAUAUUUGAUUUAUUCAUUUGAUAAAAAAUAAAUUAGAGUAUUUCUUUAUAAAAUAAUAAAUAAAGAAAAUAGAGUAAAUAAUAGGUUGAGAGUAUCCUAGCUAUAAAUAGAGACAUGCUAUGUCAGUUUUCAGACAAACGAUAGUCUUUGCGGUUUCUCUUCCUCUCAAUUUCGUUUUCCCUUUUCCUCCUCUCAAAACCCUCUUUCUUUUUCCCGCAUACACUUAAACCUGUCCUAGUAAAAUGACGAUCUCAAACUUGUUAACCGUUGGAUCAUCAAGAAAUUUGAGCACCAGGUUUGGAACUCAUCUCUGAACAUUCUCACCAUUAGAAUUUGCGAAACAAUGUCAUCAGAGGUGAUAAAGAUUCCCUUUGUAUUGUAGCUUUCUCUUUUCCCGUAGAGACCCAAAACCUAUCCUAGUAAAACUACAAUCCCGUAUUCGUUAAUCGUUGGAUCAUUGUAAAAUUUGGACACCAGCUUUGGAAUUCAUUUUCGCAAAUCACCAUUGGGAUGUGCAGAAUAAUGUUUUUGCAGAGAGAAAUUAGUGUCGCACGUUGACAGUAAAAUGGAGGUUAUAAUAUCUUCUCAUUAUCUCUAAUGCUUGGAAACCCUAACAGAGCAAAAAGAGGAAAAACUUGAGGAAUCUUAAGGAAUUGCCAGAGACACCGCUAUCAUUACUGGACUACAUACAUGAGCCCACUUAGAGGUAAAGGUUGAGUUUAUCGCCAUUGAGAUUAGAAUAAAUAUGUGUAGGAAUUCUUAGGAGAUCAAAUUGAGGUUUAUUUUAGGAUGUUUAUUGUAUUGUAAUUCUUUCUGUAUGAUUAUGUGAAAUAUUUGAGGGAUUUUACUCCCUGUGUUGUGAGAAACAUUUUUGUAUGAUUUGUUUGUGUUUUGGAUAAGAUUAGCAUGAUAAAUAGUUACACUAGGAUCAUUAAAUUGUGAUUGAAAUUUUGUAUAAGUGAUAAAUUGAAUAUGUGAUGAAUUGUGAGAUAACACAUUGCUUUGAGAUUAUAACAUUGUUAUUGAGAUUGAGUAUAAGUGCAAAGUUGAAUGUGUUAAUUUGUGAGAUACACGUAAACAUGUGAUGAUGGAUUGUGACAUUAUGAGACGUUAAAUUGUGGACAUGAGAUUUGAUUGUGAAUAAGUAUAUGGUUAACACUUGAUAAGGCAAUACUUGUACUGUGAGCUGUGAAUUAUACAAUAACCUGACCAGUGUUUACCUUGAGAAAAGUGUUUAUGCACAGUGUUAAAGGGAAAAUGUAGGAUUCAUAUUUAGGAACCAAUGUUAAAUUAUAGCACAAUAUGUUGAAUGUGUUUGAAACACGAGUGUGGGGUCGUGGAUAUUAUAUAAUUCAUGAGUAGUAUCUACGUGCAAAAAUGGUUUUAGGGGUGGGACUUGAAUUAGGAAGGUGAGACCCUAACCAAUUCUUCGGAGUCUAGGCCUUGGGGGUAAAGGCACUCGGUUUGAAUGCUCCUUUAAGCCUAUGUUGAUUUCAUAUGGUUGGAGCAUUCAUGUAAAAUAGAGUGAACCUGAUUGGUCACCUUAUGAUUUUACUUAGUGAGAGUGACCUGACAUACCCAUUGUAUGAUGUGUCUUGUUAUGUACUUCUAAGUGUCUCAGGGUGGUUUUUUACUGACAUGAUACCACAUUACAUAUAGGCUUGAGUUUUAAUAUAAUUGUUGCAUAACACUUGCUAAUUGUUUAUCAUGAAAUUGAAGAGUGUUAUUACAUCUUGACCUGAAUGUGUGAUUCAUAUAUAAUGUGAUAGGUGAUUGAAGAAUGAAAUUUUAAAUGAUCAAGUGGUGAAGUGAUGUGAGUUGUAUUAAGUUGAACUAUGUUAUAAAUAUUUUUAUAAUAUAUUUGGAUUAUGUCUUUAUUUAUUUGUAUUUUUUUUAAAUGUGAUAACUUACUCACUGUGUGCUAUUUGUGUUUAGAUCCUGUGAUGAUCUCAAACUUUGUGUUCGUGGGAGCAGAUGACUAGGUGGAUGACUUUAAAUAAUAGUGCUAGAGGACGCUGGAACGCAAUGCUCUGAUAGGAUGUGACAUUGGGAAUGAGUUUUUAUUUUAAUUGCAUGAUGUUAUUUUAUUUUAUUUUAUCUCACUUAUUUAACAAAAUUUCUUUUGUAAACUUUGACAGUCUUGCUCUGAAUAUGUAUUUGUAUAAGUUUUAUUUGACUAUUAAAGCGAAUGUGAGCCUUUUACCCUUUUGAAAUACUUUUAUUUAAAUGUUUUUGAAAACUAUUAAUUAGUUAUGCUUUUUUAUUCCUUUUAUUAUUAGUACAUAUAUGUGUAAGAUAGAGGGUGUCACAUCAUUGUCAUUCCAGAUGGAGGUAUCUCAUAUCUCUUCUCCAUCUCAAGUAAAAGUAUCUCAUGCAUAUUCAAUUAUCAAAAUAAGAUAUAUACUUUCAGUUUUAGAGUUUAAAAUCUUUGUGCAAAUAAAUGUAAAAGAUUUUUUUACUAUGGUAGGAAAAUCCAGCAUUUACAGUUGGCUUACAUUUAUCUUAUUUUAAGGAGACAAGCUGUUGGAGUUUUCUGCAAGUGAUUUUUUGUCUUUUAAUUGUUGUUUUAUUGCUUGAUAACUAUGGAUAUGAUUAUUAGUUAUAAAUAGAAAUAAAAUAUAAUUUGUAGAUAUGUUGUGUGGUAAAAAUUUAUUUUAAUCUUUGUAUGACAAACCUUGAAUACGGUUUGAAAUUCUAAAUAUACAGUUGGGUUUAUAAAAAGUAAGUAAAUAGAUAUUAUAAACUUCAGUUUUUAAGUAUCUUGCUAAAUAAGAUUCACGUUAGACCCCUUUCUGUGUUAACAUAUUACAGACUAUGUAUUUGAUUAAAAAUUAUGAAAUUAAGGCAAUAGAUAUGUUUAACGUACUCAAGCAUUCUGAUGUUGUACUAACAAACAUUGUUUUAUUGUUUUUAUUCUCUAAUCAAAUUCCUGGUUGCAGCAAUUUAUUUCCUUUUUCUAUGUGGUUUCUUUGGUAAGGUUGUGGCAAGAAAUUUAUUGCCGGAACUUGAUACAACUUUAUCAGUUAACUGUGUUCUGCCGCUGCCUUUUCUGUUUUCAUGCAAAUAAAUCAUAAACAAAGAGAAGAUUGAAUUAUUUGGUUAAAAUUAUGUUGAAAUUUGAAACGUCUCACUCUCACCAGAACCGUUUUAUCUAUGACUUGAUGGUUUGCUUUUCUUAAUUCUUAUUUAUGCAAUAUGGGCAGUUUAAAAGCCAUUUCCAUGAAGUUCGAGUUCUGCCUUACUGCAUAUCAAUUGCCUGUGAUAACUAUGAAGUAUGAAUAGUGUCAUCAAAUUUUGCCCGAAUGUAGAUAUGGGGCAGACCUUGCACGAGGGAUUGUUGAGUUACAUGCUGCAGGCAUUGUUUGCAUGAAUAUAAAAACAUCCAAUCUUCUUCUUGAUUCAACUGGCCUUGCUGUGAUUUCUGAUUACUGCUAUUCUGAAGAAGCAUUCCUGUUGGAAGGGCCAACCUGAGCAUGACUCCUCAAACACCCACUCAUGUAUAUGGAAUGUACCGUGCUUAGUCCACAUUAUACAGCUCCAGAGGCUUGGGGGCAACUUCUGAAGAAAUCAUUAAAUUUGUUCUGGGAAGAUGCAAUAGGUAUAUCAGCAGAGUCUGAUGCCUGGAGUUUUGGUUGUACACUGGUGGAGAUGGGCACGGGUUUUGUUCCGUACAUGAAUCAACUCAUCAUUCAAUUUUUCUUUUUCUUUGCAUUCUGGUUUUCUAGAGUUGCAUAUCGCAAAUUCUAUGCUUGUGUAGUUGGGCUGGUUUAAGUUCGGAGGAAAUUUAUCAAGCAGUUGUCAAGGCAAAGAAACUGCUUCCACACUAUGCCAGUGUGGUUGGUGGUGGAAUACCUAGUGAUUUGUGGAGGAUGAUUGGAGAGUGCUUGCAGUUCAAGCCAUCUAAAAGGUCUAGUUUUACUGCAAUGUUGGCAAUAUUUCUCCGUCAUUCGCAGGGAAUGCCGCGCAGCCUUCCCCAGAUAAGUAAGCCCAUUAUAAUUAUCCACGACUUGUAUCUUCUAUGCUGGUUUUAUGACAUCUGAUUGAGCAGUCAAAAUGUAGCCUAUUUAUAGUUUUUGAUAUGUGGUGUGGAAAUGAGCCAAAUUUGCAGUUGUCAUAGAUGCCAAACAAUUGACUUGUACAUGUUUUAUAUUUCUGUAAAUACAGUGAUAGAGUUGUCCCCUGUGCAAGAAUUAGAAGUUUCUCAGAAAAACCCAUUCCAUCUUCAUCAAUGUGUGUCUCGGGGAUGUUAGAAGUGUUAGGUCAGUUGGUGCAUCAAAGUCACAAACAAUCUUCCUUGAGCUUGCUUUCAUUUUCAUUUUGCAAUUCAUUCUUUUUCUUUGUACUUUCCGUACAGUGAUCUUCUUUUCAAGGCUGCAUCAGACUAUGGCAGCAACAGCCUAUCUUCUCUGCUGGAAGCUCAAAAUGCUGAUGAACAAACUGCUCUCCACUUAGCUUGUAGAUGUGGCAGUGCAGAACUUGUUGAGGCAAUUUUGGAGUAUGAAGAAGCAAAUGUUGACGUCUUGGACAAAGAUGGAGAUCCUCCUCUUGUUUAUGCAUUAGCUGCUGGAUCCCCAGAAUGCGUUCGCAGUCUUAUCAAAAGAGGUGCUAAUGUGAGGCCACAAUUAAGAGAUGGCUUUGGCCCAUCUGUUGCUCAUGUUUGUGCACAUCAUGGCCAACCAGAAUGCAUGCGAGUAUGUUUUACUUUAAUCAUAUUCAGGUUCGUCUUUGCAUUUACUAGAGCUAUAUUCAUAUAAAUAUAUGGUAAAAUAACAGGAAUUACUAUUAGCUGGAGCUGAUCCUAAUGCAGUGGAUGAUGAAGGUGAAUCUAUCCUGCAUAGAGCAGUUCCCAAGAAGUCCGCUGACUGUGCCCUUGUGAUACUGGAAAAUGGAUCAAUUGCCAUCUUGAAUCCAAAUAAUAUGUCUUAAGUAUAGAUUUCCCAUCAAUUUUCUUCUUAAGCUUAAAAUGUGUUUGCCAAACUUGUCAAUCAGUCUAGGACUCCAGAGGUACAGAAAGAAACGGAUCUUACUCAUCAAUUUUGCAUAUCCAAUGAUCAAUGUGAAACAUGCACUUUAGCUGUCUCAGUCCACUGCAAUGACAGCAUGGCUUUUCUCUAGCAUGGAGCAGCAAACUCAUGUCGAAACAUGCACCUUAGCUGGAUAAAAUUGAUACAGACUACUUCUGUAAUUUCUUAGCUGCUUGUACAAUUGAGUACAAUUUAGGAUAGGAAUUGGAACAGAAUGACAAUAUAUUUCUCUAAAAUCCUUUAAUGUAUAAUGAAUAAUUGCUGCUAAUGCUCAAUAUCUUACAUAAGUGACAUUUAUUCUUAUUAUCUCUUCAUUAUGGUGCGUUCCUUCUGAAUUUUGAUUCCACUGAAAAACUUUCUAAUUUGCUGGUGGACACUAUCUUAUUGAUGCCAAAUUUUGUUUGUGGUCUUCCAUAGUUCUCUCCAAAUUUAGAGGUCAUGGAUCUUACCUUUUCAAUAGAUAGUUCUUUAUUGAUGUAUGUUGUCUGCGGGCUAAACAAACAGGUUGUUGGUUUCCCCCUAACACUGGCAGACCUCUUUACUGAUUUUUUUUCAUCUUCUGUGCAUUAUCUAGGUUUAAUCAACAGUCCCUUGUCAUUCUGGUUCCUUAUUCUAUUGAGUUUUUAGUGUGAGCUUUUGUCAGCAAAAGGAAAAAAAAAUCAUAUUGUAAUGCUUUAUAUUACAAUAAUUUUAGUAAUCAAGUUUCAGAAUAACCAUAUUUGUAAAUAGAGAUUUUUUAUUUAUUUAUAAAUUACAUAAUAUAUGAAUACUUACAAUAGUAUGAUGAUAUGAUCAUUGUUUUAUUUGACGACCUUUGUAUAGAGAAUAGAUCUACAUGGUUCUUAUUUCUUAUCACUAGUACUAUUUUUACUUUGGAUAGAGUAAUUAUUAAGUUGUUGGUGUUAUAUUCCAUUUGUUUUUGCUCUCAUGCUAGACUAUACUGAUAGAUUAUAGAUAUCAUCAGGAUACUUUGACAAAUGUCUUUGUGAAGCUUGGGUUUUUAUACCUGUAUCCGUUGUUUUGUUUUUCCUCAUGAGUAAGUUGGGUCUGGUCGUAAUAUAUCUAGGGCAAAGGAAUGGUUUCUUAGAUGUAAAAGAUGGUAGUCUAUUCUUUUACUUUGAAUAAACCACAGUAGAAGAUUUCUGCACUGUGAUAUUGCUGAUGGGAAAACUGGAAAGAAAAAAAUCAAUUAUUCCUGUCUGAAUCAACCAUGGCCACCUCUUCUUUGUCCUUAUUUAAGUAGUAAAGAUAAUAAAAUAUUUUAUGAAUCCGUUCUUUACUACUGCUUCUAGGAAACUGAAAGCAUAUGCUGUAGGUCAAUCAUAUAAUAGCAAGUUAAAUACCACUGAAGCUGGUAUUUUAGCUAAUUUUAAAGGAAAUUGCUUCUUUUUAUCAUAAUUCUGGGGGUUAGUUUUUUAGUUCUUGGGUGUUUUAUUUCUUCUCAUAUUUGUUGGAAUUUCUAUAUGGGAUUGCAACAUUUUAAAUGCAUUCUUGUUUCUGUGUGGGUGUUUGAAUAUAGAUAUCAUUUCGCCUCACAUGCAUCUGUGAUCAUCUAGUUUUACACUUUUGAUGUUGCAGACUGCUGCACUUGUGUGUGACAACUUGGAAUGAUAUCUAAAUUCAAACAUGGGAUUGCUGAAGUUGCAACUUCUGAUGAGAUUGCUGAAUCAAUUGACAUGACAUCCCAAGCCCUAUGAGCACUGCUUUGUUGAUGGCUGCUGCCUCCAAGAAAGAUCAUGAAAGUGGUAUGAAUAUCUGGGAUUAUUGGUUAAUACUUGAUAAUGAUUUUAGAAUUCAUCUUGUCUGUUGAUUGGGCUAUUAUAGUUUUUUAUUCAUACCUGUUGUUAUUGCUGUUUUUUUUUAUUCCAAACAAAGUUCAGUGCAUAUUUUCUUCUAGUAGGUAUUCCUAAUUUAUGCUAAUAAUUAAUAAAGCUUCUGUUUUCUAAAAUAGUUAAGUCAUCUGAUUUUGUUUGCUCAUGCAAAAUAUAGAGGAGAGAGAAUAGGUGCAAAUUUUGCUUUCUGCGGAGCAGAUCCAUCUGCUCAACAUUCACAGCAUGGGCGGACAGCUUUGCAUACAGCUGUUAUGACUGACGAUGUUAAAUUGGUUAAGGUGAGUAAACCAGAUUCUUGAUUAGAAUGAUUAAAUAUCCAUCAAUAUUCAAUAUCAUGUUGGAAUAUGAAGUAUGUGCCUUUUGUAUCUGAUGUUAACUAACUUCUGUUUUUUGGUGUUGAGUAGGUUAUUCUUGCUGCUGGUGUUGAUGUGAACAUUCGUAAUGUGCACAAUGGCAUUCCUCUUCACAUAGCCUUAGCUAGGGGUGCUAAGUCAUGUGUUGAACUACUUCUAUGUAUUGGGGCAGAUUGUAAUUUGCAGGUUUUAAUUCAAGUUCUGAAUUUACUCUGUUUAACUACAGCAUUACACUAAGUGUUAUACUACUGUUGGUUCUUUAUAUAAGAAACAAAUAAUUAAUUCAUCAAGACCAAUCAAAGUAGUUUAGUUAAUUUUAAUUAAUAAUGUCAUAAAUUAAAAUUUGAUUCCAAAAGUAAAUAUAAAGGCAAAGUUUCAUAUCUCUUAUUAUUGUAUUGUUUCAAAACGAAUAUAUGGUGCUUUGAUCUUAUUUCUUUUUUCCUCUUGAUCUCUCUGAUACAUUAUAAAAUGAUUUUUCUAUUUGAUUAUAGUAGAUUUGGAAUUGAACUUCAUCAUAUGACUGAUUGAUUGCUGAGUUCAGUCUCCAGUUCACUGUAGUCAGCCACUUCGUCACAGAGUAAAUUAAGCCUAAUGAUAAUUUAUAUGGUUAUAAAUGGUUGGGGGACUGACUAAUCUAAGGGACAUGAUUCUUAUUAGAACUCAAAAAGUUACAUAUGCUGUUGAAAAUGUAGAAUGGAAUAUUGAAGUCUCUCUAAGUUUAUACAAUUGUCAUCUGUUUGGGAAUAUUUGAGAUCUAAUGAUAUAGUUGAAACUUGAAAGUUUAGUGUUUGCUUCCAUUGCAGGCAUUUAAUCUGUCAGACAAAUUGCAAUUUAACAAUUUGAGGUUUAUCCUCUUCAAAAAGUUAGUACAUAAUAUCUCAAACUAAGAGUUGGUUCAUAACAUUUUAUGGUGCACUCUAAAAUUGACAACUAGGCAGUUACAAGUAGCACCUGACUGGAACUAAAAUCUUCUCAAUGACAGUUUUUAGAUUGCACCGAACUUCUGGAGGAUGAAGUUUUACAAAUGAAACCUCACCAUUCAUUUUAACUCCUCAAUAGUGAGCCAGAGUUCAGGGGUUGUUAAAGUGUUACUAGCGUAACUUCUGUACCAACACUGAAAAGUGCAUAAACUUUAAAUCUACCUUUUAUCCUAAACAGUAAGUAUGCUUUAGUUUUGAUUUACUGUUGUCUUUAUCAUAUCUAUCUUUUACAUUUUAGGCUGGCUUGUGUACAUGCACAAGGAUAAGCAGGGUGGAAUAUGUUUUUUUAACAAAAAAUUGUUACAUGCUAUAAAUAUUUGAAAGUUGACAUUCCAGUGUCCGCCUAUUGUCUGAAAUAAGUUUUGCUAUUAUGUUUCUAAUUUAAAGUUCUAAGCUGUUUAUUUUGUCUCAGGAUGAUGAUGGUAACACUGCUCUCCAUAUAGCAGCAGGAACAGCAAAAAUGAUACGUGAAAAUCUUGAUUGGCUCAUUGUAUGCUUGGGAAUCCUAAUGCUGAUGUAUUAGUCAGAAACUACUGGCAAGUUGCAGCUCUGUGCACUCAUUCUCAUUAGAUUUUGAUUACAUUUUUUUUUUCAUCUUUUUACCAUCUGAAAAACUUUUGUCCAUCCUUUUAGAAAACUUUGACAACUUUCAUUUUUCCAUUUCAAAAGAAAGUCCCUCCUAUGACUUAUAGAGUUAUGUUUUAUUUCAGUGGCAAGACUCUAGGUGACAUCUUGGAUGCCCUUCCCCGAGAAUGGAUAUCAGAAGAUCUGAUGGAGGCACUCAUGAAGAAAGGAGUUUGUCUCUCUCCUGCAAUGUAAGGCAACGACAUUUUAUUAUUAUUAUUUUUAUUUACUGUUCUUGAAAUAUCUUCAUUGUAUGUCUUAAAAUAUUUUAGAAUAUCAUAGGAAAUUUUUGAAUUUUGUCAUAUCAAUUACCUCUCGAAUAUAGGAAGAAAUUUUAGCUAUUUCCUAACUUCAUUAUGUUUUGUAAUUAUUUUCCUUAUUUAAUUAGGGUUAGGAGUUUAUUGUCUUAGUAUGCUUUUUGCACUAGUAGAAUAGAACUACACCUGUAAGUGACCAAAUUCAUAGUAUAAAUAAGUGCCAGUGUCUGUAAUCUUAUGGAAUACUAUCUAGAACCUUCACCGAGAAAACAAUACAAUUUAGCUCCUUCUUUUUCUCUUUCCCUCCUUUCCUACCUUAAGCCCCAUAAAUUCAAUAGAUGUGAUAUCAUAUUUAUUUUCUAACCACAUCCAACUAUUUUUUUAUAAUUUUUGUUUAUUGUUUUAGAUUUGAAGUGGGAGACUGGGUGAAGUUUAGAAAAACUUCCAUGACUCCAACAAAUGGGUGGGAAGGUGAUCGGCAGAAGCAGGUGGGCUUUGUGCAAAGAGUUCCAGACAAAGAUAAUCUCAUUGUUUCAUUUUGUUCUGGAGAGUAUUAUAGUGUUUUGGCCAAUGAAGUUGUAAAAGUCAUUCCAUUAGACAAGGGACAACAUGUGCAGCUUAAAGAGGAUGUAAAAAAGCCAAGGUUUCUUUCUGCAUAAAUCUUAUAUCAAAUAUAAGUGAGGAAAAGUAUGUGUGAAUUUUCAUCAGUACAUGCAUAUGUUUAUAUUAUGUACAGUAUGAAUUACAAGAGGAACCAUCUUCUAAAUCAGAACUAAUUAGCCCUGGCACCAAUCAUCCAUGAGUCAGUAACAUCCAACUAAGCAUUAUAUAAUAUAAUGGCUUCUUUGUGUCCAUGCCUCUGUUGGAGGGAUUUCUAUGAUCCUUUAAAAUAUCUAAAUAGAUUGGAUAGGUCAUAUUUGGAUCCAAUUGCAAGGUACGGGACUUGAGUCCCACAGUAGAAGUGUGGGAUUAGAAUUCUGUUUGAGUCCAGCUUCUCUUAUUAAGGAGAAGAGAAACCCAAAAUAAAUUAGGCCAAGCACUUCCUAAAACAUCAUAUGAUGUCUGGAAAUGAUGUAUAUUUGGCCUUUGUUCUUAUUGCAGAUCAUUUGUGUUAGUCCAACAUGUAUUGCAGGCAGUCUUUACUUUCCAGAUAGUGAUCAUGAGUUGUAAACUAACAAGUAUUACAACACAACUUAGUGAUUUCUAGGAUCACUAGACUCAACUUUUUGGUUUCUAGAAUCGAUGUGGAUCUCAAAUUCUUUAAAGGAUCUUUGAGUUUAUAUCCAUGCAAUGACAUCUCACUGCCUACCCCAUCAUAGAUGAAGGUGUCAAGAAUCUCUUUCUCAUCUCAUAUGAAGAUAUCUAUAAUCUCAUCCUCAUCCCAAAUGUAGGUAUCUCAUAUCUUUUUCUCAUCCCAAAUAAAAAUAUCUUAUGGAUAUUCAAUUCUCAAUAAAAUAUACACUGCCAUCACUUCCUAAAAGAUGACUAAAAAAUUACAAAGUCAUACCCCAAAUUAUAACAUCAUGAGAGUCAAUUAAUAAUUAACUGUGAAAUAAAACGCAUACACAAUAUUAAAUAUAUUUUAGUUGAUAUAUAUGAUAGCUAAACACAAAACUCAAGCAAACUUAUUCAUGAAUUUUCAAAUAAAUUCCAAGAUUAAAUAUGUAACCAAUGAAGAUUUGUACAUUAUAAUACCCCUUUUGUAAAAUUAAAUCAAACCCCACGAAUAGUAACAAUUACAUGUGAAUAUGGUUAUAUCAGACCCUUAAAUAAUGUCAUGCAAUGAUACGACAGAACCUAAAUUUUGCAUCAUCAAUGGAUUAAUUGACACAAAUAUCAAUGUAUCAAUUUAUCGAUUUAUCAUUGGUAAACUCAAAAAGAUGUAUUUCUAAAAUCUAUAUCAUGAAAGUUUAGAAAAAGAAGAUCGUUUUACUCACUUCUUGAAACACAUAGUAAUUCACACGUUUCACUUAUUAUUCUUCUUCUACAUUCAGUGGGACAACAAGAUUCUUUUUGUUUCUUCUUUCUUCUCAAUCCUAUAUAAUUUACUAAUUUUCUAUUUUCUAAGAGACUGUCUAUAAAACUUUAAAAGAAGAGAAUUAUUUAUCCAUAUAUAAUACAAGAGUAUAUAAUUUAAGAUUGGGUCACAUGAGAUAUAUUCUUAGUAGAUUUGGCUAAUCAAAUCUUUUUUUUUCCUACUUAUUAUCUUGAUUUAUCUGAUUAUUAAAAUUAUCUAAUAUUUUAUUUUCUUUCAAGAUAUAUUAAGAUAAACCAUGAUAAAAUUUAAAUCAUUGUCAAUUAUCACAAUUUUACAUGUAACAAAUAUCUUAUCCAAACUAGAUAUACAAUGUUAUACUAUUAAUAGAAUAAUUAUCUUUACAAUACUAAUAAUCUUUUUAACCCUCUUAAUUAGGAUAUGAAAAAGUCACGCUUUCUUUUAUAAUUAUAAAAUAAUCUCAACAAUUUUUAUAUUAACUGACUAAUCUUUUUUAUUUAUAAAACUCAAUAAAGAAAUUAAAAGAUACAUAAUCUUUUUAUUCAAUAUUUCGAAGAUAUUUAAUAUAUUAUAACAUAAGCAUUCUAUAAUAUAUAUAUAUAUAUAUAUAUAUAUAUAUAUAUAUAUAUUAUCAUAAUUAUUUUAAUUAAAAUUAAUAACAAUUAUUAUAUUAAAAUUUUAGGAUGUUACAUGAGAAUGAGAAGAUCUGUAAGUAUGGAGACAACUUCCCCAUUCUGAAUUACACUAGGCCGUCAAUUGCAAAUCAAAAUUUCUACUCAAGAGCACACACCUUGUUCUGGAUUCCCUACUACUCACAUCAGCCUCCUAAUACUCUUGUAUAGGUUGAUGCAUGAACUGAGACAAUAUGUAAACACAAUAAGACAAUUUUGGUAUAGUUAAACAAAGGUAAAUAAGGCGUCCAACUAUCCACCUAUAUUACUCAAGAUGAGAAAAUUCUGAUCCUUCAACAAUACCCAAACGAUGAUUCUGCUCCAUGGGAGUAUUUGAUGAUUUUGUUUCAAAAAAAUCUUGUUUCUCUUAUGAUACUCAGAACAGUCAAUUGUAUCAAAUAAAAGAAAGAAGAUAACUCUUCAAUUAUAACAUAAUUUUAUACAAACAAAAUUAAAAAUAUAUAAAAUUUACUUUUUAAGUUGCUUCUAUAAAAAACUAUUGUAACACGUAGAUUUUUUUCUUCACAAAAUCAAGGUCAAGAAUCAAUAAAUGUUGAACAUUGACAUUUUCUGCUUCUCUUGCUUAAUUUUUUUUUGGUAAAUUUUUCUCUUACUUAAGUUUUUUUUUGGGGUGAGUUUUUCUCUUGGUUAAGUAGGAGGAUUCUAAGUGACAAAGACGCGUUUUCUGUUUCAAGAGUCUUGCUUGAUAUACAAAGUCUUUUAUUCUGUAAUCAAUUUAUAGUAAAAAUAUCUGAUUAAUUUUUAUGAAGUUUUAUUUAACGUCCCUUUACUUCAAAAUCACAUGUUAAGAGGAUAGUAAAUGAAUUGGUUUUUUUUUUUUUUUUAAGUGAAUGCGCCUCCCUCUCUCUUAUUUUUUUUCCAAUCUAUACUACUUUGUAAUUUAAUUCCGAAUCUACGCACUUUCUCCAUUUUGUUUUUAUUUAAUUUAAAAUAUUAUAAAAUAUAAAUAUUAUAUUAUAUAAUUUUUUAAUUGGUUUUAAAAUUACUAAUUUAUUAAAUUAAAAUUUAUAAUUUUGUUUUUUAUUUUUUUUAAAGAAAAAUAUACAGAUAAAAAAAAUAAAAAAUUUGGAUAAAAUUAUAGUACAAUUUGUUGGUUCUUUUCGUCAAUACACCCUCUCUCUCUCCUGCUUUUUCCCAAUCUACACUACCUUACAAUUUAAUUUCCAAUAUACAUUGCUUGAGAGUUUGUGCUUUAAAAGUAAUCAAUCUACACUAGUUUGCAAAUCAACGUGGUCAAGGGAUUACUCAUAACAAACAAGUUAUAUAGCUAUGCCGUCUAUACCUAACUCUCUCUCCUUUUUGUUUUUUUUAAAUUUAAAAUAUUAUAAAAUAUAAAUAUUAUAUUAUAUAAUUUUUUUAAUUAGUUUUAAAAUUACUUAUUUAUUAAAUUAAAUUUUAUAAUUUUGUUUUUUAAUUUUUUUAAAGAAAAUGAUAUUAUUAAAUAUAAUUAUUUUUGAAGGAUCAGGACCCCACUGUAUUUUGCUGGCAACAAGUAAAUUAAAUAAUAAAAAAAAUAAUUAUAUUUAAUAAUAUCAUUUUAUUUAAAAAAAAAUUAAAAAACAAAAUUAUAAAAUUUAAUUUAAUAAAUAAUUAAUUUUAAAACCAAUUAAAAAAUUAUAUAAUAUAAUAUUUAUAUUUUAUAAUAUUUUAAAUUAAAAAAAAAACAAAAAGGAGAGAGAGAUAGGUAUAGAUGGUAUAACUAUAUAAUUUGUUUGUUCUCAGUAGUCCACGUCCAUUUGCAAACCAGUAUAAAUUGACCACUCUCAAAGCACAAACUAACUCCCAAGCUGCCGUGUAUAUUGAGAAUUAAAUAAAGUAGUGUAAAUUGAAAAAAAAUAGAAGAGAGGGUGUAUUCACACAAAAAACCUAAAUGAAUGUGCCUAAGAAAUAAUAUUUAAUACCUUUUAAAAAAAGAAAAUAAUAUUUAAAAAAUUUCUUCUUUACAUCUCUAGUAUCCGUCAAGAUUUGAAUCUCAGAAUCAACAUAAAACCAAUUAUAAAUCUUAUAAUUAACAUAACACCAAUUAAUUCUUUUAAAAUAAUUAAUUAAUCAAAGACUUCUUUAAGCAAGUUUUUAAAUAGGUUCGUGGGCCAAGCCAGACUUUUAUGUAAGCUGAGCAGGUAAUAAGUCUAGCUCAAACCUUAUGUAUUCAACUCAACCAAAUCACGAAAUUACCUAUUAGUUCCAUUUCUAUUUUCAUGCAUACCAAAACUGUAUAUAAUAAGCAUAAUACCAAUUGUCUUUUGCAUUUGUCAAAGUUCUAUCUUCUAUAUUUUAGUCUUGCUUGCAUUCGUUUAAUACACUUUCAUAAUUAAAAAUAAAAAAUCAAAAUGCCCUAACCUCUCGUAAUCGCAACCUCCAUCGUUCAUUCCACGAUUCCGAGUUUGCUGAGUUGAGUUCAAUCAUGGGACGGUGGGAGAAGAAAGGACCGAAGCAAGUUCUCUUUUGAAGGGUUUUUGGUGGGAUUUAGUGGAAAGGGGAAGGCAACCUGAGAAGGUAUUUUUUAUUUUUACAUUUUUUUAUUCUUUUUCUUUAAUCUAGGGAAAAAUUUAAAAGAAAAAAUGGUAGGAAUGAAAAUUGGAAAGUUGGAGAAAAAAGAAAUUGUAGAUUGAUUUGAAAAUGAAAGGAAACAGAGGUAAAAUUAGUUAAGAUAUACAGAAAAAUUUGAGUGAAAUGAUUAUUGAAUGAUGAAUUUACAGUAUUAAUUGAAUUAUUUAUUUUUCCUUUUUUGUAUGCAAUAAUAACGUGAUUUAUAAUGAAUUAGUUUAAUACUUCCUUGCAAGGUAUUAAAUAUAAGUUUUUUUUUAAUUUGAUAUAUUUUUUUUCUAAAAAUAUAUUUUAAAAAUUUUGAUAACUUUAAUUUAAGUAUUAUAAUUAAUAUAUUAUUAUUUAAAAUUGAUUUAUUAAUAAAAUAAAAUUUGGUUCAAAGGAAUUAAGACAGAUUCCACCUUAAUUUGAUUUUAAAUAAUUAUCAAAUUAAAAGUAAAAUAGCAACGUAAAUACUAAAUUUUAUUUAAUAUAUGGAAAUAAUAUUAUUAAUAAGUUAGUUGUAAAAAGGAAUAUACAAUACCUAAACCAUAAUUCAUGAACUCGUGGAAUGUCAAUAUUUAUGAGAAGUUUUGUAGCAUAAUUGGUGUUUGAGACCACAUUUUACUUAUAAAUUAAAGACUAUAUCAAAAUAUAUUAAUUAAACAUUUUAUUAUAAUUUUAAAAUGAGGAAAAUACAUUUUAUAAACACAAUAUAACAUAAAUCAAAUACCCUAACAUAAAUGAAUGAAUAAUCACUAAAUGAAAUAUAGUGUAUAUAUAUAUAUAUAUAUAUAUAUAUAUAUAUGUAUAUAUAAUAGUCAACAAAUGAAAAGAUAAAGAAUGAAGACAUACACCUACGACCAAUUGACUCUAAACCUCAUGAAAGAAUAUACCAUAUAUAAAAGAGAGGAUAAAGAUUCAUCUGCUUCAUAUUUUUUAUUUUUUAUUUUUCAUUUUUAAUUAUGAUAAUAAUACUGAGGUUAGUUCAUAUUUUCAAUAAAAUUUAAAAUGUUUUGAAAAAAGAAUUACAAAAUUUAAAUCAAUAUUAUAUGUUAUUGAUUAAUUUAAACAUUAAAUGUUAUUCUUCACCUUCUAAAUUAACAAAAUGUUUUUUAAUUGUUGUUUUUAAUAUGAAACUCUGCCUUUCAGUUGUGGUUAUUAUGAAAACUUUAUAAUUUUCUCAAUCCGUUAUAUAUUUAAACGGUUCUGUAAUAUACUAACAUUUUACUUUUUACAAACUGAAAUUGUGAAAAGAUAUCUUUUCAUAGGGUUUACAUAUAUAGAUUAUUACUUUAAAAGUAACCACAAAUUAAAGGCAUAUUAAUAUAUUUUAAAUUUAUUCAAAUUUAAAAUAUAUUAAUAUGAUACUUAAUGAAGUAAUAUAUUUCCAAACCCUUUGCUUAUAUUGUAAUCAAUUUUAAGCAUAUUAAAACCCGUGCAAUAUUCAUGCAAAUUUUCAUAUAAUUUAAUAAUUUUUUAAAUUUAAAUUUAUCACAAAUACUAAACUAAAUAUUAAUUUCAAGCAUUUUAAUCAAUGAUUAUUGACAAAUUAAUAAAAUAAAUCUAAUGGUUCUAAAAUGUUUUAAGCAUAUAUAUAUAUAUAUAUAUAUAUAUAUAUAUAUAUAUAUAUAUAUAUAUAUAUAUUUUAAAACAAAUUGCAUUGAAUCAAACCAAUUGUUGUUAAAUGAAUGACAAAAAUAUAAUGACUCUAAUAUUUUUAAGCAUUUUAUCAAUGACGGUUGCAAAUUAAGUAUUAACAAAACAAAUCUAAUGGUUUUAAAAUGUUUAAGUAUUUUUUAUAAAAAAAAAUUUCCAUUUAAUCAAGUAUGCUAGACAUUAAUUUGAAUCAAAUCAACCCUUGUGAUCAAAUUAAAAUUUUGAUUCAAUGACCCACGAAUAUUUAAGUAUGCUAAACAUUGAUUGAAUCAAAUUAAUGACCGAAAUGAAAUUAAAAUCUUCAUCUAAUGGCCAUAAAAUAUUAAAUAUGUUAGACAUUAAUUGGAUCAAAAAGAUGGUUGUGAUUAAAUUAUAAUUUCUACCAAAUGACCCUUAAACAUGCUAAACAUUUAUUGAAUCAAAUUGACUUUGUCAAAUUAAAAUUUGGAUUCAAGCUCAUAAAAGUUUAAUUUUCUUUAGUAUAUAGAUAGAUGGGUGAAGAUUGUAGGAUAAAAGGUGUUCAAAAACAUACAUUGUGGAAUAAAAUGAUCUAUUUUGUAUUUAAAUUAUAUUAUAAACAAAUGACAUAUUAAAAAUAUACAUGUUGAUGAGUUCUUCAAGCAUAAAAAUUAUUCAAUAGUGUGAAAACUCUACGUGUAUCCACACCGAGACUCCUCUAUUCGUCAAUAACUUUGACAGGUGGAAAAAUAAGAAUAGAAGUGAUAUUCUGAUCGUUUCAAUGUGCAGCCCAAGGCUCUAUUUAUAGCACGCUAAGAAUACCAAAUUUCUAAUCAAAUCAAAAUCAUUAUUGAUAGUAUCCUUUUUUAUGCUAUAUUAUUUUUUGUUACCUUUUAUUGCUAAUCAUUUAGAAAUUAAAAUUAAAAUAAUAAUUGACCAAGUCAAACUUGUAUCUAGUCGCCUUUUCAACCCAAAUUCCAAAUACAUAAUCAUACAUGUUUGUUUCUUUUCUUUCAUCAAAUCUUUCACAUUAUUUAUAUUUUCAGUGCCAGCAAAAAUAUAAUAAUAUUCCACCUUUUGAAAUCAAUUAAUCAUUUGAUCAUAUUAAAUUCUCUAAUUUAAUUAAUCAUCAAAUAUUAAAAUAAUUUCUUUAACAAAGAUUAGAACACUCCUUUGUGUGUGACCCCGUUGGUUCAAUACUAAGCCGGUAAUAUAUUAAUCAAAUUAAUAUACUAAUCAAGGUAGGCAUCUAGCAACACUCCUUAACGUCUGGAUAACAUGAAGUCGCAUUUUACUUUCAAGAACCAUUAGAAGAGUAGUGUAAUAAUUUCUUUCAUCUUUACAGUUCUGAAUUAACUUUAGAGUAUGGUAUUACUGUCAAACCCUUUUGAGUUAACUCAUAAUGACUUAAGAAAUGCAUUUCUUCUUUCAUUUAAUUUUCCUGGCCAGGAUAUAAUUUUAUUCAUAGAGCUCAAAUUCAUUACCAAGAGUUGAUGGAUUCCUUCUUGAUUAAUCAUUAAUUCUACAGGUAUUUAAUCAUAUCAAAUAUCCAUUCAACAAGUGCUCUAAAGCAUUAGGUGUCCGGAAUCAAAAUACAACAAAUAACCUGUCAAUUACUAUGACAUUCUCAGGUCAAAGAAAUCUAUUAUACCUCUUCUUGAGAAUUUUCUAUUGACAGUUUAUGGUAAAUUUUAACCAUUAGAAAAUUUCGAUUGAGUCAGUUCAAUGAUCACAUCAACAUGUGACUCAUCUAUAUAUGCAAAUUAAUAAAUGAAAUCUAUUAAUAUUUAUCCAAUAAAUACUAUCACAUAUAUAUUAAUCUAUCUUGAUUAUUGAUAUCCUAUUCACAAUAAUCCUAUGAUCAAGAACGUUUUAGAUUACAAUUAGAACAAACUUGUUUCUCAUUAUCAUAAUCUCUAUUAUAAUAACAAGUCUUUAAUUUUAAUCAAGGACAUUAUCAAAUGGACCAUUUUAUCAAAUAGUGAAAUAUGACAAUGAAAAUAAAAUAAUAAAUUAUUAUUAAAAUUAGAAUUGAUUACAUGAUGACUUGGAUCGUGGGUAUACAAAUUUAUUCCCAACAAUCUCCUACUUGCCUAGAGUCAAUCAUUCAUGAACUUCAUUUCUAAUUCCCAUUUGUGCUUGUCAAACUCUUUUAUGCCAAGCGCCUUGGUGAAGGGAUCUUCUGCAUUCUCCUUUCCAUCUACUUUUUCAAUCUUAACGUCACCACGUUCUAUUAUCUCUCUAAUCAAGUGAUACUUUCGCAAAAUAUGUUUGGACUUCUGGUGUGAUCUUGGUUCCUUUGCUUGAGCAAUAGCCCAUUAUUGUCACACAAUAAUGGAACCGACUCUUCUAUUGAAGGAACCACACCAAGUUCAAAUAUGAACUUUUUCAUCCAAACACCUUCUUUAGCAGCUUCACUUGCCGCUAUAUAUUCUGCUUCAGUAGUUGAAUCUGCUAUCGUAGCUUGCUUGGAACUUUUCCAACUUACUGCACCACCAUUUAAAGUGAAAACAUAUCCUGAAAUGGAUUUGCUAUCAUCUUUGUCUGAUGCAAAGCUUGCAUCACUAUAACCCUUCAGUUUCAAUUCAAAGUCUCCACAAAUGAGGAAUUGGUCUUUAGUUCUUCUUAAGUACUUAAGUAUGGUCUUAACCACUUUCCAAUGUUCCUCACCAGGGUUUGCUUGAUAUUGACUAGUUACACCUAGUGCAUAAGCGACAUUAGGACGUGUAAAAGUCAUGGUGUACAUGAUAGCUCCCACUACACUAGCAUAUGGUACUCUACUCAUGCAUUCUCUUUCUUCAGGAGUUGUUGGACAAUUCUCUCUACUAAGAGUAAUUCCAACACUUACAGGCAAAUAGCCUUGUUUGGAAUUAUCCAUGUUAUAUCCCUUUAAGAUAGUAUCAAUGUACAUAGAUUGGGAGAGUCCAAGCAAUCUUUUAGAUCUAUCUCUAUAAAUCUUUAUACCUAGAAUAUAGACUGCUUCUCCCAAAUCCUUCAUGGAGAAUUGUUCUGAUAGUCAAAUCUUUGUGCCUUGCAAUGUUGGUAUGUCAUUUCCAAUUAGUAAUAUGUCAUCAACAUAUAACACUAAGAAAAUAAUUGCCCUCCCACUAACCUUUUUGUAAACACAUGACUCUUCCUCACAUUUAACAAACUCAAACUUUUCGAUUGUCUUAUUAAAAUGAAUGUUCCAACUUCUAGAUGCUUGUUUCAAUCUAUAUAUAGAUCAUUGCAACUUACAAACUUCAUUACAACCAGCCAAUGAUGUGAAUCCUUCAGGUUGUGUCAGGUACACUUCCUCUUUCAACUCACCAUUAAGGAAAGUUGUUUUCACAUCCAUUUGUCAUAUCUCAUAAUCAUAGUAUGUUGUUAUGGAAAGUAGAAUCCGAAUUGUUUUGAGCAUUGCCACAGGAGGAAAUAUUUCGUCAUAAUCUAUUCCUUCUUGUUGACGAUAUCCUUUAGUAACAAGGUGAGCUUUAUAGGUCUCGACCUUUCCAUCUGCUCGAAUCUUUUUCUUGUAAACUCAUUUACAUCCAAUUGGUUUUAUAUCCUUUGAAUCUUUAACUAAAGUCCAUACUUUGUUGAUCUUCAUUGAUUCUAUUUCAGAUUCCAUGGUUUUUUUCCAUUUGUUGCAAUCCGAGCUUCUCAUGGCCUCUUCAUAGCUCUUAGGGUCAUCAUCAUUAUAAUAAACCUCAUUUGACAUGUCAUUUUGCACCAUUAAGUUUAAUUUAUCAGGUGUACAAUGCAUUCGAGUAGAUCUUCUAAGAGGUUCUUGUGUUGGGUUCAAAGGUUGCAGCAAUUGUUCUAAGAUUGGUUCAUUAACUUCUUCUUGAACAACGACUUGUUCUUGAACAAUUGGUAUCAGAGCCAUGGGUCUUUUGUAUUUAAAUUAUAUUAUACAAAACUUUGAAAAGGUUUCAAUUUUUAUUUACUUAUACGUAAUGCUGCCUAUUAUAAUUGCAUGAUUACAUUGUCAAAUCAAAUUAAUUUUUUUCUCUUCUUAAUUUAGCUUCAUCCAAAUCACUAAAAUUACUCAUCUUCUCCCUAAUAAACUCCUUUAUGCGACACCCUGGAAAUUCAUGACUAGGAAUUAUUAUAUGUUUGUGUGGACAUAUAGUGUGAUAGCUCUAAAAAUGAAAAAACCCAAUUUGUUUACUUCAAGUGCGAUUAAUUAGGAACCUAGUGUGCCCUUUAAUUAUGACAAAAAAAAAUUGUUAGACUCAAAUUAAGCAUGAUUUAGACCAAAGUCAAAUACGAUCAACCAAAAAUUUGUUAGACUCAAAUUUAAUUAAGACAAGGGAUUUGGUCAACUUAUUAUUAACAACAUACUAACAAAUGUUGGACAUUUUAGUGUAAUUGAUCUCUUUAUUAUGUUAAAAUAAGAGUGCACGCUUGUUUUAAUGUAAUAAUGAGAUGUUCGGUUUAGGCAAAUUUUGGAAGUUACAUGGAAGUUAGAUGUUCGGUUUAGGCAAAUUUUGGAAGUUACAUGAAAGUUACUAAAACUUCCAUCAACAGUUGAAAGUUACAUGGAAGUUACUAAAACUUCCAUAAACCGCAAAAAAAAAACCACCUGUUCUUUGAUCAUAAAUAAUCAUUCUGGUUCAGAAAGCAUAACGGUGUGACAAAACAUACAAGACCAAAACAAAACUCUUGAAUUAUAAUCUUCUGAUUUUAUCCGAUUGAACAAUUUUGGUUGAAUCCCGAAAUUUGAUUCAAUCUGAAAGUGUUAUACACGACUUCAGAUUUAUCCAGUAUUAUCUCGAUUUUCAAAUUAACCAACAAAAGAUUGAAUCAAAUCUUUCGAGAUGAUGAACGAUAGUUCGAAUAAGCUUAGUGUUUAAUGUUCCUUUAAUUAAGCUACUAAUUUUUUUUUAUCCAUACGAUGCACGGGUAAAUAGAGUGUUUGAGAAUCUUUAUUUUGUAUAUAUUUUGACAACAAAUAACAAUCUAUAUAGAAUUAUCGUAUUUUGAGAACAAAUAACACAUGAAAAUGUUGGUAAAAUAAGGACACAUGAGACUAUUUAAAACAAAUAACAUUCUCUUUGGUUAAUUUCACCUUUUUUUCUCUGUUUCAUAAAUGAAUAACAAAUACCGGAAAAAAAUUACUCAAAUAAUGAUAACAACAGUUAAAUGCCGAAUCCUUCACUCAUAUAAGACAUUUGCAAAACAACCUGAUGAAAGAAAAAGUGAAAAAAUUAUUUCAAUGAAUAUGCUCUAAAUCGUACUCAUAAUAUUAAUAUUUUCUUAAUUGUAGAAUAAAAUGCAUCAUAAUAUUUUUCAAAAUUUAUCAUAGUUAAAAUAAAUAGAAAAUAAUGAAAUGUAGCAAUAUUGGUAAACUAUUAUGAUAUUAAAAACUAUAGACCGGGAGAAAUUUAUAGGAGUUUCCAUUUGGAUUGAUCCUCAUACUAUAUUUGUGUGUGAGAGUAUUUGCAUUGUUCUAUCAAUAAACAACAACAAUUAAAUAUUAAAUUGUGAACAAAUGCAAUAUUUGUAUUUUUAUUUGAAUAGAUUAAUAAAUUUAUAGUAAACAAACUUUAACUUUGAAUUAAUUUUGCACGUUAAUUUAACAUCAUAUUUAAAAUUAUCUUAAUCGUUAUAUUAAACACUAUUUUUUUGAAGAACCGUAUAUUAAAAUAUUAUUAAUUUAGUAAAUACUUUAAGUACACUGUUUAUGUUAGUUACACGAUAUCUAUUUUAGGAGAAAUAAUAUAUUAGUCAUAAGUUGAUUAGUUAUUAUUACAAUUGUUUUUUAACUUAAUUAUUUGUUUAGUUUAAUUAAUCAAGCUAGGAUAAAAAAAUCUAUUCACGGAUUUUUUUUUACUUAAUAAUAUAAUCUUGCAAAUAUAAUCAGAUAUUAGUUACACUGAUUCCAAAUAGGGCACCCCAACAUAGUUAUCACAACACCAACAUCAUUAUCCCAUAUCUUCUUGUACUAACACUCGGCAAAUCUCAUGAAUAUAUCCAUCUUUUUUUUUUUUUUUCUUUUUGAAUAUUCCCUUGCAAUAAAUGGCACUAGUAACAACUGCUCCCUCUGAGAAAAAACCCAAGACAACUAGUGUCUUUUACACUUGGCAAUAGCAUAACUGCAUAAGGCCAUCGAAUUGUAAAAAAGGAUAAUAACUCAAUAAGAACAAUUAGAUUUAAGGAGAAAUUGUGUCAUACUUAUAUAUGUUAUGUUUAUCCAGUUUAAUUAGUGGCAAACAUGAAUCACAUGAUUCAGUUAACUAUCUUAGAACUUGAGAUAAAAUGGAACAAUUAGUCAAAUACACAAGGCAAAGGAAAAAAUAUUUUUUUUUAAAAACAAAUUUUGUGAAAUUUUUAAAUUAAUUAUCAAAAUGGGUAGAUUUCGAAACAAUUACAAAAAUGGGUAAGUCAUCUUUUGAAAGAUGAUUUAUUUAUACUUUCAAAACAUGGUUUCAUUUUUCCAGUUUUUUUAUAUCCGUCUCAAAUUGCUUUUUUAGCUACCACAAAAUGGGAGGUUUAUUUGUUUUUGCUUGACGAAGAAAUUUGUGGCAAUUAAUAAACAUGACAACAGGGUAGGACAAGGAAGAGUAUUGCCUCCCUAGUCCCCGAUCUCAACUCCCCAACAUGUUCCCAUAUUUGUCUCUGAUAUCUGAUGGGUUGAAAUUUGUUACCUCACUUUCAUACCUGUUAGGUAUCAAGCAUUUCGUCCCCAGUUCAAAUUUGUAAAAUAUUUUUUUUUGUAAAAAAGUUAUAUUAAAAAUUUAAUUUUAGAAAAAAUAAAUUGAUUGUUACAUAUUUAUUUUUAACUACUUAUAUAUCAAUAAAUUCAUUCCAACACACAUGUCUACAAAAAUUGUCAAGAAAAGAAUCUUAAAUUAUGUAAAAAUUCUAAAAUAAAAUUAACAAGUAAUAAAAAAAUUUAAUAAUUUCAUCAUUGGGGCGAGUACAGGACGAGUACAAGGUAGAUAGUGACAUUCUCAUCCACGACCCCAAACCCGAUUAAAAAAGUCGGGUAAUCCCCGAACCCGUACCUGAUCAACUUGGGUAUUUCCCGUCAAAGUUAGGACGGGUUCAGACGGGUACCCACGAGUACAAGUUUCUUUGCCAUGCCUAGCGGUUAAAGAAGUAAUUUGUGGUAACUUUUAUCCUCCAUAAUUGUUUUUAAAAAAAUAUGGAAAGAGAAAUCAUGUUCCCAAAACAUGAAUUUAGUAUAUAUGAAAUCGUCUUUCAAAAGACAACUUAUCCAUUUUUUUUCUUUUUUCAUUUUGGUAAUUAAUUGAAAAAAUUACACAACUUUGGUGAGAAAAAACCGUGAAGGGGAUACAUAUUGUAUGUCUAGGGUCCAUAAAAUACAUAUUGUAUUGUCCGGUGUAACCCAUUCAUUCAUAUCUUGUUCAUGUGUAGAGAAACUUAAGCUUUUUGCGUCUUUUUUAAAUAAUGAUCUAUGGUAUAAACCCCUACUAGUGGUUCUAUGUUAACUUCUAAUGUGUGUUUGAAUUGUCAUGUGGAAAUUUUUGGUAGAAUAUUCUUGAUUGAUCUGAUUUGUUUGCCUUUGAGCCAAAUUGAUGUUAUUUUGGGUAUGGACUAGUUAUCUUCCAACCAUGUCUAGUUAAAGUGUUUUGAUAAAACUUUGGUGUUUGAUGACUCUAGAGUGAGUAAGGAUAUGAUGUUUAUCUCUACCAACCAAGUUGUGACACUUUAAAAAAAGAUGCUCAAGUGUACAUGAUCCUGUCUAACCAGAGAGUAGAGACAAAGGUUUCCAUGGGUUACCUCUAUAUGGUCAGAGAAUUUCUUGAAGUGUUCCUUGAGGAUAUAUCCAGUUUACCACCUGAGAGAGAGAUAGAGUUUUCCAUAGACCUGGUACCUCGUGCUAGACACAUGUCCAUAGCCCCUUAUAAGAUGUCUCUUGUAGAGUUAGUCGAGCUUAAGAAAUAAUUAGAGGAGUUGUUGGAUAAGCAGUUUAUGAAACCAAGUGUGUCCUCAUGGGGAGCACCAAUGUUGUUAGUAAAGAAGAAAGAUGGAAACAUGAGGUCGUGUGUAGACUACCAUCAGUUGAAUAAGGUGACAAUCAAGAAUAAGUACCCUUUGCCUAGGAUAGAUGACCUUAUGGACCAAUUGGUAGGAACUUGUGUGUUUAGCACAAUAAACCUUAGGUCAGGUUACCAUCAAAUAUGAGUGAAGUCUGAGGAUAUUUCGAAGACUGCUUUUAGGAACUAUUAUGGUCACUACGAGUAUCUAGUCAUGCCCUUCGGUGUGACUAACGUUCUUGGUGUGUUUAACACGAAUAGAGUCGUUCACCCUUACCUUGAUAAUUUUGUGCUAAUAUUCAUAGAUAAUAUUUCAGUAUACUCCAAGACUAGAGAGGAACGUGAGGAGCACUUGAGGAUUGUGUUGCAGACCCUUAGGGACCGACAACUUUAUGCUAAGUUGUCCAAGUGUGAGUUUUGGUUGGAGAAAGUUAGUUUCCUAGGGUAUGUGAUAUCUCAAGGGGGUAUAGUUGUAGACCCCUCUAAGAUAGAAGCUUUCCCUGAGUGGGAGAGUCCUAAGUCUGGUUUUGAGAUUAAGAGUUUUCUGGGUUUAACAAGAUAUUACCAAAGAUUCAUAGAAGGUUUCUCCAAGUUAGCUAUACCUUUGACCAAGCUGACUCAUAAGGGUUAAGCUUUUGUGUCGGAUGCCCAAUGUGAGCAUAUUUUCCAAACCUUUAAAGAGAAGUUGAUGAACUCUCCCAUGGUAGUUUUGCCUAACCCGAGAGAACCCUUUGAAGUGUAUUGUGAUGCAUCCAAGAUGGGUUUAUGAGGAGUGUUGGUGCAAAAUGGCCAAGUAGUGGCCCAUGCUUCUAGACAACUCAAGACUCUUGAAAGGAAUUAUCCCACCCAUGAUCUGGAGUUGGCUAUUGUAGUUUUUGCCAUUAAGAUAUGGAUGCAUUACCUGUUUGGCUCCAAGUUUGAAGUGUUUAGCGAUCAUAAGAGCCUUAAGUACAUGUUUAGCUAGAAAGAGAUGAACAUGCGUUAGAGGAUAUGGUUAAAGUUUCUUAAGGAUUAUGAUUUUGAGCUUAGCUACAAUCCUGACAAAGCUAAUGUAGUGGUUAAUGCCUAGAGUAGGAAAUCGUUACAUAUAUUUGCCUUGAUGGAUUGAGAGUUAGAUCUUCUAGAACAAUUUAGAGACCUUGGCCUUGCGUGUGAGGUCACCCUUAAUAGUGUGAGACUUGGAUCUUUGAGGAUUACUAGUGAGUUGUUAGGAGAGAUCAGAGAGGGCCAAAAGUUUGAUCCUUUCCAAAAGACCUAGUUAAAAGCUAUAGUGUCAGGGAAAGAUAGUAGUUUAAAUGUGAGAUCAAAUGUAUUAGGAUCUGAAGAUAAUGUUUUGGUGGCCCAACAUGAAGAGAUAGGUUAGUGAGUUUAUGUAUGCAUGUAUAGUUUGUUAGAAGGAUAGGAUGAAACAUCAAAGACCUUUAGGUAAGUUACAUGCCUUAAAGAUACCCCAAUGAAAGUGGGACAAUAUCUCCAUGGAUUUUCUUGUAGGAUUACCUAGGACCCUAGAGGUUUAGAUUCUAUCUGGGUUAUUGUUGACAGACUGACCAAGUCUGCUCACUUUAUUCCCAUUAAUAUCAUAUUUUCUUUGGAGAAGUUGACCUCCCUGUAUAUUAGUCAGAUUGUCAUAUUACAUGGGGUGCCAUCUAGCAUAGUGUUUGAUAGAGAUCCAAGAUUUACCUCUAGAUUUUGGGAGAGUCAUAACAAAGCAUUGGGAACCAAGCUUAGGCUAAGUUCAGCCUACCACCCUCAGACUGAUGGCUAGAUUGAAUGGACUAUUCAUUCGCUAGAGGACCCUUUUGAGGGCGUGUGUCUUAUAACAAAAGAAAAGUUGAGAGAAUUUUUUGUCAUUGAUAGAAUUCACUUAUAACAAUAGUUUUCAUUCUACCAUUGACAUGGCUCCUUAUGAAGAUCUAUAUGGUAGAAGGUGUAGGACACCCUUAUGCUGGCUAGAACCAGGAGAGAACCUCACCUUAGGACCUAAAGUGGUACAACAAACCACUUAGAAUGUCAAGAUGAUCCAAGAGAGGAUGGGGACUUCUCAGAGUAGGCAGGAGAGCUACUAGGAAAAGAGGAGGAAAGACUUAGAAUUCGAGGUUGGUGAUCAUGUAUUCUUGAGAGUCACUUUGUGGAUCAGGGUUGGUCGAGCUUUGAAAUCCUAAAAACUCACACCUCGAUUUAUCAGUUUUUUCCAUAUUCUCAAAAGAGUUGGCUUUGUGGUAUACCAAAUUGCAUUACCUAUGUCCUUUUCUAACCUUUACAAUGUCUUUCAUGUGUAUCAACUCAAUAAGUAUAUCGAUGAUCCAUCUCAUGUGAUCAAAUUGGAUGACGUACAAGUGAAGGAGAAAUUGACAUAUGAAACAUUGCCUUUGAGGUUAAGAUAGGAAAACAAAACACUUAAGAGAGAAAGAGAUUUUGUUGGUCAAGGUGAUCUAAUGAGGUACAUAUGGAGAUGACGCAACUUGGGAACUAGAGAGUCAUAUAUGAGUGUGCUAAGCAUAAUUCCUAACCCGAGAGGGAAAUUCACUUAGUAAGACGAUCACGCUAAGCAUAAUUCCCAACUUUAUAGGGAAAUUCGCUUAGUGAUACCAGCACACUAAGCGCAAUUCCAACACGAGGAGGUAACUCACUCAGCGCGAGAAGUCGUGCUUAGGGUCAAAAGUGAAGUUUUGCUUAGCGUGACAAGCCCACUAAGCAAGAUCUGCAGAUUAUAAAUACGUUCUUUAGCAUGAUAAACAUGAUUUUUACCCCCCUCUCUAAACUCUGUCCAAAAACCCUAUAAACUAAUCUUCCAACACCCAUGACCAUCGGUGGUCACCACUGGCUGUCGUUGCUUGCCGUUAGACCACUGUACAGAGAUGAGCACUUUAAUGAGAGCAAAAUCCUCAAAAUCCACUUCAAGGAAUCGGUAGAGAAACUAGCUCUCAACUCUUUAUUUUGUAGUUCUCUGAGGUAACCUUGACUUCUAUGCCUUUCUCCUAGUUAGUUUGAGCUUCUCUUAUUACCUCUUAUGUUUUGGGUACCGUAAUAAGAUGUUUUUACACUUCCUUUAAAAAUCCCUUGAAAAUGAGACGUUGUAAAAGUUACAUUUUUAUUAAAUUGAUGUUGUUUUUGUGACCUUCGUUGAACCCUAGUCACAUUGGCAUGAUUGAAAUUUCAACAUGAUGUCUCUUUGUAGUAGAACACGAAACACCCCUUAGCAUUUUUAUUUGACAGAGGUAUUUGACCCCGAAUGUUGAUAUUAACCUUGUUUUUGAAAUCUAUACUAAAUUUCCUUCUAUUUGGUAUAUAGAACUCUCCGUUUGGACCAAUAGUCAUGAAUGUGAGAGACCUCCGAGCGAACUAGAGAGGAGCUGAUGGAGAGAUAUCAAUAGGUGAGAGGAGUUUGUUAUAAUUUAUGGCUUUGAUACCAUAAUUGGGACCUAAUUAUGGAAUGUAUGUAUGUCCCUGUGCAUGCUGGUUUUCAAGAAAAAUAAUGUUUUUCAACUAAUGGGAUGUGAUACAUUUGUUAUUGAUGAAUGACAUUGUCGUUUUAUUAGACUUAUGUUGUCUGAAGCCUGGGGGAGUGUGAAUCUCAGGUAUGAAAUUUAUAUGCAUGUAUAUAUGUAUGUGUGUGUGUGUGUGUGUGUGUGUGUGUGUGUGUGUGUGUGUGUGUGUGUGUGUGUGUGUGUGUGUGUGUGUGUGUGUGGAAUGUGAUUAUUGAUGAUGUUGUUAUUGAUGAUAAAAAUUGAUAUGGGAUGAUGUUGGUGUUUAUGAUAAUAUUGAUAGAAAAUGAGGUUGAUAUUGAUGAUGAUAUUAAUAUGAGAUGAUGUUGUUAUUGAUGAUAAUAUUGAUAUGAGAUGAUGUUGUUAUUGUUGAUAAUUUCAUUGAUGUUAGAUGAUGUCGAUGUUAAUAAUGACAUUAAGAUGAAAUGAUGUUGAUGUUGAUAAUGUCAUUGUGAGGAUGUAUGUUGUGUAUGUACAUGAGGGGUGCAGUGACCAAGUUGAAUAUCCCUAGUGGGGGAAAUAGAGUGGUUAAAGAAUUUUAAGCAUCUCUGGAAUUAAGGAGUCGCUUUUAAUUUUUAAUUAUCCAUGUUAGUGCAUUGAUAAUGCUCAUGCGUCAUAUUUCAUACUGCAUGGAAACAGUAUAAACUUUGUUAGUAAGUACUUGUAAUUUUUCAUGAGAGAAAAUAUUUGUACUUGUGGGCAUGUCACUCGAUUUGGAACUCCCUUGUGACUUAGGUUGAUCACUAUGGGGUAAGUUGCAUGUGCACGAUAGGGUGACCUCAACACUUGCUGCCUAAUUUUUCUAAGGUGAGUGUACCGUGGACACGCUCAAGCUAUUUCUUGACGAAUGGUACCACAUUGUAUUUGAGAGUUGAGGUCAGGUGCAUGCAUCAUAUUGAACAUAAUUGAUUGGAAUUGUGGAAAAGUUGAUGACUAGUUGUUAAGUGUGUUGGACUGAUGGAUAUUUCUGUAUGAUUAUGGUAUUUGUUAUUGUUUUCUUGCUAAUCAUGGUCAUUUGGUGUUUGUUGAUUUCUUUUAUAAUAAACUCACCAUUGCAACUUUGUAUCGUGCGACUGGUACUUGUGAUGAUCGUGAACCUUCAUUCAUGGGAGCAGAUGAACAAUAAUAGAUGACGUGGAGGGAGAUUCUUUUUGUGGGAGCCGCUAAGUCGACGUGAUGAUGUUGAGUCUAUUUUGGGAGAGUUAUGUUUUGUUAAUCAACUCUUAUGUAGUUGAUUUUGUAUUUUUUUUUAUCUGUGGAUGUAAAUCACAUAUUAAGAUAUAUGUAUAAACUAAUUUACGUUCUGUCAUGUGAAUGAUGUAUACUGGAUUAAUAUAUAUAUAUAUAUAUAUAUAUAUAUAUAUAUAUAUAUAUAUAUAUGCACAUUUUCAUUUAAGUAUUUGUGUGUUAUUUGGUAAAAGUAUAUCACAAAAAAUUUACUCUUGUUUUUCAUAAAUAAAUUAAUUGAUGCAAUCCUACCCCGCAAGGGCAUUGGGUAGAAAACUCCAAGUAGAUUGGGCUAGAGAUCCAAGGGAAGGCCCUAGGGUUCUCAUGAGCCUUAGGGUAGAUUUCGAGUCCAUGGGCUAAGUAUGAGCCCGCUUAUCUUUGUAAACAUUAGAAUAGGUAUUUCCUUCGUCUGGGCCUUGUAUUUUGGCCAUUCUAGUAGUAUAGGGUUUUAGCCUUGUAUUUCAGGGCAUUUUGAGUAGUCUUUGUAGUAAGGACUUUUUUUUUUGUAUUUUCAUGUUUUUUGUCAUAGGGGUGAGCUUAGCUAUUAUAGGGGGUGUGUAGCUAAGCUCUAGCUUCUCAUCUCAAGGAGGUGAACUUAGCUAUUAGAGAGGUAUGUGUAGCUAAGCUCAAGCAUCUUUAGGAAUCUUCUUAAGGAAGCUUCACAAGGAGGUGAACUUAGUUAUGAGAGGGGUGUGUGUAGCUAAGCUCUAGCUUCUCAAGGAAGUUUUCUCAAAGAAGCUUCUCAAGGAAGUUUUCUCAAGAAAGCUUCUCAAGGAAGCUACCUAGUCUAUAAAUAAAAGCAUGUGUAACACUUGUUGUAACUUUGAUGAAUGAGAGUCUUGUGAGACACAACUCAAAGUUCAACUUCUCUCCCUUUUUCUUCCUUCAAUUUCGUGCUCCCCCCUCUCUCUUUCUCUCCCUCUUUCUUUUCCUCCAUUGAAGCAUCCUCUCUAAGCUUCUUAUCCAAGGCUCAUCUUGGUGGUGAAGCUCCUUCUUCCAUGGCUUAUUCCCUAGUGGAUGGCGCCUCCUCUCACCUCUUCUCCUUUGUCUUCCGCUGCAUCUCUAUGGUGGAAAAUCACCAUUAAAGGACCUCAUUGAAGCUCAAAGAUCCAGCCUCCAUAGAAGCCCCACAAGCAAGCUUCCAUCAAGUGGUAUCAGAGCACAAGAGCUUCAAGUAGGUGCUCAUUAAACCUCCAGUAAUGAGGCGGAUCAUUACAAGGUUCACAUAAACCAUUGGCCUUGGCUGAUCUAAGUACAUUGUUUAGUCUUCCUAAAGGUAGACUUUGAAGGAGCCAAAGAAUCAGGAAGAUAGGAGGUUGAUGGUGUAGACAUGUGCCUAUGCAAAUAUAAGAAUAAAAACAUUAAUGUCAAUUGCAAAUAUACAAAUUAACUUGAUAUAAAUUGUAAAUAUGCAACAAAAUGAUCUUAAUUAUACAAUAACAUAAAUAUUAAUUAUGUAAAACACAAGGGUCACAAAAAUCAAGUGUUAGAUCCUAGUUUUCAUGACUAACACCACUUAUUCUUUCUUAUAAAACCACUGACAAUUUGGAGCUACAUAGAUCUUGGACAUAAAACACCUAUUUUGAUUGUUCUACCAUGAUGAAAGACUCAUCCAUAUAAGCAACAUUAUUAAACUCUACCAAUGUAAAUCCCAUACCCAUUAACCCUCUUACACUUAAAAAUAGGUGUUCUCCUAGAUUUGUUUCAUUACUCCAAAGUAAGGCAUGGAAGCCAUAAUGGGGUUGUUAUCUGAUGCAUUAGAAUAAUGUCCAGAAUGAACGUCACUACUAAUCCCACUAUUUUGCAUUGUACUAUUCUCAUCAUGUGACUUUGUGUAGAAGGAAUAAUUGUUGAUAUCAUAUACCUUCCAAGUUAGUACAUUUCAUUUUGGUCUAUAUGAUAACAUUUUUAAUGUUUCAAAAGCAUUGUCAUCACCAAAGAUUGUAUCUUUAUACUAGUUUAUGAAAGUGUUAUUAUACUCUUGCAACACUUGUUUUUUUUUUGUCAUUUUUUGGUUGAUUAACCUUCAAAAAUUCUUUGUAAGUAGCUAUGUACGUGGCAACCUCUUCGGUGUUAUUCAAUAUGUACAAAUGUGCUUAAUUCAGUUCCUCAUGACCCAUAGUUACAACCUCAAAACCCUGUGAACCCUUACUUCCCCAUUUGUUGUCAUGACGAGACUCAACAAACCCCACAGAUUUUGGCUUUUCCAUGUAUUCUGAACAAAACUCUAUAGGUUCUUCUACAAUGUACCUUUCAACAAUGGAUGCUUCUGGACAAUAUUGGUUCUUGGUAUGCCCUUUUAAGACCUUCAUGUAUCGCUUGAUUGAGUACAUCCACCUUAAAUAAACAGGCCCACAUAGUCUAAUCUCCCUCACUAAAUGAACAAUUAAAUAAACCAUGAUGUGAAAAAAUGAAAGAGGAAAAUGCAUCUCCAGAUGACAAAGGAUAUUAGCAGCCUCAUUUUUCAAGUCAUCAAACUUUUAAGGGUUAAUGACUUUGCUACAUGUAGCAUUGAAGAAAAAUCACAUACGGGUUAUGGCAACCCCGACUUUAUUAGGCAGGAUACCUUGUAUUGCCAUGACCAACAAUUGUUGUAUUAAGUCGUAGCAAUCACCAGACUUCAAGCCUACUAAUUUAAGAUCCUUCACUCAUACAAGACUCCUAAUAUUUGAAGAGUAUCCUUGUGACAUUUUCACGUUUUGUAAACACUGAUAUAAACUUUUUUUUGACAAUAUAUUACAUGCUAAGGGAAAAUAUGUCCGUUGACUUUUUAUUGUUAUCAGAUGCAACUACUCACAUAUACACAUGUCAACCAAAUCUUGACGAGUAUUCAAAUCAAUUUUUGUCUUGCCUUUAAUAUUAAUAAUCAUGAUGAUUAAACUAUCAUAGAAAAUUUUCUCCACAUGCAUCACAUCAAUACAAUGUCUAAAUCUAGGACGAACUAAUAUGGAAGAUUAAAGAAUAUUGACCUCUUCUUUCAUAUGUUUUUUUUUUUCAUUUGCAUCCUUCUUUUGGGUCAUUCCAAAGAUAGUACAUAUGUCCUCCACCCGCUCAUAAACUUUGUUUCUCGAUAAGGGUAUUAGGGAAAAUCUAGACUCCUAUAUUCCAUUAAAAGCUUUUUUCAAUUGACGACAGGGUGAUAUUCUUUAAGAAAUCUCUGAUGCCUAGUAUAGACUGUCUUUUUUCCAUGCUUCAGUUGCACGAAGCUUAUCUGUUUUUCACAAAUUGGGCAUGCACAAUGCCCUUUAACACUAUAUCCACUCAAAUUCCUAUAUGUUGGAAAGUCAUUAAUGGUACAAAAUAUCAUUACAUGCAACUUGAAGGUCUACUGGCAGUACCCAUCAAACAUGUCAACCUGACCCAUAACUUUCUUAAGUCUUCAAUCAAGAGACUUAGAUAAACAUCGAUGUCAUUUCCUGGUUGUCUUGGACCCGAAAUCAUCAUAGACAACAUAAUGUAUUUUCUCUUCAUGUAUAAUCAAGGAGACAUUGCAAGUCAUUAGCAAAACAGGUCAUGAAUUGUGAUUAGUGCUUAAGUUACAAAAAUGAUUCAUUCCAUUUAAAGCAAGUCCAAGCCUAAGGUUUCUUGCCUCCUUCCCAAAAUUAGAAAACAUGGAAUUUAUUUUCUUCCACUAGGGAGAAUCAUCCAGAUGCCAAAGCAAUCUAUCAUUUUUUUCUCCCAUUUGCAUGCCAUGUAAGGUUUUUUGCAUCAUCUCAGUUAGCAAAUAAUCGCUUAAACCUUGGAAUUAUUGGAAGCUACCAACAUUGGUGGGGCUUUCUUUGUGCUUUAUGUUGGACAAGCGGCCUCAAUUAUCUUAAGAAAGGGUGAAUUAAUUUCCCACUAACAAACUUUUAACCCCCUUCUAAAUGAUAGGCUUAGAAUGCAGAAGAAGCAGCAAUCAAUUUAAUAAUGUUCUUUAAACAUGCAAGACAAAAUUGUUUGCAACAAAAUAAAUGAGAUAAGGGAAGAGAGAAAUGCAAACUCAAUUUAUACUGGUUCGGUCACUUCCCGUGCCUACGUCCAGUACUCAAGCAAAUCACUUGAGAUUUUCCACUAUCUUUGUAAAUCUCCUUUUACAAAGUUUGAACCACACAGGGACAACUCUUCCCUUGUGUUCAGAAUUCCUUACAACUUAAGAGACCCUCGGUCCCUUAAUCAAUCUCUUUGAAUAAGAAGAAAAAAGAGGAAUUCUCUCUUUAAGAGAAGGAUAUUACAAUUGAAGAUCUUGUAAGAAUCCUUAUAGAUUUUUGCAAGUGUUUGGCCAAGGAUUUCUUUUGAGAGAGCAUUUGACAAUAAAGUUCUCUUGGAAUAUCUCUCUCGUACUUUUUGAAGUCAGACACACACAUAUAUAUAGGCCCUUUUCAAAAUGUUUUAAAGAGAUAUGUAUUUGCAAAAAGUUUUUUUUUGAAUUUUUUCACUGGUAAUCAAUUACAGGUUUAUGGUAAUUGAUUUGACAGUUAUAUUUUGAAGGGUCAUGGCUUUUGAACUUGAAUUUCAAAAUUUCCAUUACUGGCAAUCGAUUACAGGUUCAAAAAUCAAAUUCAAAACCCUUUUUUAAUAGUUAUUUUUCAAACUUCCCUUCUUGUAAUCGAUUACAUUGCCUGGUAAUCGAUUACCAGUGCCUUGGAUGACUUUGAAACCCUUUGUUUUGAGGCAAGGCUUGAUCUUGAAGCAAGACUUUGUUUGUUGAAGCAAUCUUGUAUUAAUCUUGAAGCAGUGCUUAUCCUUUGAAGCGGCCUUGUUUGAUUCUUCUUUGGCAUCAUCAAAACCAUGUAUACAUACAUUCACACUUUCCUCAUUACUAUAGUCGUUAUCCUUCACUUUUUAUCGCCCACACUUGGGGCGCUUUUGCAUUUCUGCAAACUCAUUUCUAUACAAUAUGCAAUCAUUAGGGUAUACAUGUAUUUUCAAGUUCUCCAUACCCAAAUGACAGUAUAUUCUUUGCCUCAUAGUUUUUUUUAGCAACAUGUUUUGGUCUGGAAGCAUCUUCUCCAACACAUCAAGCAAUUCAGUGAAGCUUUUAUCACUCCACCCAUAUCUUGCCUUUAAAUUGACCAAAUCUAACACUGUUGAUAACCAUGUGAAGUUUGUGCAUCCCGAAUACAAAGGCUUCUUCGAAUCACUUCAAAAUAUAUCAUACAAAGGUGCAUGUGCUUGCUGAAAAAUACUCUUGUAAAACCUCCCAAAUCAUGUCCUCUAAUCGAUCUCCCAUGUCUACAAAGGCUUCUUUACUUUGUUCUUCAACGUAGUUUUCCUUUUCUUCAACUCUAUCAUUGAUAAGAGCUCUACAUUUAGAAGCAUAAGGACCAAACUUGCCACAAUUGUAAAAUUUCACAUUUGACUUGUCAUACCUUGAUCUUGAUUUGCCUUGGCCAUGACCUCUUGUUGAGAUUUCUCCUCUUUGAAAUUUAUUGAGCUUUGCCCAUCUUGUCCAUGACCUCGUCCUCUUCCUCAAUCUUCACUACAACCUCAUCCUUGUUGGCUUCUAUUAUUUUGACUACUUUCUUCGUUGGUUGAAUAAACUUGUGUCCGAAGUAGUUGUUCCAUGAUCCCUUCCUUUAUUUUAUAAGCUUGUAAUGAGCCCAAAAUUUGCUCAAUGGUUAUAGCCUACAAAUCUUUUGUUUCGUCGAUGAUGGCAACAAUAUGUUCAAACUUUGAAUCUAACGGUCUAAGAAUUUUCUCCAUAAUUUUUAGAUAAUCAAUAUUUUCACCAUUUCUCUUAAGUUGAUUGGUGAUUGUUAAAAUUAUAGAGAAAUAGUCGGAGAUGACUUCAUUUUAUUUCAUAUGAAAUGUUUCAAACUUGGCUCUUAAUGUUUGAAGACAUACCUUCUUGAUUGGAUUCGCUUCCUUGUAUAUGGUUUGAAGCAUAUCUUAUGCUUCUUUUGCCGACUUUCCUUUUGAAACCUUCUCAAAAGAAUUGUCAUCUAAUCCUUGAUAGAUUAGAUAGAAAGCCUUCUUGUCUCUCUUUCUUGAGUCUCUCAAACCAUCCCUUUGAGUUUGAGAGAGACUACCCUUAUUCCCUGGCUCGAUGUGACCUUUCUCUAUUAUCUCCAAAACAUCUUGUGUGCCAAGGAGAGCCUUCAUCUUCAUGCUCCUAUUGUCAUAGUUGCUCUUGUUGAGCAUUGGAACUUGGAAUGGAACCAUGCUGCUACUCGCCAUCUCCUUAUAAAGGACCUUCUAGCUUUGAUGCCUAUUUGUUGAAAUGAAAUUUUAGUAGUAUUGGAAAUAUUUGAGAAUGGGAGAGAUUAUAAAUUUUGGAAGAAGAGACUAUUUGUAUAAAUGAUUCUUGAUUUUUGGCUUGAUUUGAUUUGAUACAAACUCUAAUACAUCAUCCCUAUUUAUAUUAUAGGCUCCUCCUAAACCAAUGGUUAGGAUUUUGUCAACACACACUUAAUCUACUGAUUGCAAACGAUUCUCUAUAGCUUUCUUCGUAGAUACAAUCUUACUCACAAAUUAUAGAUCAUUCUAUAUGCUACUUUAGAAUUAUCAUUUAAAAUAGAUUUCUCUAGAACAUUCUUGUAGAAUUUGGCCUAAGGAUGUUUCUAGAAAUUGGGCUUUUAGACUAAUAAGGCUCAAAAUCAAGUUUAUAUUUCAACAUCUCAUGGGUGAAUAUACAUAUACUAAAUAUUAUCCAUCGGGGGUUUGUCUUUGGUGGAAACUUGAGAAGAAGCAUCAGUGAGCUGGUUUGAUAACAUCACACUCAAUUUCAAAAGAUUUUUGAAAGUGUUAUGGAAGAGUGUGUAUAAAUGUCGAAGGCGGCUAUGCCAAGUGUGGUGAAGAUCAUACANNNNNNNNNNNNNNNNNNNNNNNNNNNNNNNNNNNNNNNNNNNNNNNNNNNNNNNNNNNNNNNNNNNNNNNNNNNNNNNNNNNNNNNNNNNNNNNNNNNNNNNNNNNNNNNNNNNNNNNNNNNNNNNNNNNNNNNNNNNNNNNNNNNNNNNNNNNNNNNNNNNNNNNNNNNNNNNNNNNNNNNNNNNNNNNNNNNNNNNNNNNNNNNNNNNNNNNNNNNNNNNNNNNNNNNNNNNNNNNNNNNNNNNNNNNNNNNNNNNNNNNNNNNNNNNNNNNNNNNNNNNNNNNNNNNNNNNNNNNNNNNNNNNNNNNNNNNNNNNNNNNNNNNNNNNNNNNNNNNNNNNNNNNNNNNNNNNNNNNNNNNNNNNNNNNNNNNNNNNNNNNNNNNNNNNNNNNNNNNNNNNNNNNNNNNNNNNNNNNNNNNNNNNNNNNNNNNNNNNNNNNNNNNNNNNNNNNNNNNNNNNNNNNNNNNNNNNNNNNNNNNNNNNNNNNNNNNNNNNNNNNNNNNNNNNNNNNNNNNNNNNNNNNNNNNNNNNNNNNNNNNNNNNNNNNNNNNNNNNNNNNNNNNNNNNNNNNNNNNNNNNNNNNNNNNNNNNNNNNNNNNNNNNNNNNNNNNNNNNNNNNNNNNNNNNNNNNNNNNNNNNNNNNNNNNNNNNNNNNNNNNNNNNNNNNNNNNNNNNNNNNNNNNNNNNNNNNNNNNNNNNNNNNNNNNNNNNNNNNNNNNNNNNNNNNNNNNNNNNNNNNNNNNNNNNNNNNNNNNNNNNNNNNNNNNNNNNNNNNNNNNNNNNNNNNNNNNNNNNNNNNNNNNNNNNNNNNNNNNNNNNNNNNNNNNNNNNNNNNNNNNNNNNNNNNNNNNNNNNNNNNNNNNNNNNNNNNNNNNNNNNNNNNNNNNNNNNNNNNNNNNNNNNNNNNNNNNNNNNNNNNNNNNNNNNNNNNNNNNNNNNNNNNNNNNNNNNNNNNNNNNNNNNNNNNNNNNNNNNNNNNNNNNNNNNNNNNNNNNNNNNNNNNNNNNNNNNNNNNNNNNNNNNNNNNNNNNNNNNNNNNNNNNNNNNNNNNNNNNNNNNNNNNNNNNNNNNNNNNNNNNNNNNNNNNNNNNNNNNNNNNNNNNNNNNNNNNNNNNNNNNNNNNNNNNNNNNNNNNNNNNNNNNNNNNNNNNNNNNNNNNNNNNNNNNNNNNNNNNNNNNNNNNNNNNNNNNNNNNNNNNNNNNNNNNNNNNNNNNNNNNNNNNNNNNNNNNNNNNNNNNNNNNNNNNNNNNNNNNNNNNNNNNNNNNNNNNNNNNNNNNNNNNNNNNNNNNNNNNNNNNNNNNNNNNNNNNNNNNNNNNNNNNNNNNNNNNNNNNNNNNNNNNNNNNNNNNNNNNNNNNNNNNNNNNNNNNNNNNNNNNNNNNNNNNNNNNNNNNNNNNNNNNNNNNNNNNNNNNNNNNNNNNNNNNNNNNNNNNNNNNNNNNNNNNNNNNNNNNNNNNNNNNNNNNNNNNNNNNNNNNNNNNNNNNNNNNNNNNNNNNNNNNNNNNNNNNNNNNNNNNNNNNNNNNNNNNNNNNNNNNNNNNNNNNNNNNNNNNNNNNNNNNNNNNNNNNNNNNNNNNNNNNNNNNNNNNNNNNNNNNNNNNNNNNNNNNNNNNNNNNNNNNNNNNNNNNNNNNNNNNNNNNNNNNNNNNNNNNNNNNNNNNNNNNNNNNNNNNNNNNNNNNNNNNNNNNNNNNNNNNNNNNNNNNNNNNNNNNNNNNNNNNNNNNNNNNNNNNNNNNNNNNNNNNNNNNNNNNNNNNNNNNNNNNNNNNNNNNNNNNNNNNNNNNNNNNNNNNNNNNNNNNNNNNNNNNNNNNNNNNNNNNNNNNNNNNNNNNNNNNNNNNNNNNNNNNNNNNNNNNNNNNNNNNNNNNNNNNNNNNNNNNNNNNNNNNNNNNNNNNNNNNNNNNNNNNNNNNNNNNNNNNNNNNNNNNNNNNNNNNNNNNNNNNNNNNNNNNNNNNNNNNNNNNNNNNNNNNNNNNNNNNNNNNNNNNNNNNNNNNNNNNNNNNNNNNNNNNNNNNNNNNNNNNNNNNNNNNNNNNNNNNNNNNNNNNNNNNNNNNNNNNNNNNNNNNNNNNNNNNNNNNNNNNNNNNNNNNNNNNNNNNNNNNNNNNNNNNNNNNNNNNNNNNNNNNNNNNNNNNNNNNNNNNNNNNNNNNNNNNNNNNNNNNNNNNNNNNNNNNNNNNNNNNNNNNNNNNNNNNNNNNNNNNNNNNNNNNNNNNNNNNNNNNNNNNNNNNNNNNNNNNNNNNNNNNNNNNNNNNNNNNNNNNNNNNNNNNNNNNNNNNNNNNNNNNNNNNNNNNNNNNNNNNNNNNNNNNNNNNNNNNNNNNNNNNNNNNNNNNNNNNNNNNNNNNNNNNNNNNNNNNNNNNNNNNNNNNNNNNNNNNNNNNNNNNNNNNNNNNNNNNNNNNNNNNNNNNNNNNNNNNNNNNNNNNNNNNNNNNNNNNNNNNNNNNNNNNNNNNNNNNNNNNNNNNNNNNNNNNNNNNNNNNNNNNNNNNNNNNNNNNNNNNNNNNNNNNNNNNNNNNNNNNNNNNNNNNNNNNNNNNNNNNNNNNNNNNNNNNNNNNNNNNNNNNNNNNNNNNNNNNNNNNNNNNNNNNNNNNNNNNNNNNNNNNNNNNNNNNNNNNNNNNNNNNNNNNNNNNNNNNNNNNNNNNNNNNNNNNNNNNNNNNNNNNNNNNNNNNNNNNNNNNNNNNNNNNNNNNNNNNNNNNNNNNNNNNNNNNNNNNNNNNNNNNNNNNNNNNNNNNNNNNNNNNNNNNNNNNNNNNNNNNNNNNNNNNNNNNNNNNNNNNNNNNNNNNNNNNNNNNNNNNNNNNNNNNNNNNNNNNNNNNNNNNNNNNNNNNNNNNNNNNNNNNNNNNNNNNNNNNNNNNNNNNNNNNNNNNNNNNNNNNNNNNNNNNNNNNNNNNNNNNNNNNNNNNNNNNNNNNNNNNNNNNNNNNNNNNNNNNNNNNNNNNNNNNNNNNNNNNNNNNNNNNNNNNNNNNNNNNNNNNNNNNNNNNNNNNNNNNNNNNNNNNNNNNNNNNNNNNNNNNNNNNNNNNNNNNNNNNNNNNNNNNNNNNNNNNNNNNNNNNNNNNNNNNNNNNNNNNNNNNNNNNNNNNNNNNNNNNNNNNNNNNNNNNNNNNNNNNNNNNNNNNNNNNNNNNNNNNNNNNNNNNNNNNNNNNNNNNNNNNNNNNNNNNNNNNNNNNNNNNNNNNNNNNNNNNNNNNNNNNNNNNNNNNNNNNNNNNNNNNNNNNNNNNNNNNNNNNNNNNNNNNNNNNNNNNNNNNNNNNNNNNNNNNNNNNNNNNNNNNNNNNNNNNNNNNNNNNNNNNNNNNNNNNNNNNNNNNNNNNNNNNNNNNNNNNNNNNNNNNNNNNNNNNNNNNNNNNNNNNNNNNNNNNNNNNNNNNNNNNNNNNNNNNNNNNNNNNNNNNNNNNNNNNNNNNNNNNNNNNNNNNNNNNNNNNNNNNNNNNNNNNNNNNNNNNNNNNNNNNNNNNNNNNNNNNNNNNNNNNNNNNNNNNNNNNNNNNNNNNNNNNNNNNNNNNNNNNNNNNNNNNNNNNNNNNNNNNNNNNNNNNNNNNNNNNNNNNNNNNNNNNNNNNNNNNNNNNNNNNNNNNNNNGGGGGGGGGGGGGCUUAUUGUGUUGAUUCUUGUACUUUUUUUUAAAUUUAUGACAAUUUUUAACCCCCAUAAAUUGCAUUUUAAAAUUUAAAUUAAAAAAUUUCACGUAGGUUCAGAUUUAUUCAAACCUAAUUCCAAGCCAAAGAGUAGUACAUUAAAGUUUUAGAGGAAAAAAAAAAACAAAAUUUUGCAAGGACUAAUCCGAACUAUGAUAACUUUUUAGGGACAAAAAAUAUAUUUUAACCUUAUAUUUUCCUAUCAAGUAGUGCUCAUGAAGUAUCAUCUUAUUUUACUUUCUUCUUUAUAUAAAGUCACACCUUGUGCGUAAUAUGCGAAAAUCAUGAAAUUGUUGCGGGAAGAUAAAAUUGGAGCCAUAAGAGAGUUGGAUGUUAGUUAUUUCAUACGUAUAUUACAUGAUGAUGAUGAUUGAUUCACUCAUAAUGAUUAUGGUGUUUAAUGAUUUAAUCUUGAUAUGAUAUUGAUGAGGUGGUGAUUGUUAUGAUUUUCUUUGUUAUGUGAAUUAUGAGACUUAUGCUUUGUGUAUGAUUUUAACAUAUUAUGUUAUAUGUGUGAUGAUGGUAGAUUAUGCAUACUUUAAUUGAGAAGUUUUAUCUUAUUUUAAUAUACUCAUUUAGCCUUUAAACACAAGAGCUAUGACAUUUAUUUAAAGUUUAACAAUUAAAUUAAACAAAUAAUAUAAAAUAAUCAUAUUAAAUAUUAAUUACAUGAACCAAAUAAAAAUCAUUUGUACUCUCUUGAAGUAUGUCAACAAACGAUACAAAAUCAAAGGAAAUCUUCUAUAUAUAUGAGUCUCAAACAGCGAGUUUUUGUGUCCAUGAUAAAAGUUAAUCUUUAUUUAUACUUUUUCGACUUAAAUAUUCAGUCUAGGAAAGUUAAUAUGAAAUUUUCCAUCAAAUCAGCAUUGUCUUUUUCAAUAUAUACUUUCAAAAAUCAUCAAAAAGACUAGGCUUGGUAGCAACUUAAAUAUGACAAUUCUUAUUUAAAAACAUGUAAAGUGAAAGAGGGGGGGGAUAGAUACAGUAGAGUGAAAGACUUAUUUUUUUAAUUCUUAAAUUAAAUUGCUUAUUUAUUUUAAGUAAGAUUUUUAAGAAAAUAAUUAUUAAUACAUUAGUGAUCGAUUAUUUUUACCCCAAUUUUCUUUUUGGGGGGCGGGGUGGGUGGGGGUUGGGAAACUUCGCUUUUCUUUAAAGAAAAAUUUAAUUAGAUACAUUUUCGAAAACACUCUUAAAAAAUUGAGCAAAUUAUUAUUUUUUUAUACAAGAUCCAAAGGGAAAAAACUAAGUUUUUAAACAAAGUUAGUAAAUAAACUUUUAGAAAAAAUUAAUCGAUCACGGAUAAAUUACACGUCAAUGUUUUAAACAUGAUUCAAAAUAUUAAUAUAACAUUGAUUAAUAUUAAAAAUGAAUUAAAUUUCAUUUUUCUAUAAAAUUAAAUUUUUUGUUGUUGUUACAUAUGAAAAAUUUAUUUAAAGACAAAUAUUUUAUUUAUAAAUUUUUUAAUUGACUGGGUAUUGAUUUUGAUAAUUCAUAUUUUUAUUCUUCCUGCAUGAAUAAUCAAAUUAGGACAAAUUUAUUUGAGUGAUGUUUUUAUAAUCAUCGAAAUUUUAAUGUAAAGAGACUCUUAGAUAUUUAUAAUUAAAUUAAUGAAUAAUUUUUUUAUAAGAAUGAUGUUUUUAUUUCUUUUUAUAUCAAAACAUCCUUCAUAUUUUUAAUGAUUCUAUAAAAAAUUAUACUUUUUAAUUAAUAAUAUAUUCUUUUAUGUUACAUUAGUUCAUCUUUAUAUUCAUUUAUGUCACCCGGGUAAUUAUAUUAGGACAAAUUCAUUUGGAUGAUUAAUUUUUUUAAUAGUCAUUGGAGUUUUUUUUAUAUUUAGAGACUCUUAAAUACUUAUAUUUAAAUUUAAUUCAUACAACUCUUAUACGAAUGAUAUCUAAAUUUCUUUUUAUAUCAAAAUAUCAUUCUUUUUUUUAAUUUGAAAUUAUAAAAAUUAUAUUUUAUAAACUAUUAUAUAUUAUAUUUAUAUUACCCUAGUCCAUAUCUAUAUUUAUCAUGGGUAUCCAUUCAAAUAAAAUUUAUUUGGAUGAUUAUAUAUAUAUAUAUAUAUAUAUAUAUAUAUAUAUAUAUAUAAAAUCAUUUGGGUUUUUUAUUGCAAGAGUCUUACAUAUUUCAUAUUUUAAUUUAUGUUUCUUUUUAUAUUAAAACACCUUUCAUUUUUUCAAUUUAAAUUAUAAAAAAUUAUAUUUUUUAAUUAUUAUAUAAUCUAUUUAUGUUACAUUAAUCCAUAUUUAUAUCCAUCUAUUUAGAUAGCCAUAUACUAAGACAAAUCCCUUGGGCCUCUUUUGUAUUUUUUAAUUUGAUGAUAUAAAAAAUUAUAUUUUAAAACUAUUAUAUAUUUUAUUUAUGCCAAAUUAAUCCAUGUUUAUAUUUUUGUAUUACAUGGAUGAUCAUAUUAGAAUUUAUCGAUUUGACUAAAUAUUUUUUUUUUAUAAUCAAAGAUCCCUGGAAGUUAAUACAAUAUUUCAUUAUUCCAUUACAUCCAUGGAUGAAAAAAAAAAGUAUCUUAAAGAUGUUAUUAGUUCAAAUUCACAAGCCAAAUAAGUAAUUUUUUUAAUUACAAAAGUAGUAGUUGUAAUAGUAAUUAUAAGAUAAGUAUAUUUAAAUAUACUUAUUUUAUUGACCCAAAAUUUUAGAUGGCUCAUUGGUGAAUAUUUCAAAACUAAUAAAGAUUGAAACUAUUUACAACUAAACACAUGUAUAAAUGCUUUUUUGAUUUCAAUAUUAAGCUAAAUUGCAUCAUUGGUGAAAAAAAUAUAUUUCUUGAGUAUAGAAUUCCAUGUUGUAUCAAGUAAAUUUCAUAUUACCCAAGUAAAACUUAAGAGAUAACAUACUUUUAACUAUAGCAAACUUUUAUGAUAUAAGAAAAAUAAUUAUCUCGUUAUAAGUAAACUUUUGGAUCGUUAAACAAUAUAUUUUGUUGGGGGUGGUUGGAAAGCUUAUCUUUUCUUUAAAGAAUAAUUUAAUUAGAUACAUUUUCGGAAAAGCUCUUAAAAAAUAAAGCAAAUUGUUAAUUUUUUAAUAGAACAUUGAAAGAGAAAAAAAUUAAGUUUUUAAAGAAAGUUAGUAACUAAACUUUUAGGGAAAAUUAUUGGAUGACUUAGAAAUUACACAUCAAUUGUUAAAACAUGAUUAAAAAAAUCGAUAUACCACUGGUUGUUAUUAAAAAUGAAUUAAAUUCCAUUUGUCUAUAAAUUUAAAGUUUUUUAUUUCUAUUGUUAAAUAUGAAAAAUUUAUUUAAAGACAAAUAUUUAUUUAUUAUUUUUUGUUAUAAUUUUUUUUAAUUAACAAGAUAUUGAUCUCGAUAAUUCAUAUUUUUAUCCAUCCGUUGCCUAGGUAAUCAUUUUAGGACAAAUUCAUUUGGGUGAUUUUUUUUAAUAUCAAGAGACUCUUAGAUAUUUAUACUUAAAUUAAUGUAUAAAUUGUUUAUAAGAAUGAUGUUUAUAUUUCUUUUUAUAUUAAAACAUCCUUCAUAUUUUUAAUAUGAAUCUAUAUAAAGUUAUACAUUUUAAAAAAUUAUAUAUUCUUCUUUUGUUGUAUUAAUUAAUCUUUAUAUUCUUUAUGCACCUGGGUAACCAUACUAGAACAAACUCAUUUUGAUGAUUAAUUUUUUUAAUAAUCAUUGUGUUUUUUUAUAUUAAGAAACUAUAAAAUAUUUAUAUUUAAAUUAAUUCAUACAACUUUUAUAUGAAUAUUGUCUAAUUUUUUUAUAUCAAAGCAUCAUUCUUUUUUUUUUUAAUUUGAAAUUAUAAAAAUUAUAUUUGAUAAAUUAUUAUAUAUUAUAUUUAUGUUACCCUAAUUCAUAUUUAUAUUUAUCUAUCAACAUGAGUAUCAUACACAAUUAUUUGGACUUUUUAUUACAAGAGUCUUAAAUAUUUAUCAUAUUUUAGUUUAUGUUUAUUUUUAUAUUAAAACACCUUUCAUUUUAGGAGAAAUUAAGGAUUGGAUUGCCAAAUAAAUGGAGAAUAAAUAGGAGAAAGUAAGCGAGAGUAAAUUCUGUCAAGGAGACAAAUUAGGGAUUGGAUUGACUGAGAGAAUUCUGUUAGUACUCUGCAGCUAUAUAUAGGAGAAAUAAGAGAAGGUUUUGUCAAUCAUUCACUUACAUAAUAAUUCCUUGUACUCCACUUCUGAAUAAUAGAAUUUCGGAAUCCUUCCUUCAUCUCAUGAUUCCCUAUUUCUCUUUAAUUCAUCAAAUUCCUUGAAUUACCAUAUCAAUUGGUAUCAACUUGGACCUUCCCAGCAAUCGACAUCCAUGGCAACCUGCACACGAAGUCACACAGAGACGGAGGAGCGCUUGGAGAAUAAGAUCAUUGAACGCAUGGAAGCAAAGUUGAUGGAGAUCGCAGGAUCCAUGCAGAAGACCCUGGAAGAUUUGUUACAACAGAACAUCCACAACUCCUUCAAGAAAUUACCGGAGAACGAAGCCAAUUCUGAUAACAAUAGUACCGCGGGUAGAAUGGCGAAAGGAAAUCAGCCGCACUACUCGUGUGGCACCCGCUUGGCAAGGAUCGACUUUCCGAGAUUUAACGGUGAGAACGUCAACCAAAGGAUCUAUCAAUGCGAAACCUACUUUACCAUUGAUAAUACACCAGAGGAUGUAAAGGUACGCUUAGCCAUCAUUCACCUUGAGGGCAAAACACUCCAUUGGCACACAACUUUAGCAAAGACUAUGGCUGCGGAUUCCCUGCUAUCUUGGACAGAAUACACACAACGUUUGAUUGACAGAUUUGGAGCCAUCUGUGAGGACCCUAUGGCAGACCUGAUCAAAUUGCGAUAGCAUCGCAGCGUAGCGGAAUACCAUGAAGAGUUUGAUGCCAUCGUAUCACGACUAAACCUGUCCGAGGAAUAUACCCUGAGUUGCUUCUUGGAAGGGUUGAAACAUGAAGUUCAAAUGCUGGUACGUAUGUUCCAGCCCCAAUCUGUUCGAAAAGCCUUUUCCCUAGCGAAAAUGUAUGAUGCUGCCUACCAUGACAACACUCCAGCAAACUCUAUCAAUAGGAAAACAAAAGAUUUUGGGAGCCCAAAAGCCUUUGCUAGCCAACAAACCAUCCUUAAAUGCUGACGAACCAUCCGAGGCAGAUAAGACCAAAUUCUGACCAUCACGACUGCUCACACCUACUUACAUGAACGAACGGCGGGCCCAAGGACUCUGCUACUUUUGCGAUGAACCAUACACCCCUGAACAUGGCCUUUCACACAAAAAGCUCCACAUUCACGUGAUGGAGAUAGAUGAUCAAGACACACCAAUAGGCAAUGCUCUUGACGAGGACAAUUCAUCUCAAUUGCAAAGUGAUCCACAGAUUUCUGUCCAUGCGCUUACUGGCGUGGCCAAUUUUAAGACAAUGAGGGUCACUGGCUAUCAAAGGAAACGACCUUUACAUAUCCUGAUUGAUAGUGACAGUACCCAUAAUUUCUUAGAUAUUCAGGUUGCUAAGAAAUUUGGGUGUAAGAUUGAGGAGAUAGAACCACUACAUGUGGUGGUAGCGGAUGGCAAUAAGUUGCAUAUUUCUGCUAUGGUCAGGAAUUUCACUUGGACCAUUCAACAUACUACCUUCCAAUCUAAUAUUAUGUUCAUUCCACUGGGUUGCUGUGACUUAGUGUUGGGAAUUGAGUGGCUGGUAACACUUGGUGACAUUACCUGGAAUUUUGACAAAUUGAGCAUGGAAUUUAAAGUGCAGGGACGACGACAUGCAUUAAGAGGGGUUUCUUCUAAUGUUGUCAAGACUAUCCGAAGACAACAAAUGGGCCAAACUUUAGCUAAUGGAGUUCAUUUAUCUAUGAUACAGCUUUGUGACACUGAGGGUGGAUUACUUCAUUCCUUAACUACUCAUGCUCAACAACCUACAGUCCCAGCUGCCAUAGAGCAACUUUUGAAGGCUUAUUCAGACAUUUUUAUCGAGCCAACUGCACUUCCACCACCCCGGGUAGAACAUGAUCACAGAAUACCCCUAGUGCAGGGUGCAAAUCCAGUGAACAAGAGGCCCUACAGGUAUGCUAAACAUCAAAAAGAUGUCAUUGAUCGACUUGUACAGGAAUAUUUGACUUCUGGAAUUAUUAAAAAAAGUAGCAGCCCUUAUGCUUGUCCGGUAGUCUUAGUCGGUAAAAAAGAUAGCUCUUGGAGACUUUGAGUGAAUUAUCAAGAGUUGAAUAAAAACACUGUCAAAGAUAAGUUUCCUAUUCCGCUGGUUGAUGACCUUUUGGAUGAAUUACAUGGCUCCACUAUUUUCUCCAAAAUUGACCUUCGGUCGGGGUACAACCAAGUGCGAAUGGAUCCUUUGGAUGUUCAUAAAACUGCCUUCAAGACUCAUGGGGUCAUUGUACUUGGUAAUGCCAUUUGGCCUUACCAAUGCCCCUGCUACAUUUCAAGGGCUGAUGAAUUCUGUUUUCCAGCAGUUUUUAAGAAGGUUUCUUCUGGUUUUCUUCGAUGACAUUCUCAUCUACAGUCGCAACUUGAUAGAUCAUGUGGAUAAUUUACAAAAAGUGUUAUCUACUAUGAGGAAUCACUCGCUUUUUGCCAGGAAGUCUAAGUGUUAUUUUGCAGUCCCCAAGGUGGAAUAUUUGGGUCAUUACAUCAGCAGCGAUAGCGUUUCUAUCGACCCCACUAAAAUUACAGCAGUUAGGAAUUGGCCAUUUCUUCAAUCAUUGAAACAACUUCGUGGAUUCAUUGGCCUUGCAGGUUACUACCGAAGGUUUGUCAAGGGAUUUGGUGCAAUUGCUCGGCCAUUAACUAAUAUGCUUAAAGGAGAUAAUUUUUGUUGGACCGAUGAUGCAAAACUUGCAUUUCAGCAACUCAAAGACUUGCUACUCCAAGCACCUGUGUUGCGACUCCCUGAUUUCAACAAGACUUUUGUGGUAGAGGUUGAUGCUUUCGGUGUGGAACUUGGAGCCGUCUUAAUGCAGGAACAUCACCCGAUUGCCUUUAUUAGUCGGGCCUUAAACCAACAACAACAAUGUUUAUCCACCUAUGAAAAGGAAUUACUAGCAGUAGUUUUUGCUGUUCAAAAAUGGCGCCAUUACCUUCUCAACAGGCAGUUUGUGAUUAAAACGGAUCAUCGAAGUUUGAAGUAUAUCCUUGAUCAGCAGUUGACCACUGCUUUUCAACAAAAAUGGUUAGUGAAGUUAAUGGAGUUUGAUUUCUCCAUUGAAUACAAGCAAGGUCAUGAGAAUGUAGCGGCCGAUGCUUUGUCAUGAAUGGGAGAGGUUGAAUGUCAGGCUCUCACUGUUCAUUCUUUGGAAUCUGAUUUGGUGGCACGAAUCAAACAAUCUUGGGUCACGGAUGCCGGACUGCAAAAGUUGAUCCUGGAACUACAGACCAAUGCAAGGUCCCAUAGACAUCAUACUUGGCAGAAUGAUGAAUUGCAUAGGAAGGGAAGGUUGGUGAUUGGCCAAGAUGUUCAGCUCCGGGAGGAUAUUUUAAAAUGGUUGCACUCUUCAGCUGCUGGUGGCCAUUCGGGCAGAAAUGCUACUAUCCAACGGAUGAAGGCAGUGGUUUAUUGGCGAGGAAUGACUAGAGAUGUGAAAGCAUUCAUCCAACGCUGCUCAAUUUGCCAACAAUGUAAAUAUGACACUGUUGCUUCCCCUGGUUUACUUCAGCCUUUGCCUAUUCCAAAUCAUAUUUGGCAGCAUAUAACCAUGGACUUCAUUGAUGGGUUACCUCCUUCUUACAGUAAAAAUGUUAUCGUUGUUGUUGUGGAUCGAUUAAGCAAAGCUGCUCAUUUCAUGGCGUUGUCUCAUCCCUACACAGCAAGCGACGUGGCUCAAUCCUUCCUAGACCAUGUCUUCAAACUUCAUGGUUUUCCUGACACUAUCACUAGCGAUAGAGAUCCUGUCUUUGUUAGCAACUUCUGGCAAGAUCUUAUGGCUUUUCAGGGUGUUCAAGUGCAACUUUUCUCGACUUAUCACCCACAAACCGAUGGUCAGUCGGAGGUAGUGAAUCGUUGCUUAGAAACUUACUUGUGAUGCAUGACGACCGAUGCCCCACAAAAAUGGUCUAAGUGGUUGCCAUUGGCAGAAUGGUGGUACAAUACUACCUACCAUACUUCUAUCCGCGCCACCCCUUAUGAAAUAGUCUAUGGGCAGCCUCCACCAGCCUAGUUACCUUAUCUUCCUGGUGAUUCGAAGAUUGAGCUAGUUGACAGAAGUUUACUCAAGCGCGAGGAGAUGUUAAAGCUGUUGAAGUUUCACCUCCGAAGAGCUCAAGACCGAAUGAAGCUGUUGGCGGAUAAACAUCGCAGUGAUCGCCAAUUUCAGAUAGGGGAUUUUGUUUAUGUUAAGCUUCAUCCCUAUCGUCAAGUCUCUGUUUCUCAUCGGGUUAAUGCUAAAUUAGCACCUAAGUUUUAUGGCCCCUUCAAGGUGCUGGAUCACAUAGGCGCUAUGGCUUAUCGACUUGACCUUCCUGCUGGAUCUCGCAUUCAUAAUGUUUUUCAUCUUUCUCAACUCUAGAAGCAUGUCGGCACUGUAGUUACUACUACAAAUAUUCCUGUCAGCACUGACGCAAGCUUUGUUUCACGUGAACCAGAGUCUAUUUUGGAUAGAAUGACUGUCAAACGGGGCAACCGAGCUGUUACUAAAGUUCUAGUAAAGUGGAAACAUCAACUUCCGGAGGAUGCCACAUGGGAGUUUUACUAUGAUCUUUUGCAGCGCUAUCCUUCCUUCAAUCCUUGAGGUCAAGGAUGAUUUUGAGGGGCGGGUAAUGAUAGGAGAGAAUAAAUAGCAAUUAUGAGAAACUAAAUAGAGAUUCAAGGAGACAAAUUAGGGAUUGGGUUGACAAAUAAAUAGAGAAUAAAUAGGAGAAAUUAAGCGAGAGUAAAUUCUGUCAAGGAGACAAAUUAGGGAUUGGAUUGGCUGAGAGUAAAUUCUAUUAGUACUCUACAGCUAUAUAUAGGAGAAAUAAGAGAAGGUUUUGUCAAUCAUUCACUUACAUAAUAAUUCCUUGUACUCCAGUUCUGAAUAAUAGAAUUUCGGAAUUCUUUCUUCAUCUCAGGAUUCCCUAUUUCUCUUUAAUUCAUCGAAUUCCUCAUAAUUCCUUGAAUUACCAUAUCAUUGAGGGCACUUUCUGAUUGUCAGAAAUUCAAGAUGAUUAUGGGUGUGAUCCUGUGUAAUCAUCUGUAGAUUACAAAAGCCAUUGAGAUGAAGGGUCCUGAGUGUUGGGAAGAAAUCUAGCGGAAAAGUCUUUAGAGAGUCACAGCCAUCAUCCCUCAAUCCACAAUUGCAAAACAUUCCAUACAGUAUCGGGCAACAAUAAAUUUCCAGUUCAUCCAAAGUAUCAGACUUUUCCAGCAACAAUGCUUCCAUGCUGUGUCCGCCCAUGCUGAGCUUUUUCAAAGUAUUCCAAAGUCUUGUAGGUCUAGUUCUAGAGCCCUGGGAGCUGAAGCCUCAAGUUGUUUGCACUCUCUAAUUGCUAGCUGCUUUAAAUGAAGAAGUUGCUCUGGGAGGUCACCUUUCAGGUUUGGACAUUUUCUUAUAGAAAGAUAUUGAAGACAUGGAAAAGCACCUGUCACAGCUUCACAUUCCCAUUUUUUCCAUGCUUUCAUAGAGGAGAACUUCAAUCUUUCCAACGAUGGAAAUGAAGAAGUGCUAUUACCAUGAAAAUCAGCACCAAUGCUCACUAUUCCAUCAAGACUUGAAAUCUAAAGGUUCUUGAGAAAUGGCAAAAGUCCAAGGGAAGGCAAAUGUUGGCAAGAUUGACAGUUGUUCAACUCUAAGGACAUCACAUUUGAUAAAGAAUUAUCGGAUAACCAAUUUGGGAAUUGUUUACCACCAUAGUUGAUGAUUGAUAACUUCUCCAGGUGUUUGGAAGGUUGUAGAUUCUCAAUUACAAUUACAUCCCUUUCUUUGGCAGAAUCAUCAGGGUUCUGGUGCGAAUUCCAUUCAAAUUCUAGUUCCACAAGGUGUGUUUUAUUUUUCAAAUCUGCAGCUAAUGCAUCUGAGGGAUUCUCAAUAUUCUGCAGCUCCCUAAAUGAUAAUCUUUCGUGAAGAAAAUUGAGCUCUCCGAAUUUCUGAAUGGUGAACUCACUACAUUUGCCAACAUCAAAAGAACUCAUGGCUACUUGAAGAUUCUUCAACUUUCCCAGAUGCGGUGGCACCUUUAUAAUUUUAGUAUUUACAAAUUCAAGGCCAUGCAAAUUGGUGAGUUCAUGCAAAUUUGAGGGCAGCUCCUUCAAACAUCUACAAUAAUUCAGCUUCAGUAUUUGCAAGUUGUAGAGUGAACAUGUGGAUUCAGGUAGUUUUUCAAUGCCAGUAUAGGAAAGGUCUAACGAACGAAGAUGUUUAAAAUUGCAAACAGAGUCAGGCAGCUUUUCAAUGCCUAAACAGUGAAACAGAGAUAAGACGCUUAAGAACUUAAACUAGGAGAACAAUUCAUGUAUCGACAUCUUGCACUGCCAAUCAUGGUAAUCUCCAUUCAUUUUCCUACUUGUUGGCAUAAAUGUACGUAACCUUUUAUCAUCACAUGAAGUUGCAAACCCAUCAAAACGUUGUUUGGUAAUGAUUGAAACUGAAAAAUGACGGGUUAUUUUCUGUGUACUUUUUCCUUCAUCAUCAACUCCAAACCUAAAAUAGAUGUCUCCACAAACAUAUUUUGCCAAAUCAUUUAGAAGGUCAUGCAUGACAAAUCCAUCUUCAUAUUUGCUUGAUUGUUGAAAGAAGGACCUUGAUAUUAGAUCAUUGAAGUACUGUUGGCCAACUUCUUCUGGACUCUUAUUGCCUUGAUGGCAGUUUAGGAAUUUUUCAGCCAUCCACAACUGAAUUAAACACUCCCUGUGAAACACAUAAUCCUUGGGGAAUAAAGCACAGUAAGCAAAGCAUGUCUUGAGAUGGGGAGGAAGGUGGUGAUAGCUCAGUGCUAAAGCAGGAACAAUAUCACUAUCCUCUAUUUCCCAUAUCUCACUUUUCAAUAUGUUUUCCCAAUCUGAAACAAAUGAUUUGUUGUGUAAUAGACUUCCCAUUGACUUCAAGACCAGAGGAAGUCCUUGACAUUUUUUAACAAUCUUCAUACCAAUCUCUGGGCAUCCUGGAUCUCUUGGAAGAUUAUCAUCUCUGAAUGCAUGUUUAGCGAACAAUUUCCAGCAAUAAUCUUCUUGUAAUUGCUCCAGCUCGUGUUCUUUUGACCGCAUGGUAGAAGCAAAUUUCUCACUGCUUGUUGUGACAAGGAUCCUACUUCCCUGAGCUCCACAAACAAGAGCAUUCUGCACAGCUUCCCAUUUAGGCCUGCUUUCGAUCCAAACGUCAUCCAAAACGAGAAGAAAUCUGUUUCCUCUCAAUUUAUCUUUCAGUUUUGUAUGAACAAUUUCUAGCCGAUCACUAUUUUCAAUUGAUUUAGUAAAUGUGUCAAGAAUUGCUCUUGAUACGUUCAAAACAUCAAAUUCCUGUGAGACACAGACCCAAGCUUUAAAUUUAAAUUUGCCCUCUAUCCUUGGGUCGUUGUAUACAAGUUUUGAGCAAGCGUGGUCUUACCCAGCCCACCCAUGCCCCAAAUAGAAAGUAUUGAUAGCAUGUUAUCAGUGUCAGAAGUGAGCCAGUUAAUGAUCAUUUCUUUAUCAGCAUCUCUGCAACAAAUAUCACUUUCAACCACUGAAGAUUUUGAUUGUGGCACUUUACCACCAGAUCCUGAUCCAACUACAA